GAGCAGAGCUGGUGAGUGCAUCUUUAAGUCUCUUCAACCAUCAGUGGUAGUGAUAAUAGCAACUGUGUUGAAAUAUCUUCACGGUGAGGGACAGCUAAAUGAAGUCAACAUAAACAUCCUCAUCACCCUAAUAAAUGUUACCACUGAUAGAAAUGUUCAGUUUGAUGUAAUUUAUAAAAGUAGCAGGCUUAUGUUUCAACCAGACCUUGAAUUUUUCAGUAUUAAUUCAUCUGAUGAGCAUCUGUUUCCAUGGAAACAUAGAAUUGGAUGUGAAUAUUGUUUAGCCGAACAAAAACGUCAUUUGUAAAUCAAUAAAACAAUCUUUUUGUGGCGUAUUAAUUAUGUCAUUCAUUUGUAGCUUUGUCAAAGCGGGAUCAUGUUUGUUGAAAAUGCAGAUUUCUUCUUUAAAUGUUGUUACUUUAUAUCCUCUCUAAAUCACCUGGAGCAUAAAGAGGACACUCAGGCUGAUCUGAUAGAAAUAUGAGACAGCAUCAGACAAAAAGUUGGCAACCGUUGCUCCAAACCUAUCCUUUUACCUCUCGUGUAAAUUAUUAUUUAUUCUUGCUCUUUUGGUGGUGUGCUGGUACCUGAGGUAUCACACACAGGUCUUGCACUGUCUCUGCAGCCCAUAGCUCUGUUAGAAAACAGCCUUACCUGCAUGCAGCAGCAGCAGCAGCAGCAUCUAGGGGCUCAUAGCACUUCUUGUUGCUUGAGCAGGUGUUGGAGUGCUGUGGGGGAGCUGGCACACACCCAGAGAUCUAGAAAGAGAAAAAGAGAGAAAGGGGGGAGGGAAAAGUGAGGGAUUCUGUCAGGCAGUGGGUCAGAGGAAUGCCUAACUAUAAUCAUCUAUGAUGGUAUAAUCACAGCUCAGUCAAACUCCUCUCCAGGCUCAUAUAUCCCCCCUCUCUCACUGAGCAGCGCUCUCUCUCCCCCUCUGAUAUGAGUGAAACUGGCAAUCUGACUUUAGAGAGCAUAGUCUCAACUUCGUCUGAAGAUUCUUUAUCAUUCCAAGAGUUUCUUUUUUUUUGGGCUAAUCUUUGGCGCUUUCCCCCUCAUUUUAAUCUGCGUAUAUGUAUGAAGAGUGUCCCAUUGGGGCUGCCAUACACUAGAAGAUUAAUGAACCCAAUUUGCAAAAGUGACCUUUUGGCUGCUAAAGCACUGCCGCUGCUAAGCCUCUUAAUGCCUGCUUUAAAAAAUGUUGUUAUAGAGAGCAACUCUUGAGAUAAGAGAAGGAAAAAUAAGCAUAUCAGAAGUUAGAGGAGGAGUCUGGAUUAAAGUCAGCUGGAUGUGGCCACCAUAUGGGCCCUCAGAGGACGAGUUUCAGCGAGGAAAUGUAGAGUGAUCAGAGCAUGAAACAAGCUAAUCAGAAGUUUGCAUGAUACUGAUGAACCCUGUUAGCACUUCUGACAAAGACAUUUAAAGAAAACAUCAUGAGUUCACAUGUGGUUGGAAAUACAAUAUCGACAUCAGCUUACACUGUGGAGGACAAAAAGAAGCAUGUUGUUAAAAUUCAUAAAAUGACCAAGUUUUCAUUAAACCGUCUGCUUCUCAAACACCCACAGAUCCCUUGGGAUUUUAAAUCUUUUUUAGACGAAAUAAAAAAGGGCUUAUAGUUUGAAUAUGAAGUGGCAUUUAACAACACUCACUUGAUGAAUAGUUAAGCCCUAUCCAGCUCCCUCCACCCAGCAGGAAUGAGUUUUCCGAAUUUCUUUAGACAGAUUAAAAGAAAAUGACAAAAUCCUCUGUAACAAAAAAAGUUAAGGAUGUUAAAGAAGUUGCCAGUUCAAGUAUUUUUUUUUUGUUAGAUCUGACUUAUUUUAACCCACAAUAACAGGGUUAUAAAACUCAAAGAGCAAAUAAAUGAUUUCAAUACAGUUUAUUUUUAUCUGUGAGGGAUAUAUUAAAAUCUAAACACUUUUAAUUUCUCCAUCUGCUUUCACAUUUGUUAUAAUCUGUGCAUUUAUUCCUCCAUAAUCUUGAUAUCUAAGUUUAACUUGUUCAUGCUCAUUAGUGUUAAUAGGUUUAGUGGCCUCUAAAUGGGACUUUGAAGCUGUGUCUCGACUGUUGGUCUGCAAAACAAGAAAUGAGACAGUCUGGUCUACAGAAGGUUUCCUGUAAAGUUUACCAGCCAUUUCUACCAUCAUACUUUGGUUGCCAAGUGUCACUUUGUUCUUCUAGAAAUCUAAAUCCGUACUGGAACCAGCUAUCAUCAGUAAAGCCACAUAAUCUAGCUUCUUAAUUUUAAAGAUCACUUCAAGUUUCAUUGCUCCUUUUGUUUUUAAUGUUUGUAUUGCUAGUUGCCAGACUGAAUAUGACUAAAGACUUCCUCUUAAUACUGUAUUUCUCAGGUAGUGAGAGCCUGCCAUCUUGUACAGGAUAAGUUGGCCCAUAAAGGAUGCACCCGAAGAGCCUGAUGCAUCCUUUAUGGCCAGAGAAAAUUCAGACACAUUUGAAGAAGCCUUUGAAUUAGGACAACCAUUGCUGCACUGCUGAGAAAUAAUCAGUCUUUUAAUGCACCCUUUGAGGGAUGAAGCCCCUGAAUUGGGACUCAACUGUUAUCAUAUAGUUCAAUAAACCCCAUAAAGGAGCUCUGAUGUUGUGCCAGCUUUGUAUUUUUGUUUUAUUCUGAACCGAAUGACGCUGUAAUAAUGCUCCCUCGGAGUGUGAUUAUAAACUUGGUGUUGGUGUUGGUGUCACUUUUAAAACUAGUGGUUUAGAGGCACUGCGCCAGACAAGGAACUGACCAAAUAAAACUAAAUCAAACCCAAAAGCUGCAAGAUUUCAGAAGGCAGAGUAAGAUGUAAAUGUCUAAAGCCUGUGGUUGACCUUUGACCUGCCAAGCCUCCCACACAAAUCAGCCCUCCGAGGCCCAGAGAAACCUCCAUGUCCAAGUGAUGUAGAUGAUGGAUGUAUUAUUGAGAUGAUUCUGGAAACCUUUGUCAAAUAUCUGUCAUGGCUUUGGAUAUAACUGACCUUUUAAUGUGCAAACUCCUUCCAGAAAGACCUUCAAUAUUGACUUUUUUCCCCAAAGACUCAGUCGAAACUCAGCUGUUAAAUCUAAAGGGAAUUGGACAGCGUAGUAGUUUUAACCCAGUGAGCUAAUAAAAGGUUAAUUAUUAAUUACUGACUGAAAACACUGCUCACUAUUUCAGCUGCAACCAUGAAAAUGUGGUUAAAAUCCAAUGUGUGCCACAGGAACAUCUUGAAAAUUUGCAUACCACACCCUCAGCUGAGUUAAGCCAUUAGUAUUAAAGAUUACUGGCACACAGCCCAGACAAAUUGCUGUUUAUGGAAAAAAAAAACAGACCUGGAUGCCUCAAACCAAGACACAUUCGUCUUCUGUGUUUGAAAAACGAGAAUUCCCGGGGGUGAUUUUGUUUGCCUCAUCAGUUAAAAGUCUCUUAAGCCGCGUGUCCUGAAACAGAGAGAUGUCAAGAAUUCCUUUUUCGAUUUUGAUUUAACCACGGAUGGUAUUAAUCAAGAAGAAAAAGCUGUCCAUCCAGCAGUCAGAGUCUGAAAUACACUCUCUGCCUUCACUUCCUGAAGGCACAUUUGACGUGAGAAUAUGGGUAUUACAUUUCUGAGACUCAGCCUCCUGAGCAUUUGGAACAAAAAAAUGAUGGCAGAAGCACUUUGAAGGCGCAUUUUAGCGUGAGCAUCUGGCUUUUUAGGUUGGUUUAAAGGUUUGUAACGAGCAGUCUCAAGCUGUUUUUUUCUACCUCUCAGUCCCACGAGCCAUCGCUCUCGCUGCGAGGACAAAUCAGCAAGCUUUUAGAGGUAUUGUAAGUGCACUAAAAUAUGAUUUAGCGGUGGAGCACGGCCCUAAUUCUUGAGUCAUUUCUCGUACGCCCUGCCAUAUUUAUUCCGUUAAGAUGAAUUAAAUGCAUUUAAAGAGGGCAGACCGAACAACGGGCCUCCUUACCAAAAUUAUGAGCAGAGUUGUAAUUCAGCACUUGUUUUUCCUCUGAUUGUAAAUAGUAGAGUUAAAAAGAGGCAGAAGGUGGUUUGCCAUUGGCUGUGACAUUGGCAGGAAGAUUGAUAAUAGUGUCAUUCAUUUGACACGAAUGUACGUUUUAAAGCAAAUGGGCAAAACAUUGGCUCUGUUAGGAAUAAAGAUGAGGAGUUUUUACAGAAAUUGCUUGAAUGCGCACACAUACCACGCUUUACUGGAGGUUAUUUUUUUUCCCUCUUGCUGAAACACAAUUUUUAUGCACCCAAGAGUUCCUUUCACAGGUUGUUUGUGUUUUUUUCGGUUAUGUCUACAGAUCUUAUCCUGUCAGAAAAAAUACACCACCUAUUCUUCACUGUCUGUCUUUUGAUCAUAAAGUUUGAAAACACCUAUAGUUUUUCCUCUUUGACCUCAUGAUCUGAGAAAACAAACAUCUUUAAGUUGAUGUUAACAGUCCAAACUGUGAGGGUCUCUAAUGCCAUGUUGAUUUUUGAGACCCUUUGGAUGAAUCAGGGGUGUUUAUUUCAAGAUCAAGACCGCAUUUCCCAUGAGCAUCACUGUUUUUGCACAUUGCGAUGCGGAAGGAAGACAUCGUUUUCUGUCUGCACACACUAUGGCAUUUAAUUUUUACGAACUAAAUCCACUAGUCUUGAGAGGUGGUUUCAACCUGGACCAAACCGAACAGUGGUCUUUUAGAUGUGAAAUACCCUUAGAAAGACAGUAAUAAUUCUAUGCCUGUGUUACAAGCCCAGGUUGAACUAUGUUAAAGGGAUAUUCCGGCGUAAAAUUAAGUUAGGGUCAAACGCACUGUAAAUGUUCUUCCUUGAGCUGCGUCACCCCACUGCAGUUGAUGGACUCGCCCGGAGGUCUCCGUACAAACAAGCUGCCGAUGGAAGAGAGUGGGUGAGUUGUGUUUAGUCUCUUUGCUAAAGAAAUUAGGCAAAGUUAAAGAGAUGUUUGGUGGCUAGUGCUGUGGCUAGGACCCUAUAUGUACUGUUGAUGAAGUUAGGUGCUGUUCUGAGCAUUAUUUGUGGCUUUAGAGUGGCUUUUUGGUCGAGCGCGUGGCUCUCUGUAUUGCUAUCUGUGGUCGUUACUAAAGUUAGUUUAACUAGAGAAGCAAGCGGUCGGCAACAUUCAUCUCCUAACUUAAUUUUAUGCUGAAAUAUCCCUUUAAGUAUGAUUUUAACCCAAUCUGACCAUAUGUAGGCGUCUCAACCGUAACCAAACAAAACAGCACAGCAAAAAGAGGACGAUGAAGCUGGCACAGCAAGAUUGAACUAUGAGACAGAGGAAAGCUCGUCAAGCCCUGGGUCAAGGCUCAACUUGCCCUGCCUUUGUGAUGUGUCAUCGAUGGGCGACACUGAAAAAAAGAUAAAUGUUGGUGACAAGUAGCUGACGAACUUCAACAACCUGGUGAGUAACUGCAGUUUGCAUGUCUGGGUGUUGUGUGGCCCAGCCCUUCUUCCCUCCAACAGCAUUACAUUGAUCAGUUAAGUGUCGCAUCGUGUGUGCUGGUCAAGUCACAGCACGAUCUUAUGGUCCUGUGACAGACUAAUCUGACACAUGUAGUGACAGACAGAAAGAUCGGAAAGUCUGACCUCGGCAUUAGCAUGCAGAUGAGGACGACCAGCCAACAUGUUCCUAAAGCCAAGAGCGAUGAGUGAGGGCUUUAGAGUCAGCGAUGAACCUCAGAGCUCCAUGAUUCACUCACUGAGUUCAGAGUCGAUGCUGAACAGACCGAGAUGAGGAAGCAACCAGCCAUUUAUUGGAAAGGCAGUUUGAUUCUGAAGCAAAAAUCCAGUUUUAAUUAUAACCUUUUUGUCAGCUGCUGAAUCAGGAGUGCAAAAGAAAGAGAUUCAUCACUUUAAAUACCAAGAUAUCUGUUGCACAAAAACAAAAAUAGGUGAUAUUUUUGUAGUUGUCUUGCACUCUGAUGAGACUCGUCCAUGUCUGAGGGCCGUUGGACUGUCAGAGUUUCUCGUUUUGGAAACCAUCAGACAACACAUGUUGAGUAUUAGUGCUUUUCAGCCUGCCCACUGCACUGUGUUUGAUUGUAUUGAGGAAGAAGCAUAAUGUUGUUUUGAACUGGACAAGAGCAGUCUGUUGAGAGCGUGGUCAUUGGGUGAAGACAUUAGUUACCCCCUCCCCAUUCACACAGCAUGCUCGCAGGAGCUGAAGCCGUCACCUAGCAACCAGCGAAAAAGUUUAGGGGAAAUUCCUGCAUGUGGUCACGCUCAGUAAAAGAAGAAGAUGAUUCGAAUUGUUCUACCGGGGCGACAGGCCGACUCUUAUUAACAUUUUAUGUCAGGAGAGGUUAGUUAGAAGAAAAGAUACAUUCAGACAGGUGUCUCUUCACUCUUGGUCUCCAUUCAAAAGGCAGGAAUCUGCUUUUGGAGGUAAAAACAGUAUUUAGCAUCUGUCUCCAAAUAAAAAGAGCUCAAAACUAAUUAAUGCCAUCUGAGAGAAGCGUGCAAAAAUGCUCCCGUGUCCUCGCAGUGUGGGACUUGUUCACAGUGGGGAAGGGGGACAGACAGAAAGAAAAUUAAUUUGAGACAGGAGCCGGCAGUGAAAAAGAGAGGAGGGGCAAAGACAGACUGAGUGAAAGAGAGGAAGAGAAAGAGUCCAGGGAAGCAGUUGAGUCUAGCCCAGGCAGGGUCCGCGGGUUCCCCCCGCGCUCCUCUGUUUACACACAGAGAAAAUUUCGGACAAUUUCACAGCUCUCUUUUCAGCGGCCAUUGAAAAGGGGACAGAUUCCUUCCUGGUUACUCACCCUCUAUCCAGUGAGAGGGGUUGCUAUCAUGGGAAAAUCCAAACCUUUGGCAUCCUCAGUGGGUUACCUCUCUCCAUCGUGUUAUAGCCUCAGUGCAAACAGCAGCCUUGCGUAAUGCCUGUGAAAUCUGUGUGUGCGUGAGGUUCAGGGCGCAUUGCUGGGAUUAAAUCAAACAGGACCUCUCAUUCAGGGGGUCCACUCUGCAGUGCCGGCUCUGUUUGCAUUCAUGUGCUUCUUUCAGGAAGGUCCAGUAGGAGCGUCUCUCUGUGUUUGCUCUGCCCCAAAGAAUGUAUACGCCAUUGUUUCUCAUAUGUGGGCUGACCCGGCCAGAUGCCAUAGCCACAAAAACCUUGUCUUCUUAAUCAGACAAGAGCUCAUAGGGGGCAAGGUGGCACAAUGCCAUUCACGCCCGCUGGAGGGAGGGCAGCACAGAGAGGAAGAGAGCGAGGUAAUCUUGGAUGGAUGAGGAGGAAAACUAGAUGGGUAAAAGGAUGGAAGUCCAGCCAGAGGAAACAACAACAAGACUGAGCUGUUGCUAUAUAUCAAGUAGAUGGAAGAGGCCCAGCUCACUUUAUGGUGCCCUUAAAUAUGCUUAAAGCAGCUCUGCUCUCACUGCCCUCCGUCUCUCCGACAGCAGCUAUGGGCCUCUUUAUGCCUCGCCCCAGGUGUCUCAUUACACAGCCACCUUAACACACACUCGGAGAACACACUCAUAUAGAGUAAUGACACUCUCAGCUGGUGUAAGCUGAACUGUUAGAAUAACAUUAGACCCAAGCACAAGAACAACCUCUAUUGCUAUUGCUCCAUACCCUGCCUGCCUUAUAUUUGUAUACAGCACUUUUUGCCUUCAACAGAUUUUACAGUGUUACAACCCAGGAGUCACAAAGAGUUAUUUGAGCAUUUUACCUUUGGAUUACUGAACUAAAGCACUUCAAAAAGCAGAAACCCCCCCUCCACUCUUUUAUGGAGGGGACUCCAGGCUGUUUUCAGACUAUUUCCAGAGGUCCUGACAUUUUCAUGUCUACUGGUUUAGGUUAGAGGGGGCACAUGAGUGCAAUGUGCAGAAAUGGGAAAUAGUGAGGGGGUCUGGGCUGAUAUCACCACAGCAUGUAAGGGGACAUAUCUGCAACUUAAACACAACAGUGGAAACAACGAAGAGGGAAGCAGAGAGGACAGCGCAGUGAAACUCAGACAUGAUGUCAUCCCAGUCAAAGUGCCAGAGCAUUAGCCUACCUGCUGUGUUCACACUCCGUGGUAACCUCCGGUCUGGAGAAAUGCAAUAUGAAAGCACUAAAACCUGUAGUUCGUUGAGGGUUCACUUGAGGCGGCUAAAAAAGAGCAACAUAUACUUUACAUCCAUUCUACAAAGCACCCAAAACACAUUCACUGUCUGGUUCAAGAAAGCACUUUGGUUUUAUUUCUCUUUCUAAACACACAGUAGUGGGCAGAUUUAUCUUUAACAGAUCAUCAGUUUUAAGGUUUUACGUUGAGAGUUUUGCGUAAGUAAAGUCAAAGCUGACUUGACUAACAGACGACACAAUGCAGCAGUUAACAAGGAGACUAAAAGCUGACCUCAGCUCAACCUCUUUGCAACCUCCAAGGUCGACUGUAAAUUAGGUUGAGUCAGCAUUUCCAAUAUGGCCACAGCCAUUGACAGGCUUCAAAACUCCACUUCAGAAACCAAUAGGAGACUUCACUCAGUGUGUUUACAUCAUAGACUGUAUAUACUAUGGACAACUUGGUUCUGCCUUCCACCAGUAUACUGAUUUGAAGCCGAAAAGCUCUCAGUAUUUCCAUGAUUUUUCUCCAUUUCCUGAAACCAGCAUUGCGUAGUAGCAUUGUACGCAUUCGGCGGGAGAGUCGCCGUGAUGAUGCUCUGCUCAAACAGCGUAUCCCCUGGGUGAGCUACACAAUCUUCGUACGCCCAUAGGCUGUAUCAGGUGUCAAUCAUAGAAAACGUGAACCCCCUAAUAACUUCUUAAAACGGAGCUGUACAGAAAAAAAGAGGACUUGAGCACAAACCAGUCUGACAGUAACUACAUGUCAACAUCACAACCAGGGGGGAGAAAAUUUUAUAUUCUGUGUAAUACAUUUCAUUUCUAAAGUUUGUCCACAGCUCCGUGGGGAUGGCUGGCGGAGGUGCGAUUUAGGGCUGCAGCUAUCGAUUAUUUUAGUAAUCGAGUACUCUAUCGAUUAAUCUGUCGAUUAAUCGAGUAAUCGGAUAAGAAAUGUUUUGCUCUCACUGUAAUACUUUGCAUUGAAUCACGUUUGCCUCAGAGCGGACUUAAUGCAUGGACCGGGUGUUUUCUUUUAAGGUGCUGCAGCAUUGACGACGUGCUGUUGUGAAACGCCAACUCCGCCUUACAGUGAACGCACUGCACGGCGUUUUCUUUCCUUUUCAGUGUGUAAUGGUCCCACACUUUAGACACUUUCUGCCGUUUCCUCUGCGUGUCAUCUCUUUCUUCCUCUCUCUGUCUGUCCUCGUUUCCCUCCAUGAUUGAACCAAACGCGCCAUAGACAUAAUAAAAGAUAGACCCCGCAUCGGCCGCUACCACGAAUGGGCGCUGUCGAGAAAUGCGGCCGCCAUCUUGGUCCGGUCAUCCGCCUCACUCUGCACCGCUGUUUAACCGGCGGAAUGAAGUCUGAGCGCAUUAAUGAAUCAUAGUUCGCUCAAUACUACGUAAUUUUCUUCUCUGCAAACGCCAUUCAAAGAGGCAUGAUAGAGGCCAUAUUUUUUUUGGGCGUUUUCAAAUACUCAGAAUGAAUAAAAUGAUAUUUUAGAACAUGGCAGCAGUGGCUGUAUUAUAGUAUAACAAUUAAUCAAGGAUAUAUUUAGGUUUAGAGCUAGGUUCCUGCUAUGUCUCAAUAAUUAUUAAUAACUGGCGGUAUUAAUAGGCCAAUUCAAUAUAUAUUGAUUUGAUUAUAAGUUUUUAUAUAGUUUAAUUUUAUUUAUCCAUUUGUAGACACACACAAAUAAUGUCAUAUAGAAGCACUAUUUUAAUAACUGGAAAAUACACACAAAUAUAUAGCCUACAUAUCAAAAAGAUUUAAACACAAGAACAGCAUGACAGGACAGCAUCUAAACUACAUAUCAAUUUGCUUGUUGGCUACACAGCACAGAUGAAUCACUUGCUGCGAAUUUCUCCCUCUAACAGCAAUCUCCCACUUCUUCCUCAAGUUUUUGUCCUUAGGAAAUCUUCAAAAUGAAACAGGAGAUCACCACAAAGAAGUCUUUAAUAAAACAGAUAAUAAAACAGAGCUCACUUUCUUCCUUUUUCUUUCUAUUUUAUUUCUUAACGUUUCUUAGAACCUCUCUCAAACAAAAGUUUUUCAAUCUAAUGCAAAUCUGUUGAUAAUCGACCAAAGUUGCUAUUAUUGUGAAUAAGCUAGCUGUUCGCAAAUGCCGUUUCCUUUUUGGAGUUGACCGAUAGUCUUCCUCUUUGGCCUACAAAUGACUCUACAGUCAAGUGUACUGUUUAAAAAAGGUUUAAUCAUAACUGUGAAAAGUUAUUCCUUGAGCCCUGUUCUCUGCUGUCCGCCUGUUGGCACAGGAAUACGCCGCACAGUGCUCCGGCAUCGCUGAAUGAAUGAAUAUGAUUGACCGGAGCGUAUGGGAAACUUGACCUGACCAAGAUGGCGGCCGCAUUUCUCGCUGCGCAGCACCCCCAGCGGGGUCUACCCUUUUAUUAUGUCUAUGAAACGCGCGGCAGCGGAAGGAGCGGAAAGAGCACGCUGCUGCGCAACAGAAAUAACCGUCCGUGUCAAACACCGUGCGCUGCACAUGGUUCCGGAUUUAAACGAUUCCUCGAGGCACAUAAUUUGCCUCGAGGAAUUUUAUUAAUCGAGUUACUCGAGUUACUCGAGUAAUCGUUUCAGCCCUAGUGCGAUUUAUGACCUAUACUGCAGCCCAUCAACAGAGGGUGCUGUUCUCGGGUCGGCUUCACCCAGCGAGGAGGCAGGUGGCGUCCAUUCUAUAUACGGUCUAUGGUUUACAUGCACAAUCAGGUAGAGCUGCGGUCACAGCUUGAUUAAGUGGACCUCUGUCCUGGCCCCUCUUUACAUGCACCGCGCAAGUAUUGAAGCAUGUCUACCUCCCCUGCAGCAGGUCGCGACAUGGUCCUUUCAGCUUGUUACCACUGGGUCGUCACCUGGUUGACCUACUAGGUAUCAAAACAGUCCGCGAAACAUGUAGGCAAGAAGCUACGGGGAUGUACGGUUUCCUAGCAACACAUCCAUGGUCUUCAAUCUCCGGCUCAAAGCCCGGCCAAUGGUCAAUGGUUACCAUGUCCAAAUCACCCUAACCUCACACAGUGUUUGUGUCAAGGUCUGAAAGCUAAAAGUCUGGGUUUUUUUGCCAUCUUCUGCUAACCUACAGACAAGCCUCCAGUUCUACCAAAGAUGAGCUGCCCACCUCGGCUGCUUCACUUGUUAUCUUAAACAGAGGAGUCUUUUCAAUCAAACCAGCCCCCCUGGAAGGUCUAUUUACUUUACAGUGUGCCACGUUUUUUUUUAUGCAUGAUUUUGACAUAAUGAGAGAGAAAAGCUGUUAAAAAAUGGCGCUGCCAGCCAAAUCUGCGCUGCCAGGUGUCCCAGAAAGCUUUGUGCGAUGAAGCAGACUGUUGCAACACACAAUGAACGGGGGCAGAUUUUUCUUUCGUGGCACUGUGCUGCGUGCGGUGGACCCACACUGUUACAAUGCUUAUGCGAGGCACUGUAUUAUCAUAAGAUUAUGGGAAACUUAAGUGCAUGUGUGCUUGUUGCAGUGCUUUCAAUAACAUUAUGGCCAUGAGCAAAAACAGUGGGGAUCUUCAGCUAAAUCCUACAAAGAAAGAACGAAGAGAUUUUGUGAGGGUUUAUGACUCAUUCACGUUACACUUGGAAAACUGGCCUUUGAAUCGAGGUAACCAGGUGUGCUUGGCAGAGGCCCUGUGUCCUUUUAUUGUUGAAUAUGCUGAAAGUUGGUGGAUUAUUAAUGUGGUUAGCAUGACUGGUGUGAGACAAUCUGAGGCGUAGCUCUGAGUCGGCCUUAUUGAUCGCUCUCAGCAUCAAACAGAGGAGGCAGCUGGGAGGCAGCAGGAGAUCUCGGGAUUGUCAAAGCCGGCGAGUGUACUUCCUCUCAUAUUCAGCUUUGUUUCUGUACUUCCCUCCAGCACCUCACCCCAAGUCCUCCUCCUCCUCCUCUUUCAGCAACUCUUCCUCCUCCCUCUCUCUCAGCAAUGACCACUCAGAACACUGGAGAGAUGUGAAGAGAAGGAGAGGAGUGGAUGAAAGAGCAAAACGAGAGGAAAGGGAGAGCACUUAGUCUGUAGGGCAUUAAUAAGCAUGGCUCUUGGCGAAGGAGCGCUUCCUACAUUCCCACACAAAAAAAAUACCCUUGCUAACACGCACAUGCACAAAUCCAGUCCCUCACACACUCAGUGAUGGUUGGCCACCUGCCAGUGGCUCCCCAGGGUUGAAAAGAAGGGAUGUGUAGUGCAGACUACAGCAGGAGUGGCUGUCUGAGGGAAUGGCAGAGUGUGUGGAGCACUGUGCCACUGUGGGACAGUCCAUUAUCCACACCCCUUGGUCUGCAUUUCAAUGGUUCCUGCCAGAAAAAAGAGAGCCAACACGUCAAGCAACAGGCGAAGGCUGCUCCUCCUGAGAAUCGAAGUGUCUGCACAUUCACAUUUCUUAGUUGGCUGCAUGAUUCAUAUUCAGGCGGAGUGAGAGCAGAAAUGUUGCUCCUGUUUUAAUGACCUCCCCUGUCAUCCGUCUUAUCUCCCCCCUUCAUGUAGAUGUGGCAUGUUUAGCAGGCAGAGACCUGACAGGGCUGAGAUGGCCUGUUUGACCCACCAGAACAAUAAGCUGUUGGCAUGACCACAUGCUGAACACCAUGGUAAUACAUUUGGCAAAUACCAGAGCAAGCCCCCUGUAUCAGCCCUACUCAGAGGGGCUCAGCCCUGCAUGUUUGGCCACCUGGCAGCUUUCCCCUCAUCCUGCCAGCCUGUUAUCAUCUUCAGGGAGAGACUUCACCUGGAAGAGGGCCAGCAGCAAAGUUACACAGAGGCCACAAAAUAAACACAAGUUACUACAGCAGAAAACAAGCAUGAAGAGAAAAACAUACUGGAGCAGAUUGGUCAGCAGGGACGCCCCUGUCUCUCUGAAAUUAAGUGAGCAGUUCACCAAAUCUCUGCCUUAAUCAAGCUUUAAUGAGACCAUAAUUGCUGUCUAGGUUAAGUGUCCUGACCACAGUUUUUUGAGAGAACAGAAUUCUCGAUCCAUGUGAGGUGCUGGAGGUAUAUCAAAGGCAGUGGUCAGUAUGAAGUGUGGAUGUUGACAGGUUUUGAGAUGCACUGUAGGAAAAACUGUCCUCAGCUUGUAUUUAUCUGCUGCCAAAGUCAGGAGCAAAGUCACCUGAGAGUAAGUGCCACACAAGCAAAAGGGCCGUGUUGUCAUUGAUCAUAAACCCUACACUGCAUGGCUGUAGUCUCAGUGACAUAGCCCUUUGGUUUCUGAGAGUUUUGAAGUCAUCUAUCGAUGGUGGCUGUCAUAUGGAAAAUGCUGACUCAGCCUAACUUUCUGUUGACUUAAAACAUUAAGAGGUGGAGUUGAGGCUAAUCUUCAGCCUCCUUACUAGUAGUCACAGUGUGCCUGCCUGUCAGUCAAGCCAGCUGUGCGUCAUGCCUGUAUGACCUGUAUAGUGUAUGCAGAUAGAAAAAAAGAACUAUGCAGACAAAAAGGAUUUUAAAACCAGGCUGUAAACUUGUCUAUUUUUGCUGUAAAGACUGACUUCUUAGGAUGGUAUGUAGCUACAGGUGUUUUUAUUGGAUACACAAUGAACUGCAGUUUUUAGCUCCCAUAUUGGCUUCAUUUCUAAAGACCAGAGGUUGCUGAUUGAUGGUCAUUCAACAUCUUCAAUCAAGACUCCUGUUUGUACUCCUUUUUUCUGUUCCUGCACCCUAAUGCUUAAUUUUAGGGAGCAAAAUCACUUUGGGUACAUUUUGGUAAUGUUUUGGCACAAAUACAAUUGGCUUGGGUAAGAAUAAAUUGUAUUUUGGUCAGAUUUUAGGAACCAUAAAACCUUGUGUUGUAAGUGACUACUUUUUUUUCAGUUUUGGAUAUAGUCAAACUAACCUGAAAAUUGCUGCUGUCACUACAGAUUCCCCAUCAUAUACUACCUUGAUGUUCAUUUGUGCUGAUUUUAAAAUUAAUUUAAACUUUUGAUUAAUUUUGAUACAUUAACCUCAAGGAAACUAAAGUAUCAUUGUCUUGCCCAAGGAGAUAUUGACGUGGAGAAGAUGAGGAUCGAGCUGCCGACUCUCUGACUGGUAGACAACCAGCACGUCCACUGGGCCCUCACCAGGUAUGUGAAUAAAUGUCACCAUGUAUAAUAAGAUUCAAGAGGAAAAGAGAGUUAUUCUUGAGUAAACUUGUCAUGUUGGUUGGAAUAUGAAUACAAUGUCUUGGAGACAGGUAGGUGGAAAGAGAGAGAGAGGCCACAUACAAAACCACAGACAGUCAGGAGUUGUUUUGACAGAAUGAAGAGGAAAUCUUUUAACCUCAUCACAACCCCCCCACUCAUCUUUUAAUCACACAAUAAAGAGCUUUCUGAGAAUUUUGAGUCGAUCAAGUAGAAAAAUGGGAGAAGUAGAAAAACAUAUAAUCAUUUUAUCAGCUUUCAGUUUCACACUUACUUAAAGAGCAUCUUUAAUGCCAUUUAUCAGUUCACAUGGAGCUUUUGAUUCCACUAAUAAUCUGAAAAAGAGCUUAAUCACGACACAACGCCUGAUUAAUACGUCUCAUCUCAAUAAAAAUGUUCCACUCCUAAAAAUGAGCUUUUUUCUUUUUAAUUCCCUCUUGUUACAGAAUGAACUUCCUGCAAUUUUCACAUCAUUUUGAUAACUCUCUUUUAUUACAAUCUGUACUUUUGCCUUACCUCCUGCCUCGCUGGCGCUCAUGGGAGGAGCGCACAACUCUGCUCCUAAUAUAUAUAUAUAUAUAUAUAUGACUUUUUUCACAUUUAUUAAUACUUUCAACCACUUUUCUGAGCUUACACUGGGGUGGAUGUCAAACAAAGCAUUUGAAGUGCAAACCAGUCCAGCACAGACCUCCACUCCUCCUUCUCUGUUGUCUUAUAUCCUGUACAACCUCCACCUAGCUGUGUCUUAGGAACUUGUACAUCUUCAGGAGUAUUUUUGUUGUUGUGCUUUGUUGGUCUGGCUUGUGAAUGCUUGACUUCACUGCUUAAUAUUGUGAUUUUGGUUUCCAGUGGUUCUGCAACGUUUGGUCCAUAUCUUUGAGCUCCCAGAAAAUAUUCAGAAAUAUGGACAAAAUGAGAAAAAAGUCAGUAUUUGUACGUGGAUGUAGGGCUUAAACGGCGCUGUAGGGGAACCAUCCACUCCACACUAAAUUUGACAGAGUGGUACAUUCUGUUAAUGCAGGCGCCUCCGUGGAAAAGCACCAAAAGUACUGCUGAAAACAUGAUGUUGAGUUUGUAGUGGGUUAUUAUGCAGACUGAAAUCAACUCUGAUGUCCUACAAAAGCAAACAGCACUAAAAGCAAAAAGAGUGACAGUGUCUAUAUCAUGAUUCUAAUGCCUGUAGCCGCUGUGAGGGGGUUGGUGUCAGACCAGACAACUGACAGAAAGCUGGAGGAAAAGCCUUUAUUUACUUCUCCACAUCAAACAGUCAAAGUUAGUGAAACAUUUGACUGCUAAAAGACAGAAAGAUGAUAUGUUAAUGCCAGAAAACUCUAUUUCACAUGUACAGGAUGAGACAAAUAUAGUCUUUUAAUGCUUUCUUUUGAUCAGCUGUAUGAUUUCUGAGUAUUUUAUAUAUUCAAAAAUGAGUCGUAUUGGUGGAAAAAAUGUCAGACUGUGUUACUGUAUGAAUGACUAUUCUAAUCCUGUAACUAAAUACAGCCAGGAGAAGUGUCAAUCACAUUUAUUUGAGAUAGUAAUUGGGAAAAAAAAGCUACAAACUGUAUAACAUUUACAGCAGAGUAUGUCCCUGCACUGUAGCACACAGCUCACUGUAAGGAAAGAUAAAACCAAAAGGGGAGCUCCUUAGAAGAGAUAAAGAGACUUUGUUGGCAUCCCCCCCAGGGAGUCAUUUUAGUGUGAAGUGGCUGGAGCAGUCUUUAAUUUAUUAUUGAUCUCCAGCUUCCAUCAGACUUGUCCGUUUGUACAUUAAAGAGGGACUAUUAUGUCCCUUCAAAGCGUCCCCUGUCAUUUAAAAGGCAUUUGGCUUUUUUAUUGGUGUGUAGGAUAGAUUUUCAGCCAUGAGAGGGACAGGCGGUGUUCAGCUAAAUUAAAUGUUUGUAAAGGACAUUUCAGAGGAACAAUACGAGCUCGGCCAGAUAGCAACACUACUAUACUUGUGUUCAUUAAAGAUUUAACAGGCUGUUUGUUUGCCUUUGUAACUCUGCAAUACAAGAUUAAACGAUCCAUAUUCCUAUCCCACACUGGUUUGCACAUGACUUCCAGAGGUCUUUUUCUCCAUGUCCUCAGUUCUCAUUCCUCUAUAUCUUAUCAUCAGGGGGGAGUAUGGUAGAAUAUUCAGGAGCUAUGGAGAAAAUGUUCAAAGGUACAAUAUGCAACCUGUUGCUCCAAGGCCGACAUUGUGCAUAUAAAACUCUGACCUCCAACCUCUCCAACAGCUACGUUUGGACACUUAUUACAAACAGCAUGAUGAGAUGAUCUCCUGCCUCGGGCUGAUUUACUCGUGCAGCAUGGAAACAUCAAGCGCAGCAGAUGUUGAACGCACAUGAUGUGUAAUAAAAAGAUAAAUCAAUCCUGAUCGUAUUUCAUAAACAUAAGUUUAUUUACUUCUCUCUUCUAUCAUGUCUUACAGAUUGCAGCCUGUUUCUAUCCCUGUAUUGCUUUUUUUUAUAUGAUAUAACUUUUCUGGACUUUCCUCAGCGAACACAAACUCAAUAACUUUGUGUUACAACAAGGUGUAAGACAAUGUUCCUCCCCUGGUACCAAGCAGCAGAGGAGGCACUGAGGUGUCACUCCUCAAAAUGAACAACUCUAAAGCCAGAUGAGAAUUUCAGCUUCACAAGAUUCAGAGCUUGCAUUAAAUGCCAGCCUUUUUUUUUGCACUCAAUACCUAUAUUUUUAUGGCAACAGCGGUUCAGAUAAAGACUUGAGAUUAAUAAUCUGAGUAAAAGACGGAGAAAGAGGAUGAAAACUUUAAAAAAAUGAUGACCCAAAACUUGAUGCAUUCAGUUUUGAAAAGAAGAGACUGCAACUGCGUACUUUGUCCACAAGGAUCAUGGACAUUAUUAUCCAAAAAUCCUCACAGUGGCUUUAAAGUUAAUCGCACAGUCUGUAUUUAAAGAACCACCACAGAAAAAAAGUUUAAGAACAUUAACUUAAGCUAACCCGAGCUUUAUCUGUGGGAUCGUCCGACGGUCUAUGACCAAUCCGCCAAAACUUGCAUCAUUUAUUGUCUCAUAUUGAGGAGUCUUUUCAAUUAAAUCUGCACGCCACAAGAUUCAUUUACUCAACAGAAUACCACAGUUUUCUCUAAAUGCAUGAUUAUGAGCUAAUGAGGGAGAAAAGCUGUUAUAAGGUGACGCUGCCAGACUCGUCUUUCCCUCUAUGUAUCCAACAUGCUUUGGCAGUAAAGUGGUCGCUUGCUUCUCAAGUACUAUCGUCUUAGUAGAAUCCUGUAAUACCUCUCUCAGACUUGUAUGCCGGUGUACUGGUGCAGCGGUGCAUAGAGGGAACUUUAGAGGACAAAAAGGCAUAAAAAGAUGGAUUUUGACUCUAGAAUAAGGUCCACAUUUGGUGCUUGACUCCAGUGCCCAUCAUGUAAUUUCAGAUUAGCACAGACACACACUUUUUUCAUGCUUUAUUUAUAAUUAUCUGUAUCUACUUUGCCAGUCUCGACAUGUAGCUCUUGGUGAAUAUUGCACCGCACAGUUUGGAAAUAUCUCACAUGCAUUAAACAUGGACUCUAAUGAACGUGACCAAUUUGGUGCCAGCUUGCUUUGAUCUCCAUGAGGGAUCUUUGAACAUAAUUAUUCAUAAUCUCUCUUCUGUGUGUAUGGGUAUGUAAUGUGCAUGUGUUGGACCCCGCUCCGCUCUGCUCUGCUCUGCUCGCUGGCUGCUCUGAGCUCUGGUGCGUAGUAAGACAGAGCCCCUCUGUCAGUUCACGUCCCGCCUCCCCUCGUGUUCACAUCGAGGGGUGUGUGGAGGCCAAGCCAUCUGCCAGCUCCGCAUCUAGUGUGGAAUCCAUCAUUUAGGCGCCUUAAAUGACCCAUGAGGACACGUUGCCACCAGGAAGCAAUAGCUAGCCCGCCAACUAGCAAGCGAGCAUGUUAGCCAGUUGAGAAAAAGUCCAGCAGCUGAAUACAUUUGGAGAAGUGGAGUUUUCAGAGAGGUAAUCACGGUUUUUCACCAUGAAAAGAGAGCAGAAGGGCAAGCAGAGGGUCUGGCUGAGAGGGUAAUGGGGCUAAUAGGACUGGUAAAUGAAAAGCCGGAUGAUGAUAACAGAGCAGCUGAUUCUAUCUACGCUCAUAUAUAACCCCUCUGAAUGUGUGUGUGAGUGUGUGUGUGUGUGUGUGUGAGAGAGAGAGUGGCAAAGAAUAGAAGCCAAGAACUGAAGAGCAGGGAGUGGUACGAAGGCCAGAGACCUCCCUCUGGACUGGAUGAAUCCUUCACAGUUCUGAGAGCUUUAUGAAACAUUCAUGAUGGACGUCAUUUCUUGCUGUUUCUCCAUCAUUGUCUCUCCGCCUCUGUGUUUGACUCACUGUUUCUUUCUAUCAGAUAAAAGCAUAAAUAUGAAUGGACUAAAAUUACUCACCUGCCUGCUUCUUUGGCUGUUUUUAUUUUUACAGCACAUCAGAUUUGCUUUUAUUUUUUUCUGACUCCUGCAGAUUGAAUUCUGCCAAUGGAGGUGAAUAAUUCAUCCCUGUAUUAAACUCAAUUUUUCACACACAAACGCACAAACACUUAAAUAUAGAAGUGAGAGGAUCUGACUGGUUUUUGAAUUGGGCAACUUGUUUUUAUGGUUUAUUUACAACUCACCGGAGCUGCUUUAUGAUCUGAGGUUUUGAAGCAACACUCACACACAUGCACACACACAUUCGUGCACACACACAUUCGUGCACACACACAUUCAUGCACACACACAUUCAUGCACAUACAUGUGCGGCUAAGUGCACUGUCAACAAACAAGGGAUCAGUCUCUUCCCCAUCUGCUGAGUGUGCCAGUUUGCCGCAGGCAUUAAGACACCUUUAGAUGCUUCACAAACACACACACACAUACUUACACACACUUGCGCAUGGCAGUAGAAAGAAAGUCAUACCACAAUAGCAUAUUUAGUUCAAAACUGGAGCAGACAGCCCAGUAACAAGAGGCAUAAAUUACUCCGUCUUCCCAUAGGAGACAAUCUUGAAGAAAAAUGUAAAUGAGACUCCAUGGAGACAGAAAAGAUUUCAGCAAAAUGUGGCGAUCAUCUCCCCAAAACAUUAUCUCCUGGAAGACCUACGCCUUUCUCAAAAGUUCACGUCUUUGAUCCCGAUUCUGUGUUCAAUUCUUACAACAAGAAAACAAGCAUUAAUUCUAAAAAUGUAAAAAGUGGCAGUAAACGCAAAACAAUGCAAACUACCCCAGCUGCCACACCCCAAAAGACCGCCUGAUUCAAUCAAUAAUUUUUGGCCAUGAGCCGAAUCAUCUGCCAUCCAAAGCAAAUAUAUUCCACCGUUUGUGCUCAAGCUGCAUCAGAUGGCACCAUAAUCAUUGGGAAGUAAGCCAGCUCAGGCUGUGGUGGUAAUUGUGGCUGCUUUCUUGCUUUGAUCUCUUUCCAGCUCAUGUGCGUUGACACUGUCUGAAGCCCAGAACCCCGCGUCUAAAUGGGAUUGGACAGUUCUUGUAUCAUGACCUCACUCCUGCUCAGUAUGACAGCACAUUGGUGGAUUGCUGUCAGUCUGCUCCCAUUAGCUCACCUACCGUAUGGAUUUUUUCCCUACAGCUUUAGAUGGCUUCUAUUUUAUGAAACGCAGCUCUCAUCCCAUUUUGUUUGAUUAGUCUGAAUCAUCAUCCUACAUUUUGAAAUCAAUACUGUUACCCUCGCCUGUCUGAUGGGUGGCACGGACACAAAAACAUGUCUGCUGAGAUUUGAACUGAACUGAUCCAGUAAUGUUUUCAACUGAUGCCAGCGGGGCUCGAGUCGGAUGGCAUCUCUACAUACCAGGGACGAUAAAACAUGUUUGGGGCAAUCAGAGAUGUCCCCCAGGACCCCUGCAGGAAAAAAGGCACUUUGGUUUGCGUACAGUAUGUCUAUUACGGUACCUACUGCUUUGCAAACGAGAGCUAAACGUUGUCACUAUGUUCACUCACUAUCAUUGGCUUGCUACUCAGCAUGAGAACCAUGAAGAUUCUGAAAUGCUGCUGCAGCAUCUGCCCUCCUAUCCUCUUAAAGACAAACUGCUGUGUCUCUUUCAGUGAGCCUGAGUACACAUGAGAUCCCUGAGAGACAGAAACAGGUUAACUGAUGUAAGGCGCCAUCACGCAUUAUGAAAUGCACUGGGACACAAAUAAUGCACUGUUAGGAGAAUAAUGUAAAAGUGCAAAGGCAUGAUGAUGCUUUGUUACAACCCUGUGCAACAGUCCCAAUUUUGGAUGACCUCUUCCCUGGCUAAAGCUGUCUCUGGAAAUGUAGCCGAUUUAAGCGUUUUCUGAAUGAGAACAAAAAUGUUGUGUGUAGAUUAGAACAAUGGUUAUUAUGGUAGCCGAGUGGGUAGAAAGCACAAGUAAGCAUGUUGCGCAAAGUCUUGAACAACAGUAUUAAUACAAGGGGGGUCUGCGCUGCUGCUAAGUAGUACAGAGAUGUUGUCUGUGAACCCCCCCUGCUCUCCAGAAAUAAAGGGCCUGGAAUCACAUCUUGCUUAGCACCCCCACCCUCUGGAUGUUCCCAGAUUUCAUUACAGAAAUCUGGUUACCUUACUGUGCAACAUAGGACAAAGUAUUAGAAGUAUCAAGGUUAGUUUUCUAGAGCCAAAGGUGUUCAUAUUUGGAUCAAUUUCACACCUCAAUCCUAGUCAACCACACCAGAAAAUCAUAUUUCAUCAAUCAGCCAAUCUUCAUCCAGUUCAUAACAAAUGCUAAUUGCACCAAGUUCGAUCAUAUUGUGAGAUUUUUUUUUAAUGCUUGCAUUCAGAGGUAGACGACUGGGAGAAGAGAGUGAAGAACAACACGCUAUGAACAUGAGGCUGGCCAGAGUGGUGUCCUGCAUUUCUGAAAGAAAAAAAAAACUCAGACUGUGUUGAAAUGUCAAAUCAGGAAAAUGUUGCUAGUACUUAAAACAUUGAAACACUAGCUAACUCCAAUUUGGAGAAAAACCAUCUGCCUGUUGUGCCGCCACACAGUUAGUCAUUAGAGAGAUUUGGAGUUUGAGGCACUGCUGCUUCAGCCUGAAGCUAAGUCUACUUCUUGUGAACUGUUUACUGUCAGACUAUCAGAAUUAACCCGGAGUGAGUGUCUCUUUUUUACUUACUUUAUAACUUUAAACUGUAGCACAACUUUGAAGAAUUUUGCUGCUUAAUUGAAAGUUUCCUGAUCUAUUAAUCUUAUCGGUUACAUGCAUAAGGAUUACCAGGUGACUUGUCGUGAGGGGCUUAUCCGCUGUUUAACAGGUCACAGGAGUCCAGCUGGCUAAGCCCUUUAGCUUCUGACCAGAUGCUCCCCCUGACGUGAUGUGACUCCUGAUACUGACUUCAAGCUUACAACACCUACACCUGGCUAAGCUUACUACCACUCUGCUGCUAGUGUGUGUCCGUGUGUGUGUGUUUCUGGACAUAACGACAAGCAGCCAUGUGUGUUAUAGUGUUAUCCAUCUGUACUGUAUCUGCAUGGCUGACUGCUUAGUAUUCCCAGGUGUUGUGCGCUAAGCUGCAUGUAGCUACAGAAGAAAAAAAAUGGGCAAGUUGGCAAAGGGCUGUGAAUAAUACAUGUGCUGUUGAAUUACAUCUUGACACAGUUAGGAAAAUGUCCAAUAAACUUCCACUACAAGCUACAAAAAGUCUGUUUUUGCCUGCCUGUGCAGUUUAUGUGUGUGUGUAAGCACUUGCAGGUGUGUCUGUGGAAUGGUAGCUAGUUGCAGGUAAUGGUGUGUGACAGCGGAGCAGCUGACAACAUGGCAGGGACUGGGAGGGCAACCAGCAGCAGAGCAGAGUAAACAGUGAGGGACCUGCAUCCCCAUCCUGCUGCAGAGUCUGCAAGCGUGCAGCCAUUCAAUUUACUCACGGCACUAAUGCAAUUAUAGCCACAGUAAUUUACAAUGUCUAAGAGGGUGCUGUCUCUGUUUGUGUGCGAGUUUGUGUGUUUAAUUAGUCAUGCUGGACCUGCUGCCUUGUGAGAGAGAUGUUGUGUGUCUAUAGAUCUGCUUGUUAGUGUGUUGGUUAGUAUAGCAGUUGUCUUACUGCCUUUGCAUGUGUGAGUGCUUGUUCCUACGUGUUGUAAAUGUACAUGUGUGUGUUUUGCAGUCUCCUGAAACUUAUGUCUAUGCCAGUGUUUGUGUGUGUGUGUGUGUGUGUGUGUGUGUGUGUGUGUGUGUGUGUGUGAAGGUGUGUGCAUGUGUACACAACACCAUCUGCCUGUGACUGUGGAGCUAAAAUCCCUGAUAGCCUCUCGUCCCCAUUUCAGAAACAGCUGAUCAGUCAUCCAACUAGCUGUCUGGCAGCUACAUCAAAGACGGAGUUGUCUCUAGAGAGGCAUGUGUUACACACUCAGCCACAUCACCUGCAACAACACAUUCACUGGUAGAAUAUCAGCAGAUUGUUUGGAGCAGAGUGGCAGUGGCUACCACUGAGAGGAGCAGCUUUGAAUAUGGAAGUGUCAUGUGGGGCAAAGUUGGUGUCUGACUUCCAAAACAAAAUGUUCUGAUAGCUCUGUGAACUGUUGCACUCGGCUACUCAGUAACACAAAGUGCCUGUCCAAUUUCAUUAUAAUGUGACUGCUGUUGCAGUUCCAGCAAUUUCAAGUUCAAAACUUUAUUGUGAAAUCCCCACUGGGCAAAUUCAGUUUUCUCAAAGGCUGUGCCAAAAUGACUCCACAACUUCAAGCUUUAAAAAAAAAAAAAAAGGUUAUUCAGUGUGCAUGGUAUCAUAUAUGAGUUAGACACUGAGUUGAUCUGUUUUAAUAUGACUAUAAAGUUUUUGCAAAAUGUUUAGUCGCCCUAAAUUAUGAAGGCAAUAAAACACUAACAGCUGUUUAAGAUGAGACUGUUUUGAUGUGGGAUAAACUCUGGAAACAGAUCACAGUAUGUAUGGUCUGUGGUUUAUCCUAAGUAAUAUGACAGCGCUUGGGGGAACUUAUGAAGUUGGAAAGUUAAAAUUCAAUUUUCAAUCUAAAAAGAGCCUCCACACUCACUUUUAGGAUUAAGUGAGAAUCUGAAGUUUCAAAAAUGUCAAAGUGAAUAAAACCAAAACUUUUAAAGCUAACACUGACACAAGAGAUUCAGAACAAAUGAUGUGAAAGAGUUUAUUUUUGCUGUGUGUGCUAAGCAUGGGUGCACCUGCUCACACAGUACCUGGUCCAGAAUGUAUCUUGAUUUUUAAGUCCCAGCUCUUUUUGUAAUUGGUAGACAACACUUACAAUUUCUUGUCCAUUAUUAGAUUGUAUAAAACUUUGCUUUUACAAAUCAUAGCCCAGAUUUUUUUAAAAGUUUUCAACAGUUUGGGAGAAAGAUACUGAUAAUGAAGCCUCUUUAUGAUCUUCAAAUCCAAUAAAGCCAUCAGCAACAUGUCUGAUAAUUUCAGUGUAGUAAUUGUUGUUUGAUAAAAAACACUGCAGGCUUAAAAUACAGCUUCUUUUGACUUUUUUUCAUAGCAAAACACAGUGAGUGAUAUAUUUCCUCAUUAAAAGACAACAGGGUGAGGUUUUUGUUUGAAAACACUAUUAUCAUAUGUAAAGGACAAUAGAGAACAUGUAAGACUUUGUCUACAGAGGGCCGAAAUAUCAACAUGGAUCAUUAUGGAUUAAUUUCAGCACCCUAUUUUUGUCUUAUCCCUGCUCUUUGUCUAUUGUUGUAGUUCACUGGAGAUUCAAAGUGUUUCCAGAAAGUGGAAACUUGGAUUUUAAGAACUUUUUGUUCAGCAGGUGUUUGGAUUGGUACAUACCCCGGGUCACCCCUUGACAUCUACUCAGUGGGGCAUCAAACCUAAAUUUGUUUUCUAAUGUUUUGCACUUUUAUAAAGUUCCUUCACUUUAAUCAACAAGUUUAAUAUUUCAAAGAAUACCAACUGCACAUAUAAAGCAUAUUUAUUUCAUUGCAGCUCUCAUAAUGUUCUUGGAGAGUAUAAGCUGCUCUGCUUACCUCACAUGAACUCCAGGUCAUCCCUGCUCAGCCACUAGUGAACUGUUUGACAUCUACACUGAGAGAGAUUGGCCAGAGUGUCACCGGUAUCCUCUGAGCUCUAUCCGAGCACGGCCCAGCUCUGGCCCUGCUCCAGUUAGAGACAUAUUAUUAGCCUCUACCUUAGCCCAGCACCUAGUCUGCAUCAGGGAAUUACCUCACACAGACCACGCUAAUUAAAUCUCCCAGACGCCCUGGCUCUUAAUAAAGCUUGACAUGACAGCUUGGCCUGUGCAUGUCACAGUGACCCCACAACCCGGAAGCUGCCUUCGGUGCUUGUAAUCGUGUGUGUGAACGCUGUGUGUGUGUGACAUUCAGGCGGAGGGGUUCUGCCACUAGGGGGGAAGGGUCAGACACCUGUCUCCAACUCAAAGAGAGGUCACUUCCCGGGGUAUGGGAACGACCGUGACUCAGCAGAGGGCGACUACAUUAGCAAUACAAAUCCUACCAAGGGGGGGAGGAGCAUCUGAUUAGUAUUUUUCUAUGUUGACGCCAUUACUUCAUGUUGAAUUGUAAUCUUUGUACAAACAUUUGGUGGAUCUCAAAGGAUCAGUUUUAGUCAGUUUUCGUGUGCAGUGUGAAAUUCUUAAGGAUUAGACCAAAGGGAGCCAGUCUAUCUCCUCAUGUGGAAACAGUAUGCACCUAACAAAUUGUUUUGAACUGUUCAGCUAUCGACAUGGAGUCAGCCUGCAGCUGUUUGUGCUAUCUAGUGUCCACUUAACAUGAGUCUCUUGUUUUCCACAAGGUUGAACUCACAUGAAAGCUUUUGGAUGGAUGGAUGAUAGAUGGAUAGAUGGCCGGGCGAGCUGUCGGAUAAACAACAUACUGAGUCGUGCGGUGACGCGGACUUUGAGGCAGAAAUAUAAACAGGCAGAGUGUGGUGACAUCUGUUUAAAAGAGAAAACCCUCUCAACAGCUUUUGUGGAUUAACAUAAAUGAUUAAACCCUGUUAGCAGGAUAAACAAGUUAAACAUAGCAGCGUGUGCUUGUGUGUUUGUGUGUUUCUGUGUCAGCGCUCUCUCUGCUGCCAAAACCUGGCACUGUCUCAUCCAGGGUGCACGGUCAGGUAACGAAACAAAGACAAGUCCGGUAUCUUUUCUGCCUCAUUUUCUAACAUUAACACCACAGUUAAAGCCCUCCUACAGAUUACACUUGGUAAUUUUUCAUAAUACACCUACUGUGUUACCUUUCCUGAGUGAUGUGGGAGGUUGUUUUUGAUGUUAUGUAUAACUGAGAACAUUCAGAUCCAUUUCAGAGCAAACGCUGAUAACAGUGAUUAGAAAGUGUGGAGACGCAUUCGUUCGGCUGCGCGGAGAAAUCUUAGCCUACUGACCUGGAUUAGAGGGAGUGUGAUUGCAUAUUCACCGCUCAACAAAAAAACAAACUUAAUGUGUCGAGGGCCAUGAGCAGCAAAUCAAGACUGCAUUGUUGAUUAGCAAAUCAGCUUCAUUACAGAAUCCUCCUUAUACUCUGUUUGAUCGGCUCUGCCGUGUAUUUAUAAAUCUACAGAAAAUUUAUACCAAGUGAUAAUUAGUUGAAUCAUAUUAGGGGAUGCAAUUACAGCGCUGUCGGAAAAAAAAAAAAACAGGUAAACUGGGUCAUGUGCUAUAAGAAAUGCUUUGACCUAUAUUCAGAGAAUCUUAAAGAGCCACUCUUUCCAAACACAAGGAAUUUAAAAUAUUUAUAACGCCACGGGUAUGGGCCUGUUCCCGCGUCUCUGUCGUCUUCCUGGUGCACUGAGUGUUUGUUUAGCUGCUUCUUUUUAUAAAGGUCUCCCAGCUCUAGACAGCAAAGAUAGAUUGCUCUGAAUGGGCGUCUGUGCCAGCAUGCAGUGCCCAUUCUAAUUCAGAGCCCGGCUGCCACACCCACAGCUGCUGCUUGCUGCUGCUGCCGCUGCUGCUGCCUGGGGCCAGAGAGGGAGAGAGCAGCAGGAUGGAGUGGAGCAGCGGUGAACUAUGGCUGCACGGGGGCCAGACUGAGAAUAUAGGUCAUCCAGCCCCGCAGAUGAAAGAUGCAUGGCUGCCAGGGUGGAGAUGGAGUAAAUAUAGAGAUGCUUCCAGCUCCUCAGCGUGGGCAGUUAAGAUGACCACAGGGAGGGAUAGGAGAGGGCAUGUGCAGGGUAUGUGGGGUAGGAAGGAUGAGAGUGGGAGUGGCAUGUGAGCAGAGGGGAAUGCAGGAAAUUCAGUGCAGGGGAGAGGCGCGGGUGGGGUGUGUGCUGUGGGUGAAUGAGACUCACAGGAACAGAAGUGUGUGAAUGUUUGUGGGAACUAGUAUCAAAUGCUCUUUCUUACUGGUGAAGGGGAAAUAGAAAAAGCAGACUCCCCUCCUUGGAGCAGCUGCGUCUGGGGCACAAUAUCGUCCUCUGUUCGCCUGUGGCUGGUGGUGAUCGAGGGGCCGAGUGUAAAGAUCACACUCACUGAGCACAUUUUCUUUUGUUUUCUUUGUGAGUCAAGAUGAUGCGGUCGACUUCCAGGGCUCAGAGCUGCACUGUAAACUCAUUAACACGAGUCAAAUGAGACCUAAAAGAGCAGAUUUGUCCAAUAUAGGCAAGACUUCCUUGUUUUCGGUUGUCAAAUCGUCUCUCCCAAAGUUUAGAUAAAUCUGUUGAGGAGAGUUUUAGUAAGGAUGUGAAUGGAGCUUUGCUAGUAAGCUUGUGGUAUUGAAAAAAAAACUGCAACUUUAUCUGAAAAACAGACUUGCAGUACUUUUCAGUGAGGAAAUAGUCCCCCAAAAUCUUUUCUCAUGAACUCUGGGUGAGGCACAGGGAUACUUUCUUGGGGAGAGAUGUUGCUAUAGACAUUUUAAACAUAAAAUUGUUAUUUUUGAGCAACACAUGUGAUAAAAACAUCCACCCCAACAGAAUUAAAAACUAUCACAGCUGGUUUUACCGGUUUGCUCUCAAAGAUCGUUCCCCUGAAUCUUUGUCUACACUUUCAAAUUCUUUAAAUCUUAACACACAUUAAAAAUGUAAGGGACCCAACACUUGGUGACAAAUAAUGACCAUUUUUAACCCCCCUGUUUUACAGUAUAAUGAGAGCAGUACAGCACACCACACACACACAGAUUCUGUGUUGCAACAUGCAAAACUAGAAAUCUCAUUACGUCCCUCAAGAUCAAACGUGACUUAAGAGUAAACAAACAACGCAGAUGACAGGCUAAAUAAUGCAAGCUGUUUAGCCACCCUCACAUGUCAAGUCGUGUAGUGACUCUUUCAACUCUUUCCCCUCUCUGUUUGGUUGAGCUAUGGUUUACAGAAACACAGCUGUGACAAAUGAACAGGGUUAUCCUCCAUUUCUGAUGUCCAUGACUCUAUGCGUUGUGUGUUUACUAUUAUCACCAUCACUAUGUUUGUUGUGAAUUCUGAUUGGCUAUCAAAUGUUCCUCUUAUUGUCUUUUUAGGGUAAAAUUUAUAGAUCACUUUAAAUAUUUGCUGUAGAAAUAGUAACGAAGGCUGUUUUUUUUCUGUGUACCUAACCCUCACAAGUAUUACAGGCAUUAGAAAUGAAAAUGUAGAAGAUCUCACUCUCGUUGAAAAUGGUCUCCUUUGCUGUUUUACAUCAUAAAAUGCAUCACUGCUCAUUUCAGCCCGUUUCAUGAACAAUCAAGUAGAUUUAAAGCUCUUGUGUGUAGUUUUUUGAUGUUUAGGAAUAAACCCAAACAUUUUUAAGCCUUUUCAUAGUAAUACGGAAAAAAAAUAAUAAUAAUAACAACACACAGGACCAUCAGCAACAAUAUUGAUAAUUUUUGUUUUGUGUUUUUUUUUUUUUAUGCCUGGAGCCAACGCAAGGGGGUAGGUGUCUGCCAAGCAGCUAAAGAAGCAGCCCUGUUUUUACACUUUCCACCUAAAAUACAGUUUUUCUUGUUUGAAGACACUACUUGAGUAUGUAGAUGACAAAAAAGGGAAAUCCUGCUUUGUCCACAGGGUGCCAAAAUUGACACAUACCAAAAGUUCCCCACAGGAGCUGUUUUAUAUUAAUGGUUUAAUGAUUUUCAUGCAAUAUUGUAAAAAAUUCUGGCACCACAGGAAACUGGCAAAAUUGUCUUUAGAAUAAAUAAAUAGAUAAAUAAAUGAAUGACGUUGAUGUAGUUGUAUUGAAGUUGUAUCUAGACCGGGUCUUUUUGUAAACAUUUGCUGUGAGUUGGCUCUACAAAAACAAAGGUUGAUUGAUAAGUAAAUAACUUAAUUGAUAAAUUAGUAAAUGAAUAAGAAAAAAAUCAGGACUGUCAUCUUUUUUUUAAUUCUGAGUUUUAUUUUUAUGUUAUUAAAUAUUUGAUAUAAAGGGCUUAAAAUACCUUUUUUUUUUUUUACAAUUAAAAUGUUUUAUGUACACGAAAUACAAUUAAGGGUCAAAAAUGUGCAAAAUUUUACAAACCUCUGAGAGCCAGAAGUGUUAAUAAAUGAAGAGACACUGAAAGCUGAAGAAGCUGACUCUGAUUACUGAGCUGAGUAAAAUGACAUGAUUUACCACAAUGAGACAGAAUAUACACCACGACACAGUACAUAGGCCAAUAGUGAGAAAGAAAUUCAAUAACAGAUUUGUGUAACAAUGGUUAACCAACUCGAGAGUGCUGCCAAAGAAACACACGCACUCUGUGACUAAAGAGUAGCUGUUCAGAGGCUGGAUAGUUGCGUGAGAGAGUUUAGGUGUAAAUGCUGUCCAAACUGUGUUUUUUUUUCCAAGCCUACAGAGAUUUCUCCUGCUUACUCUCUCGCCUGCCACUCUUCCGGCUGCAGCUCACUCUGGUCGAGGUCAAACUUAGGCAUGCACUCAUGAUAAGUGCCCUUUGUUGAGACAAAUGCUUCAAGAGGUGCUUGUCAAAACGUCUGCCUCCAAAGCCAUUAUAGCCAAUGGCUAAUUUAUGUGCAUAACAAAAGAGAAGCCACUACAAUCACUCAACAACUGUACGUGCAAAGUUUCUGUAUUGAAACAUAAUUAUGCACAUUUUUCAAUCAAAUUAGUAUGCCUCUAUCGCCUGCUGUCUAUUAGUCCCAUCAGAUAAAGUUUUAAAUGACCUGAAAAUGCAGGGCCUGAAUAAGCAUGGUGAUUAUUCUCCCUUUGAUAGUCCAUCAUUCUGUUAUUAAGCAGCACUUCGUCCUCCUCAAACCCUCCCACCCGCCUCCUCCUCCUGCAGCUACAGCCAGUAUAUAACAAGAGCAAAACAAAGAGAUUUCUAUCAGUCAUUAGCUCAGCUCUCCUCCCCUGCAACCCCAGCGAGCUAAUAAUGAUCAUUUAGCUUGAAGACAGAGAAAAACGACUGCAUGUGCCAUGGACAUAGCAAUUAAAAGGUGCAGUGAUUGAGCUGACAAUCACACAAAUUGAAAGACUGAUCUCUCACUUACAUGGGUUGAAAGAGGCCAAGAUAUGGAUGCACAAUGACUGCAUUUUGGCCAAAUGACAUGUAAUUCUGUCACUAUGGCUACCUGAGGAGAUUAAGGAGUCAGAGGGGAGAGAGGGAAAAACAAACAAAAGGGUGCAUGCAGGGAGGGGUGACUUUGUGACAAACAAAGAAAGACCAAGGUGGCGACUCUGCGUGGAUGUGGGCGUUUUGGGAGGUGAGAAGGGCGCAGAGGUACGAGUCUGUGGUGAGGGGCUAAGAAAGGCUCCGUCUGGGGACGACUAAAUGUGAAGGGUCAUUGCUGAGAGUGGAGCAGCGCCUACUGACACAGACAGACUGGCUGUCUCUCCUGCACUAAGGAGUUUAGGGACACGGAGACUCAGCUGCUGGUCUAGACGACAGUCAGAGAGAGAUAGGGGGCUGCAGUCAAGGAGAAGUCAUUCCAACCCCCCCACAUCUAGAAACCUCCUCCCAGUGCUCAUGCAGAUUAUAGGAAACCCUUUAAAAUGUCUGUGCAGCUGAUCAAAAGCUUUAAAAAUAGAUUGACACUAUAUGGAAAAAAAUGGCAUUGAUAGUAUGAGCAAAAUAUUCACUAUCACAUUUAAACUCCCAAUCAAGAAGCCAAAAGGUUUUUUUUAAAUUACGAGGAAAAAAGGAGGAGAAGAUUGUUGGACAAGUUUUUAAGCAUGGCGUAGCAUGGAAAUGAGAGCAGGGCAAAAAGUCAGAAAACUUUCAUGGAUAUUGAGUAAGUGCUGUAUACCCUGUCUUUAAGCAGUCACUCUAAACCUCACAGCACAUGUGAUGCAGAAUAUGAAUCCCAGUUUCUGGCACCAAAUCCCUUCAAAAACUUUGCCAGUGAAAAAUAAUCCAAAGAGAAAUUGUGUUUCUUCCAAAACACACUUGGCAAAGGAAAUCGCUGUAGCAGUGUUGAAAGGGGGUUUUGAUUGAGAUGUUGCUCUGGUUGAACAUUUUGCAAAGACUUGAUGAAACACAAUAUUGUCUGUAUUUGACAGAAGUAUGGUUAUUAAGAUAAAGACAAUUAGGAUCACAUUCACUCUAAAAUGAAAAAUGUUUAAAUAUCUUGUUUCACAAAGAAGUGAAGCUGUCCUUUGUCUUCGUAUUCAAUCACUAAACCCCAAGUUUAAGAUGAUCACACUUUUUUUCCAGACGUAUUUCUUAUAUUUAGGUCAAAACGGUAACUCUUGUUUUACACCACUGCUAGUUUUUCUACUCUUAUAAGUGAUGUUAGACUUGAGUUAAAUUCUUAAACAUAUGCAAACCUUAAAGAAAGAGUCAUCACAUCAUCUCUUUGUAUGAUUUAGAGGCAGCUAGUAUUAGCCCCUUUCACAUUGUCUAUUUGGAUGAGACUUUUGCUGCUUGUAUUUCAGUGUAAAAUGAGAGGACAGAGUCAUCAUGCUGCAUGACUGUGUAUGUCCACAUAUUAUGCCAUUUUUGCUUUUCAUCAACACUGUAAGUCCGUGUGAAGUCACACACUGAGUCACCACUGUUUUGCUGCCGUUGGGUUCAUUGUACCAGUAGUGCGCAGUGGUGCAACAAUGGAGCCUUGUUAUGGUGCCACUGCAAAAGGAUUGUACACACUGCAGAUUGCAACCAACUGCAUAAUUCUCCUCAGCUUUUAUGUUGUGUGAAAGCAUUUUUAGGGGCUGCAUAACUCCCAUAUUGCGCACAAAUCUCACUUUAAAGUAGAUUUUAGUAGGAAUAGUCAAAUAACAGCCUCACUGAGUCAUCCUUGAGCCGGAGUAUGAACGUAAAUGUCAUUUUUUGAUGUUUAAUUUGUAGGACUUGUUUUGUAAUCCAUACCUAAUGUCAGCGUAAAAUGAUAAGAAGACACAAAGACAAAAGGCGUCACCUGGUUUGCACCCAUCAUCUGUCACUGUCUGCUGAAUGCUGAUUAAUUUGUGAUGGUGACAACUUCAUUAGCACAUGUGAGGCGAAAGAAAUGGCAAAAGCAGUAGCUGUUUCCUCAUCUGCUCUUCCUGCUGCCACCUCCAUCCUGACAAGCAUAUGGGGCUGGGACUGAGGCCAAAAAAGAGGGUCCCAAUUUCUGUAAUCAUAGUGAGUGAGAACGUUUUCUUCUACCUCUGUGUUUCAGGUUGAAUAAUGUAAAAAUGUAGAGACAAUGAGUUCCUGGAGGUGUUUUUUUUUGGCGACUUUUCCAUAAUUAUUGCAAAAUGACCAUGAGGUGAAAAUCUGAUUACAUGACAGCACUUUUCUACACAUGGCAGACUUUCUCUAAUGGUGCAGGCCUUGCUCUGGUCUAAAUCCCAUUCUGCAUCUAUAUUGAAAUAUGAAAGUGAAAAAACAAGUUCAGAGCAGAAAUAUUAGUCUAAUAGAUGAAGAAAAAGCAGAGGCAUAUGACUGCAACCCUGCCUCAUCCCUGCCUGCCAGCUGUUUGCACAGUGACCUGCACCUGCUUCACAGUGGGAAGGUCAUUAUCAAUCGAAUCAGAGUAAAUUGGGUAUUUCUCUCUGCACCCAUCUGAGGACGCCUAAAUGUAUUAUGGGUAGAAACCUGCUGUGUGUGUGGGUGUGUCAGUCUGCUUCUCUAUGUAGACGUCUUUCUCAAUGUGUCAGCCAGUGUGUCUUUGUGUUCGUCUUUGUGUGAGCUGGCGUGAUGCACGAUGUGCACGAGCCAGCAAGAAGCAGAGGCCCACAGCACAUGAGCUAUGGCGAUGAUUGGCUGGUCCUCGCUGCAUGCUGAUAGGUUGCUGUCGCUUCCUGUUCAAACAGGGGUCUAAUCAGACACUUUAACAGGCUGCCUUGUUCAAACACACCAUGCUUUGCACUGGGGAUCUGGCAAACACAGGCUUGUAUCUGUGUGUGUGAGUGUGCGUGCACGUGUGCGUGCGUGUGGAGGGUCAGUAUAAUUAGUGUUGGUGAGGAGCUGGAAGUGGGUGGAGAAAUCUGUCUUGCUCAAAUUUCCUGCAGCCUGGUCCUCAUUCUGUCAAAUCAGCCUGUCUGUAAUAUAUUUAAGUCCCUCAUCUCCAGCUGAUGAGGAGGUGAUUAGGUAGAUAGGUGUGUGUUCGUGUGUGUGUGGUGGUACAGGUAUUUCUCUAUAAGCAAUAUGUCUUUGCUUUAGAACGCAGGGGUUUCAUUUUACUUAGUCAAAAGCUCUCAACUCUAUUUAACAUUUCCUACUACUUUUUAAAAAGUGUUUUACAUCAAGUAAGUGUUGUUUUUGUAACUUAAAAGGAUAUUCCGGCGUAAAAUUAAUUUAGGGUCAAACACACCAUAACACUGAGUUAGACAACCCCUCAAGAGAUGAAUGUUGACGACCACUUGCUUCUCUAGUUAUACCAACUUAAGUAAAGACCGCACGAUGGCGAUACACAGCGGUCUGAGGAGCCAUAAACAAAUCUCGAUCAAAAAGCCACUCUAUAGCCACAAAUAAUGCUCAGAACGGCACCUAACUUCAUCAACAGUACAUAUAGGGUCCCAGCCAUAGCACUAGCCACCAAACAUCUUUUUAACUUUGAUUUCUUUAGCAAAGAGACUAAACACAACUCACCCACUCUCUUCCAGCAGCCGCUUGUUUGUAGCGAGACCUCAGGCCAGUCCGUUACGGACUGCUGCGGGGUGACACAGCUCAAGGAAGAACAUUUAUGAUCAUUUCUUUAUCAUUUCCUUGAAGUAAUAAUCACCAUAUUAAUCAUUUUGCACUGCAGACGUAGUAGUUCUUCUGCCUUAGCAUCUCUGUCUGAUUGCAUCUCCAAGGAAAUGAUUUUAAGCCGGAAUAUCCCUUUAACAGGGUUUUUAGCAACGACAAACUUAACUUUUCUGUUAGCAUCAGACAUUUACAGAUUGCUUUGACUCAAAAAUGUUUAAAACUGUGUCUUUGCUGAUUUUAAUUAUCAUCUCUAUUAUAUGAGGCUGUGGAAAGCAUUGUCAGAAAUAAACUUGCCUUUGAACACGAGGUAGCGACAGCUCUGCUAACACAACCCUCUAGCACUCUGUCUGAAAAAAAAAGUGUCAACAAAACUGAUAACUUUAUUUUUUGAAAGUAAAACUGAUUUAUUUUGUGUUUCUAUGUUUUAAUAGAGGUGUGUUGAUUUUAUGGAGGAGGGGGAGAUGUCUGUGGAUAAAUUGGCUUAUUUAAAAACCUUGUGAUCAAUGUACACUAAACUUUUAUUUUAAGUUUGUACAAAGACACAACUGGUAAAAUAAAACAUCCCAAUGAAAAAAUGUGAGUAGAUGCAUGUUUUCAUAGUGUAAGCUUUAACAGUGAAGUCAACUCAUAUAUUCCUGUUAAUUAUUACAGUAAACUAAGCUAAACAAUAGUGUUUAUAGAAUUCAUACAGAGAACUAUUCACAAAGUGUUGACAGGUUCAUAUUCACAUAUUUACAAGUUGAAAUGCUUUUCUCUGCAGCUGUUAGUGAGGGUGAGCAGAUUCUGCAGAAUGUGUUUUUGAGGUUCAUUUACGUUUACUUUGAGUUCUUAGCCUCUGAUUGGUAAGUGCUGUGACAUGUGAUCAGGGUUGUCAAGGAUAUUAAGUUUUUGGGUUAUGUUGUGGUUAUGACAAGAUGGCUGAACAGUAAAAGUGCUGCUAAGAAAGUUAUCCGCCUCCAUCCUGCUGUUUCUCAUCAGAAUUAUCCAACCACCUUACAUCGAACCUUCAGGUUACAAUAGUUUCAGGAAGGAGCGGGAGCUUUGAACAGAGAGGAGGAAGCUACAUCAAUAACUGUAACACACCUAUGUAAUACUUUUGCAAGAUACGUAACAAAGUACUCAGCAAAUAAAAACAAUUCAAUCAAAUAAUAAUCAAAAAAAGCAGAUUAUAGUUAUCAAUACAUAAACACUAAUAUAUAAAGUAAAUAACAAUCAAAACAAAUCAAAUAUGUAAGCAUGAUAGAAGUGAGUUUGAAGGAGAGAUUCAGAAGAGGACACUGAGUUUGUCUCUCUGACAUCCUCAGGGAGGGAGUUUCACGGCUGUGAAGCACAAACUGCAAACCUCUUUUGACCAGCCAAGACUCAUGAUCCAUGAGUAGGGCUCUGCUGAAAGACCUCAAGCAGCAGUAAAGCUCGUACGGAGUUAGCACUUCACAGAAACAGGCUGAAGCCCAAACAUUUUAAGCUCUCGAAACAAUCUCAAAGUCAGUUCUGAGGCACCUGGUGAAGGAUAGCAAGCACUGUCUUUAGUUAUAUGAUUCCCUCUUUUGUUUGUGUCUGAAGCCUGGCAGCAGCGUUUCGAGGCCCAAGCACACAAGUAUGUGACAUUAACAUAACAUUUCUAAAAAAAAAAUAAAUAAAAAAAAAACGAAAAAAAGGGCUGAGUUAAAGUCACUGUUUUCAAAACGCCUUCAAAGAUGGAGAUUUUUUAUCACCACUCAGAAGAUUUUAGAAAAUGUUUACGCUGUUAGCUCGACUAAAAUUGUUGUUUAUAUUUAUUGCAUACACACCAAGACUGUGGGCUACGCCUGCUCUGUACUGUUAAAUUCAACAAGGACAUCAAACUGUUCUUCCCUGUAACACCCUGGAGAAGAAAAUAAGUACAUCACACUUAGAGGUCAUUUUUGCUCAGCACUGUGUAGUAAUGAAAAAGCGAUUAUUGUAAACUGUACAUGUGUUGACAUUGUCUGAUUUAAAUGCACUCUCAAGAUAUUGAGCUUUCUGAUGCUGGAAUAAAGCACUUUAAAAUAGUCUCUACCAUUUAAAGCAAUACUGCUCAUUAUCCUGCUCAUUACCUCGUCAUAAACAGGUUGACAAAAAUGGUUUAAUUUAGUUUCAAAAUGAUACCUACACUUAGAAACUCUUCUUUGGAAGCAGAAUCUUAUCAAACACCUUUGGCUAUGAUAAAACAUUAGACUGAACAUUUCGAUUCACAGCCGGGAUGUAACAUUUGCUGCUCAUCUAUCAAAGAAUAAAUCAAAUUGAACAUUUCCAUUAAAGUUAACAUUGAACAAGGUGAACAGGAAUAUUUAUGUUGCCAUUUCUGUCCUCCUUCAGCUCUUUUCCUUCUUCAGCUUUGCAAAUGUCACACAUUUUAACAUUGACGCUAUCACUCUCUCAUAUGGUUGAAGUUAUUCAUGGCAGUCAGCAACUUAAGAUGCACUCACCAGCUCUGCUGAUGUUGCCUGGAUUGCAGGACAGGAUGCUGCUCCACCUUUUCCUAUCAGAGAUGAUUUGGGCCCAAUAGCUCCUCAAACUGCUCCUACAUCAACACGGUAACUAUCACCAUUUUCAAACUCUCCAGACCAGCUUGAAAUUGAUGUCCCCCUUUUUCCCUUCAAUGUUUACGGAUUAAGAGUGAUAACAGACACUGAAGUUUUGCCUUAGUGGCAGACUCCUUUCCACAGAUAGAUCAGGGACGUCCCUGACUUUGCUUUCGCUAUCAGGAAUAUAGUAACAAUUUUAAAAGGUUGAUAGCUCUUAAAUUAUAACCACAUUAUGUGUUGAGCGGGUAGUAUUUAAACAUUGGGAGUGAAAGUAAUCAUGGCACAAACACAAACAGUUCACCAGAGAUAACUAGUUAUUACUAGAGACUCUGGGGUAAAUGUUGAUGAAGAAAAAGCACCAAUUAAGAAAGAAAAAACACCAAUUUAGACUAACAUGUCCCUGUUGCAUCUUUUUUUUUUUGCCAAUUAAAUCCUUCCUCCUUUUUACCCCUCCUUUUACUUUCUUCUCAAAGUUUUCGGCAGUUUGCCAGCUCUUUUGUCUUCGUCCAUCUGUUUUUUCCUUACACUGUGCAUCAACAGCAUCACUUUUUUUCAUCCCUGCACACCUGCUGAGCUCAGCACUACCUGUCAUGUAUUGAGGAGGGAGUAUUCGUAUGAGAUUGCUUUCUAAACUGACCGAUUGUUAAUAAAAGUCCUCAUUUACAGCUGUGUCAGUCUAACUGUCUGCAAACCAGCAGGGAGAGAGCAUCAGCUGUUUGGUCACCUCAGGAGUGGGAGUAAAUCUGUUUCAGUUUUGUUUCAUCACCUUGAUUCCAUUUUCUGACCUUCUCCCGAAGAGAGCUGUAGCACUUCCCGCAAUGUCUCCUAAUAAAAGCUCCCUCUUUGGCAGGCUUUUUAUAAAGAAGCCAGAGGUGUUACAAGUGUUGACUUAGUCACUGAGAUUAUAUAAUGCAAGGGGGAGAGAGAAAACGCAGCCACGAUUGAACUGGUAAGAUGUAACAGUGUAGAUCCUCUUUCAGGGUAGGACCUAGCACAUUUAGUGCCCUCGGCAAGGUCCUCGUGAUGGAAAUUCAACACUAAAGCCAGUACAGUCACAGUAAUUGGUAGUCUGAGCCGCACUAAGUGUAUUUCUUUGUCUCUGACUCUGAGAUAAUAGAAAGUCCCUGAAUGAUGAGCAAUGUUGGGCAAGCCUUUUAAAGCUCUGAAAUCAGCCAGGACACAUGAUGCAUAAACACCAGGAACCAGAGGUUAUUCUCUGGCAAGACCAACAGAAAGACAAAAACUUCAUUUGGGGAAUAAAAUAAGUGAAUGCAGUAAAUGUCAGUGGUCAUGAUGGACAGAAUAUCAGAGGUGUAGUGAAUUAUUAAACAACAGGACUGUAUCAAACUUAAAUGUAGCCUAAGUCACCUAGCCUAUGGGCAGUGAUAGCCGGAUUGGAAAUACUGACCCAGCAAAGCGAGCCUUUUGCCUCCUUACAGUGUGCACACCAUAGACUGUAUAUACUAUGGGCAACUUGGUUCCACCUUCCACCAGUAUACAGAUUUGAAGCCGAAAAGCUCUCGGUAAUUCCGUGUUUUUCCUCCACUUCUUAAAACCAACAUUGCACAGUAGUGUUGUACACACUCCACCACUUGCGCAGUAGCAUUGUACGCAUUCGGCGGGAGAGUCGCUGUGAUGACGCUCUGCUCAAACAGCAUAUCCCCCGGGUGAGCUACGCAAUCCUUGUACGUCCAUAGGCUGUAUCAAGUGUCAAUCAUAGAAAACACGAACCCCCUGAUAACUUUUAAAAAUGGAGCUGUACAGAAAAAAGAGGACUUGAGCACAAACCAGUCUGACAAUAAGUCAACUGUGCCUCUCAUUGUGCCAAACUCUUAAACUCUUAUUCUGUAAAAAAAACGAGUUAGCGAAAAGUUCACGCCAGAUUAAGAAAUUAACUAUUCAGACUAAAAUCCAGCCUCAAGAACUUGAAGAAGUGCAGUUUUUAGGAUUCCAGAUUGGCUCCAUUUCUUAAGACCCAAAGCACGCACAAACUACAAGAAAACCGUGCCAGUUCUGGGCCAGCCUUCCAACCAAAGUCUGCAAAGGCACCAUCUUGGAAAGGUCCAGCAGAUGAGCUUACCAGAUAAUGGUGUGAGGUGUGUUAGGAGUGAUUUUUCUUCUCUUAAGUCUGCAAGGGAGACAAUCACUGACUUCCUGACUUAAAAUCAUAAAUAUUAAACAUGUUUGGAUAUUUCUGCAUGCUAAGGGAUCCCUGAGGACACCCGAGCAUACACACUGUCUAUUAUCACUCUGAACAACAUCAGAUUUCUUAAAAAGUUAGCACUUUUAUUAAAGGGUCAUGGUUUGUUUUAUGGUUAAAAUAAGGUACAAGGUUAGGUGGGGUUAAACUGAGAGGCCGGGCACGACCCCAGGGAGGAUGGUGAGAGUUCAGGCGAAGUGUUCAGUGGUAACAGUCAAGCUCAGGAAAUGCAGUUUUCUUGUAAGCGACAAGAGCUUGUGUAUAUUUGAAUUUCAAUCACUCUGGUUUUUUUAAGCGGCGACUUUUCUUGAGGGUGAGCGUGAACUGUCAAUGUCGGAGAAGGUUUGUGUUAAUAUGUAUAAGUAGGUGGAUGUAAGUAGGAGAGACGGCUCCGUUUUGUGUGAUGGGUCUGAAGGACAGGCAAAGUCUGACAGAUUGGUACUCUACACACACAGACACACACACUACGCAAGCAUAAAGAUCAUGCCUCUGUGCGCUAAUCCCUCAGUGCCUGCUUGUUUAAUUCCAUAGAGGUUAAUUAGACAUAAUCAGAGGGAGCCACUGUUCUGCCACAGAGCAAACUCCUCUAAUUUGUUAUCACUGAACUCUUCCUUUGUCUUCCUCGCCUCCCCUUGCUGCCUGUUGUGUGUGUGCAUGUGUGUGCAUGUGGCUGCAGGUCGUGGACUAUGAAUAUAAACAGUGUAAGCCUUGAAGGUGUUUUAAGUGGAGGGUGCAGCUGGUGACUUUUUUCUUGCUGGGAGAACUUUUCUAUUGUCUUUUCUUCAUCAUGCUUCAGGGGACUAUGAAAUGAAAGCCAAUUACAAAACAUCAUACAACUUCUCUUACCCUUGAAAGCACACAACAUCCAAGAAAAAGAUGAUUAAUUGGUAAAACAGUGUAUGAUCAUUGAGCAAAGAAGAUUUCUUUAAGUUUUGACAACGUCGAUGCUCGUGCGCUUGAAACCCUGAAGUUAGAUGACAGGAAAAUUAAAAAUGAGCUUUCUUCUGUGUAAUUCACUACACCAAAAACAACUGGUGAAAAGUUGUGUACGGUGGAGGUGAUAAAUGGGUGAUAUUAUGAAUCUUCACAUUAAGUUUCUUAACCUGUCUCAUCAUAUCAGCACAGUCCUCCAUAUUUCUAAAACACAGGAUGAUAUUGGUAAAACUACCAUUCGAUUGACAGGUAAAAAUGUAGGGCUUUAUAUGAACCUGAGCACAUUUAUAAAGUUCUUAUAAAUUAAUUAAUUCACAAGACUUUUUACCAAUCCUUGUUGCUUUAGACCCUCUGUGUUUCCAUGAAGUCUUAUAAAUGCAUCAGUAAGGCUUUACAAAUGUGCUCAUGAUGCAUCUUGAUAUAAUACAAUAUUAAGGGUUACCAAAAUGUGCACCAUAGGAGAGACAUGGUUGUCACACACUCCUCAGGCCAACACUGGAGUGAUUGAAGUCUUCACUGCACUCAGAAAAAUGAAUUGUGGCAUAGCUUAAUUUUGACUAUUUACACCUAUUUGAUUUUAUUUAGAUUAUUUAAUUACUUGGAGUUAAUUUAUUCAAAUGUCUUGAAUUCAGCAUAAAUCUGUUAUCCUGAAAACAAUUCAGGUUAACCUGUUAAAAUGUAUGAAUAUAGUUUAAAAACAAUAAGCUGUAGAUCAACUAAGAUUCAUUUAGUUAAAAAUUAUGAAACAGAAACAAAUUCAAUAAUCAAUGCAUUAAUGUCAUUUGUUAUUCAAAAUUUCUAUGGUUUUACAUUUGACUGACAAAUACAGUAUGCAGCACAUAAAGUUUAUUGGUCUGUUUAUGUUUAAUCUCAGUAAUUCAAAAGGAUGGAAAUCUCAAAUGCAAUGAGGCCUGAAUAGUCCUGUGAGCAUGUUCAGGGGAGCUGACCCCUCCAGGUUAACAGAAAUACUGCAGAAUUAUUAUGGUUUCUAUGUGAAUGGUCUUUUAUUGGAGCUUUUUCGCCCUCAAGGAUGCAUCAAAAACACAACCGUGAGUUUUGUGAAUGGAUAUAGUCGAUAUGCCCUCAGCUGAGAAUCUAUCUAACGUUGCACGAUUUAAAAACUGGAAUAACAAGGUCCUCAAAACAGGGUAAAUAGAGGUUAAAAAUAUCCCUGAGCACCCAUCUGCUUUGUCAUUGCCUCACCUUUGAUUGAUAGCAGGGCGUGUCAUUAGGAUCUUGUUUCUUCUGGAUCCCUUCAGCUAUUUCAUGGGAGUAUGUUAAUUUCAUAUUCCAAUUAAGAGGAAGUCACUGAAAGGAGGUGGUACAGGGUUUAAUGAGAAAUAAUUGGAAUUUUUUAGCUCUUUUUUUUGCUGUUGCAUGAAAUAGAAGGGCAACAUGAUUAGAAGUCUCUUUCCAACCAAAUUAAUUCCAUUUAUUUCUGCUACAGUAAACAGUAAUGCAGAGCGCUGACUUCUUAGAGAAUGAGGUUUCUUUUGACAAUGGCCUAUUAGUCUGACUUAUGAUUCUGUGCGAGUCAUUUUUAGAAAAUAAUAAGUUUUAGAGCUGCACAUUUGCUCUCAGAAGACAUUAUUGCAGCCUUUGCUAAUGCGGGAGUUAUUCAUUAUUCUACCGGAUAUUUCAUUCCAGGUUUUGUUGCCAAACAGACAAAUAUCAUAUGUUGGUUGUAAGCUGGACAUGCUAUAUUAAGUGUGUCUUUUCUAUGUUUUGUACAUGUAUUAGUGUGUGUUUAUGAGUUUAAGAAACAUGUGUUAGUGUGUGUGGUUGGUCAUGCAAUGCCACGGGUCAUCAAUAAUUUAUCAGCUCCACUCUCGUGCAUUUAACACUUGGUUUCACUUGAUUUUCUCAUCUGGCUCCUCGCCCACAGGGGGAUCAAGUUAUCAUUAAAAUAUCUCCUUCCUUCCCCACUUGCUCGACAAAUUCACCUUUACAGUAAGAAAGCAGUGAGAUGGAAAAAAUCCCAUGGUGCGAACCAAAAAAGAAAUGUGAACAGAGUAAGACAUACAGUCACUCACUGGAAAAUAUUCAGCGUUGAAUCACUCGUGAAGUAGGGAACAUCGUAGGCUGGCAUGAAGCACAGCUGUGUGUAAAACAAAUUACAUGGAACCAACUUUAAUUAAAAUGAAAAUUGAGUGUAAUUCUGUGACUGUCAUGAAGACACAGUAUGUAAAAUAUGAGCUUUUUUGCAUUUGAAAGGCUCAUGGAAAUGGUGAGAGUUUCAAUGAAGUCGCUCUAAAAUAUGGAUAUCGUUCAUCCCCUGAAAGUCAGCCUUGGAAAUUUUAGUCUGGACGACAGCCAUCAAGUAAUAAUUGAGCUGGGCAGCUGGAAGCCGGCCCAAUCACUGAGCUAAUGGGAGGGGUUUAAAUGACACGACUUUGGCUUUCUUAAACUCUGUAGCUUCAUGAAUGACUUUUUAAAGCACAUGCUAGGCGUUUGAAAUAAAUUAUUAUUCUCUCUGGUCAAUUUGAACAAAUCAGACAGUAUUUUCCCAGUGCCUUCCAGACUACUCCUCCUCACCUUUGCCUCUCUUCGCUGGAUUUCCAUGGGUGUUAAAGACUAAAAUAAACUACAGUUGCUCUUGUAAAUGGAGGAAACUAAUGGAUACAGUCAGAACUACAGGUUCUAGGCUUAAUUCUCAUGUAUCUGGCAGGGAGAUUUCUUUAGAAAUCUCACGAACUAUACAAGACUUUCACUGCUGGACUGUUAACACUUCCUCCCCCUAUGUGUGAAACUAAUAGAUGGCUUUGUCAUCAGCGUGAAGCCCACUGCCUGCCAGUAUCGAAAUGAGAUCCGCAGAAUUGAGUGAAUAACUUCAAUAAUGUGGACUAUAUUAAACUACUUCCUGCUGGGGCUUUUAUAAAUGGAGGAAAUGAACACAUCCCUCUGAAAUAACACUUUCCAAGCUUUAUUUCAUUCGAUGUACGUUGCAGAGGUUUGAAUCAAAUGUAGCCACAGCUUCAGGGACUUAAUACACCGAGCAAGGACAGAUGAAGAUGACCAGAGCUGCAGGGCUUCAGGUGACCCGUGCUGCAUCACCGAGGAGCAUGAAAUAUAAAUGAACUUUCUCUUUUUUAAUCUCCAGAUAACAAUGAGUCUGACCAUCUGACUGUGCCUUUCCAAGUCCAUGUUCAGAUUCAACUUUGAAAAGAAACAUAACAAUGUGGAAGCACAGUUUGAUUUUCCAAAAACAAAAAAAAAGAAAAGAAAAAAGAAAAGAGAUAAAAGCCAAAAAUACUUAAAAAAUAUCAAAAUAUCUGGAGUAGGAUUUUGGGGUGGCCAUGUUUUCAGGGGGGCCCAUGCCACCCCUGGUGCCACCAAUCUGUACACACCCCUGUCUCCAAUGUGAAACAGCUUCAUCCAGUGUUUUCACCAUCUGGUCCAUUUUUAGUUUGGAGGAGCUCUCUUUGGAUAAUUCUGCUCCAAGUAAAAACCUUGUGAAUAAAUUACAAUGUAUUUUGAUAGUCUUUUGAAGUUAACAGUCUGCCCUGCUGUUGCCCUGAAUUGCUACAGAGCUGAGGGGCUGUUAACAUUCACAGAAGAUUCAACAUUACAAGUAAUGCUGGAGUUAUCUUCAGACCUUCAAAAGACAGAAAAGCUCUUUUGUUUUGAUCAGAUUCCAGCAGGUGCAUUGUUGUCAUGCAGCGGUCCAUCAUCUAAUCUCACAAUAGAGUCUGCCAGUCUAGUAAACAGUUUUCUUACAAGAUCAUGUGGCCUAAUUUUUACAUGAAAACCAUGUCAGCUCUUUUGCUAAAUCACACAUUUGCAUUUAUCUCUGAUUUAUGGUAUCUCCCACCAAAGCUUGCUAAUGCAAAACAGAGUUAUUGACCUCAAAAAGGAUGAAAAGUCUGAUCUAAAUUUAAUGUUUUGCUUCGUGUUCUUGUUUAAUGUCUUGUUGUGUACAUUUAAUCCAGAGCAAUGCACCAUUUUCUCCAGAUUAAUGAAGAAUGACAUUGGCUAAACCUUUGCAGAGUUCAUUUUGAAUGAUAAAAACACCUGACUAUGCCGUUUAACCCUCAAUCAAAAGUUGGAGAUUCGCCUUAAUGAGCUGGUUUCACCUGGAAAUAAUUAUGAACGAUUAUGUUCAUUCUUAAUAUACUCCAACUCUCUGCGGCUUUAGGGGUCAGACUGAAGUCAUAACCCACAUAAAGAGAGUUGUCCUUGUUCUUGGUUCAAGAAUAACAGAAAUAGAUAAGAAAAAUAAUAAAACUGAAGGGGGAAGGAAGAGAAAAAAAGAUGAUUGAAAGAAUGGAGAAGAAAACUGAUGACCGAGCUAACGGAGAAGAGGAGAAAUAGAUGGAGUCUGGAGAGAGGAGGAGCUGGUGAAUCGGCCUGUUUAUGAGCAGCAACAUUAAUCUCUGUCAGUCAGGUGGUCAAUAUUGUCUGUGGUCUCGACCACUGCAUGUCGCUGUAAAUGAUUGAUAUGGCAAUAACCUGUUUACCCAGGUGGCUUAAAGCGAUGGUAUUCUGAGCCAUAUUGAAUAAACAGCACAAAUCCAGUCCUCUCUGCAGUAGUACAGGCUCACAUGUAUGUGUGUGUAUAGAAAAACAUACACAUGCAGGCAAACACACAGCUCAGGGGUCCUUUAGUGGCGGUUUCAGGGCAGGAGGAUGGUGCUGGAUCCAAUCAAACAUCUCCUCAGCUGAAGUGCCCUUUAAGAACGAUGAUGAAGCCUAAUUUCACUCUCACAGGUUUCUUAGUCAUCUUACGGCCCUGAUAUUAUAAUCACAGACCCUGUUUACAACCAGCAGCCAGGGUGGGCAGCAUGUGUGAAUACAUCCAGAUUAAAUUUAACCCUGAAUUUUUCCUGCCUCACCCCUUGUAAAAUUUCCAAAUGAAGUCAGGAGAGCUGGUGUGAGAACAUGGAGGGAAAAAUCCAGAAAUGACACCACCAGCGAGGGAGCAACAUGUCAAAGGAGACAGGGGAAAAGAAGGAGAGUCAGUUUCAAAGCCCAUCUUUCUGUUUCCACGGCAUAUGGACUUAAUAUAAAAACCUCAUCACAGCGUCAGUCUUUAUUGCUUCAUCUGUCAUCCUUUUGUAAACGUUACACUGUGGCUACUGAGAUCUGAUUGGUCAAACCACAUCUGGAGGUGGUAAAUGCCUCAUGAGCCAUGUGAUUGUGUCCCUGUUAACACGGAAGGACCAACAACUUCACCAACAAUCUCUACAAAGGCAGUGGUUCAAACUCAUUAACAUACUGACACUGAGGUGACUGAGUUGAAAACAACAAGAAAAUAGAUUCUCACGAAAGGAGGCGACACAAAACUCCGUCUUAAGUCACUGGUAAAAAACUGCAUGUUUGGAGAGGUUAGAGGGGUCCUAAAUGACCUGCAUCUAGGUCAGAGCUGAAGGUCUGCUGAGAGGAAGCAGAGAUAAGAUGCAGAGCUGCUCCUGAGGCCUCAGCCUUCAGCAGAGUCACUCUGACUUUUCCCUCUGACAGUCCCUCAGUCUCAGGGCUGCUGGUGUCUCCUGCUCUCAGUUGGUCAGCUUAUCAGCCAGUGCUGCUACCUCGUACAUACAGUACACACACACACACACACACACACACACACACACACACACACACACACACACACACACACACACACACACACACACACACACACACACACACACACACUGAGAGGCUUUUAAACAUAAACACAGAUUGGAUUUCCUGUCCUGCCUCCAGUGCUCCAUACAUUACAUUACGCUAUUAGGCUGUCUGAAACUGACUUAUUUUUAGCAUACCACAACAUUACAGUGAAAGUCUGCCUGGAAAUGUAGAUUUGAUUUUUGUGUCUGCAAUUUUUCUUUUUUUAGCAGUUGAAUAAAGGAAACCACAAAUCUUAUUGGCCAUGACUGCUCAGGUUUAUCUCACACAAUCUUAUUUGAUGACAUUUGAUGCACAGAGAGCUUUUUACCUGACAGUUGUCCUACAAAGAGUCAACUUUGAUAGCAUAUAAUAAUCACACAUAUCAUUCUUGAAAAUAUUAGAUUAUUUUAGGGCUAUUUUAUGCUUUUAUUUGAUGGAUAGAGCAGUGGACAGGGUAGGAAACUGCGGAAGGAGAGUGGGGGCUGACAUGGGGCAAAGGUCCAUUAGUAUGUGAAACCAUGCUGCCUGCUGUGAGCACUACAGCCUCCCAAUAUAACCACUCAGCUUAACCCUGCAAUAAUAAAUAUUCAUAAUAAAAGAGAUCAUAAAAUGGUUUUCAUCUUGUUCCUGGCGUGUAUUGCCCUUUAUUCCUAAUUCCUCUAUUUAAACUAUUAGAAAUAAUUGGUAUGAAAGUAUGAAAUGCAGUUUCAUACUGUGUCUUCCUUACCCUUAAGAAGCACACAUUUCUAUAUGUUUUAAAUUUCUACAUAAAUCGGAGGCUCCUGGGUUUUUUAAUGUUUAAAACACAUCCAAAUAAUCAAUGAUCAGGGGAUGGGAAUUGUUUGUGAAAGUAUGAAAAACAACCUAUACAGUGAACAAAAUCUGCCUGAUACUGGAAAUGACUUUGCAAACAGUAAUAAGUCACAUAAAUGAUCUCAUGUCAUUUACAGUAGGGAAAUGUUUACAGUGUUUAUAUUCUGAAGGCAAAGACAGGGAAAUUUUGAUAAUGUCAUUUACUCUAAUAAACUUUAUAAUGCCAGACUGGCAGACUUGAAAGCGGCGCUAAAACAGCCUCUAUAUUUCAUCAUGUGUUGCUAUUAAAGGAGAUCUAUUGCUGAACAGCUACAAUAUGCAAAGACAUUAAUUCAAACAAGCCCCAGUCCCCAGCGCCAUGCAAUAUUGACUUUUUACCUUCUUGAGCUGUUUUCUAUUCAAGUUAAUUAAGAAAAUUUGUAUAACUUUCCCUGUUGCAACAGAAAAAGAAAGGCGUAUGGACUGCACAGAGCUGCUGUUAAUGAAAUAAAGAUGCAAUAAAAGCGUCUCAGAAGUGAGGGGGAGGCCUUCCUUACCAGACUGUUCCUCUGUCUACAGGCCCCCACUCUUUCACACACAUCCUGGGUCUUGCAAUAAAAAGCUAAUAUCUAACCAGAGAUAGCUCUAAUGAGAUACAGGGAUUUGACCAGACACCUUUAUGACAGGUAUAAUGAGUUCUUCAGAGACACAGAAAUGUCUGGGUAAAGACAAAGAGAGGUGGUGUCUACAUAAACAUUUCCAAGAGCAUCAAACACAAAGACGGUAGGUGGCUGUGAGCCGUCAGACACGAUUACUGAGAGUCUGAGCUCUACAGCUGUCUGUAGUUUGUUCCAGGGUGCAGCAUGGUUAGCGUUAGACGCUCCUUAUCAGAGACCACUCUGCUGCUGCUCCGGUGCAGUGUAUCAGGGGCAGACAAACGCUGAGCUAAGGAGCCAGUUUAGCUUCAGUGACAUUACCUGUCUGCUGAAAUUUCUCUUGAUUUUUUUCUGUUUAGCGACGGCGACAAAAGUUUAAACAAUCUUUUCUCGAGUAGGAGUUGAGACACUCAAGCAAAGAGGGGCUUUGGCGAAAGUAAAAGUGCUGAAUCAUCAUCUUUACUAAAAUUAGACUGAAUAAUGCCGGCUCUGAAAUGUACUCAGUAUCAAAGUAAAGAGAAGCCCUCUGAAGGACAUUUCAAUUAUCUGAUUGUGUGCAGCUAACCGGACCUCAGAUAAAAUUUGGGGGACUUUUUUUAAUCCCAAAUCCUUUUUACUUUAAGUAUGAACUGGUGGGUAUCAGCAGACAUGAGCACAGUUAAUCCAACAUUUAACUCUGUAAAACUGAUAAUCUGUUAACAAAGACGAUAACUUGGAUUAACAGAUCGCUUGAAAACUCUGUUUAAUUAAUAAAAACAACAGAGAUGUUGAAAUCUGUUUCUGACGGUCCUUGUGAUCCAAGUCCAAGAAACUCCUUUAACCAAACAUUACGUCCAUAGAGAUCCAUGGAUCACUUCGUGUCGACAAAGGCUGUAAACUCCUGCUCAAGUUGUCUGCGAUUCAUCCUGUCAUCCCUCUCAGGUAAACAGCCCCAGCACACCAAAUUCUAGUUCUUUACAAUGAUUCAGGUUAAGAAUGUCCUCCAUUAAACACAGAAUCAGUGGUUUUCUAACUCCAUGAUGAGCUUCCCCCCAUCCAUUUGGUCGCUCUGCUCCCAAACUCUGGAACUCUCUCCCCCCGGAUCUCAGAAACAUGGACUCACUACCCCACUUCAAAUCAAAACUCAAAACACAUCUGUUCCAAAUUGCAUAUUCCCUUUAACUGUCCAUUUCCAUACAUGUAUAUUGUUUUUAUUUAUUUUAACCGUGUUUUAACUGUGUUCUUAAUGCCUGUACAGUGUCCUUGGGUGUCCAGAAAGGCGCUUUUAAAUAAAAUGUAUUAUUAUUAUUAUUAUCAACAGCUUCUGGAAACAGACCUGGUUCUGAUCAUUUUGAAGUUAGGUCAGUUUUGUUGAAGAAAAUUGAAUCUGGAGCCUGUUGUUUCAGGGUCUAACUGAAACUUCCCUGAGCACACCCUUUGACCUGAAUGAGAGCUUUGAGCUCUGAGGCUGUGACAGAGCAGAGAUGGACUGAACACAGCUCUGGCGAAUGAUCCCCAUUUUCAGGGAGUCGUUCCAGUGCAGGAGCUGUCUCUUAUGAAGCUGAGUUAUGAAGUUAUGAAGCUGAGUUGUUGUUGUAACUUCAUAGAUACAGUCAGCUUUCACAGUGCUGUGCUCCUGUAGUAAAGUCUUAAAAGUGACAACACCAAUGAAAACCGGACAGCAGAAGUUACUGGUUUCAUUUUUUAAAUGAUCCUAAACACGUUAACUUUUGUUCAUCAGCUGUUCUUGCUGCUCUGCAUCUGUUUCAACAUUGUAAAUGAUUAUCAUUCACCUGCUUCUUUUGUCCUCUCACCAUCAGUUUAUUUACGGGAUGUUUCUGGUCCAUCAUGCUGUGACUUUUUGUGAUAUGCACCGGGACAUCCACUAACCUCUGUGAGGUCUCUAAAAUUUGACAUGAUGCUGAUCAAACUCUACUAGAAAAAGCUAAUUAUUUGGACUUUGUGCUACUGCACUACACUUAUCUUACAGUGUCUGAAAAUAUCAGUCAGUAUUCUUACACAACUGCCCUCUUAAUGCCACAUAAACAAACAAAACACACCAGACCUUCUUUAAAUGAGGGACAUGAGUAUAACAGAGCAGACUCACGAAAGAAAGUAUCAAAAAAUAUAUAAAGAGGAUAUUAUACCCUUGAAGAAAGGAAAACCUUGUAGUUGGUAUUUUUUUAUCAGAUGAAAGAUGGAGCAGCAGAGACCUCCUAACCUCAUCUUUGUGUUGAUGAGAAGGGGAGGAGAUACAAAAUCGGUUUCCUUUGUACAGAGAGGAAUGAUCGCGGCUUGUUGAAAGAGACUGUGUUGUUACAGCAAAAGAUUUCAGGCUCUUCAGCUCGCUAUGAAGCCAUGGACGAUAAUCAGCAGAACCCUGAAAUAUAUUACAUUUCUGUCCGUACAAAGUUGUGCCUGUUUUUAAUUUGCAUUGUAAAUUAAUUCAAAUUUCCUGUUUGUAUGAAUAUGCACAGCCUUCCUUUUCUCGCCAAAAGAGGACACUUUCUGGCUCUGUGUCUGGUGUAGUCUGUUUAAGCUUCAGCUCUAGUAGCGGGAGGAUGGACCAUGUGGUUGUGGGCUCUCCGUGCGUAAAAUGAAAGCCAAAUGUGAAGUGGCACGACAGUGAUCCUAGAAGGGAAGCUGGUCCGGGCAGAGGCAUCCAGGAAAUUAAUACAGUUUUUGAAAAACGAGAGUCUAUAGGACUACUCCAUAUGGUUCCAGUGAAAAGAGAGAGCAUACACAAAACAUCAGGCAAACUGUUUUCACUUUUUAUCACAGCAACUCCAGACAACAGGUAUUUUUCUUAAUCAUUGUUCAUGAGCAUAAAAAGCAUAGAAACAGAUGGAGACAUAUUUAAACCUUUGCUAUAGUAAGCUACUUAAACAUAUACAGUAGGUCUUUUGCAUUAAAAAUGUUUCUUCAUUUAGUUACAGCCUUAAUAAAAAUGUUAUGUCUCUGUUUUAUUAGUGUUUCUUGUUCACUUUUUUUCUGUCCAGAUGGCCUCCAGAGGUAUCACUAGUCUUUUAAAUUAUUAUUGCAUUGCAGUGGCUGCAGCUAUAUAUAUAUGUGUGUGUGUGUGUGUGUGUGUGUGUGUGCAACUGAAUCUCUGCAGGCUUAUGUGGUGCUUAAAAGAAUAUGACCAAGAUAAUUGGUUUGCCAGGAUGCCAACAUGCCACCUUAUCCCGGUAUGCUGAUGACAUUCUAGUGUAUUUAUUAGCUCUUUUGUUUGUCCCUUUAAGUUAAUCAUAAAAUAUUUCAAUCUCUUUAAUAUUUUAUGAGUAACUUUGUAACUUUUUACAACUUUGUCUACAUUAUACUUGCACUCGUAAAGGCAUAAUUUUCCAUCAUAUAAUACUGGUUAAUUUAUCGGUUUUAAAGAUGCCGAAAAGAGAUACACAUCUAGACAGCAUACCAAAUAUAGAUUUAAACAGUGCGUCUCCCUUUCUUCUUAAUUUGUUGUACUUUAUUUAUGUUGUACUUCUUCGCCUUAAGCCUGUUAUUCUUCAAUUUUUGGCCUAUACAUAAUGGAUGCAGUGUGAGUGAGUCUGGGUGGAGUUUGGCUCUGGGGCUUGUGGGCAUUGCAGUGAGAUAGAGUAAGAGAAGGAAAGAGAGACAUAGAGAGCGGCAGACUGACCGAGAGCCUGAGCCGAGCCAAGCCUUGGCAACUGAGUAAAAGAGAGAGAUUAUUCGCCUCAGCGGAGAGGAGAAGAAAUCGUGGUAGACAGAGGCAAAACCUCUGUUUGUGACCCUGUCUGGCACACAGUGAUAUAAAAUACAUUACAGUCUUUAAGUGUACAUUAAAUCUAGGAGAACAUUCCAACAAGACUCUAUCUGUAGUAUACCACUACACUUAACAAACGUCCUGUUUCAGCAGUCAGGUCACAUAUAUACAUGAUUAUUAUUUCUUGUCUGCAUGCCUGACUACCCAAAGGAACAUUAUGCGAUUUCUUUACGGGCAAAAGAAUCUACAAAGCUCAUCAUCUGAAUCAGUCUGAGGGGAAGAAAUUCAUCUUAAGAAGGAUUACCGUUGCUCAGAAUCAGAGCUGGACUUCAUGACCCUUAGAAACAUGCUCACAUUUCAUUCCAUUUCUCUCAAGAGUCACUGAGAAAAGCCCCUAAAAUUACCACAACAGAUUUGAUUAAUAUCAGCUUGAUUACACACAAGAUCUUUGGUGAAAAAAAAUAUUUGAGGAUAUUCCUGUUGAGAGUCAAGAACGGGAGACACUCCAAACUGGCAUUUUGUACUAAGACACUCUCUGAAUAUUUUUACUGAUCUUUUAAAUACAACCCCUGCUCCAGGGGCUUUGUAAAAUGACAAUAAAAACAAAAUGUGAUGAUGUGAUGGUUUUCAUUUGAUUUCAACUAAAAAAUGUUUUGUAAAAAAUAAACACAGAUGCCAACAACAUGUUUCAAAGAAGUGGGGACUGAAGAAUAUUAACCAUUGUGUUGCAUCAGCUCUUCUUGUAAAAACAGACUGUACCCUUGGGGACCCAGGAGACCAGAUUCUGAAGAUGUGAAAGUGAAUGAUGUCCCAUUCUUGUCUGACAUUGUAUUCUAACAGCUUGAUUAUUCUUUGGUUUCAUGAUACUUCAGUUUGGUACUGUUUUAUUAAAAGAGGCAAAGUCUCACCUCAACAAAAAGAUUCUCUGAAUGGUAGCAUAUGUUGCUCAAAAAAUUGUACGUAUCAUUAAGCAGUAAUAGAGCCCUCCAAGUAGUCUAAGUUACUCGUGUCAUGAGCUCUUAUGCAUACCAGUCCCAACACGGAUGCUGGCUUCUGAAAUGUACCGUGAUAACAAACUGGGUGGUCUCUCUCUCUCUCUCUCUCUCUCUCUCUCUCCUCUACACAGCAGAGGACAGAUUUUGAUCUUGAAGAUCAUACCACUUCACCUCAGGAAGAAGUAUUUCUGGUUUCCUCUUUGCAUGACGCAGUUUUAAUCAGUGUACGCAAUAGUUUUGCAGUGAUUUCCACUACAGAGUCAUGUCUGCUUUUAAUGGAGGACUGUCUUAGAGUUUACAGAUCAUGGCUCCUUGGUAUCUGGAGCCUAUUACAGCUGUCAAGGGGAGAGAGACCUCCACCUUGGAUAGGUUACCAGGUUACAACCUGACACGCUCACACUCACACUGACAGGUAAUACAAAGAGACUAGUUAACCUGAGGAGCUUGUCUUUGAACUGUGGGAGGAAGCUGCAGAUCCAUGCAUGUACUGGAGAAGCAUUUUAACCCCACACUGAGAAGGCCUCAGCUGGGAGUCAAACCAGCAGCCUUCUUGCUGUGAAGCAAAAGCGGACCUAACCACUGCAGUCAGAUUGCAGAUUACUGUAACAACAUAACAAUUUCAUGGAUCUAGACUCGUGAAAACCCGAUAAUGCUGUCUGCAAGCUCUGUGAUCCUUGUGAAGUCUGAAUAAGGUAUUCAGAGGCAGUGAUCCUCAGCUGAUCUUGCCUCAGGGCUCACAAUUAUGUCUUUAAUUAAAUAAUAACAACCCAAAUUUCUUAAAACUGCUGUUUAAUCGCAGGUGAUGACCUUCAUUAAAAUCCAUUUCCACCACCCACCCUGUUGGGAUGUGAAUAAACUUUUAGACUGCUGCAAGCACAGUGCUUUAUAGAUAACACACAUCCUUUAAACUGAAGAUGCAGACUUUUUGUCACAGCUUUUUUCAGUCCUCAUCCAAGACCCACGAAAAACGUUUAUUCCCUUAUGUUUGCAUGGCUAAAAAACAUCAGGGAUAUGUGAUAGAUCUGUAAACUUGUAGAAGAAGCCAGGCCAUUCGUUUAAAACAAACCACUAUGUUUGCACAGAAGAAAGGAGCUUCAACAAGAAAAAACCAGGUUGGUCCAGAAGAAAGGACAUGAACAGGGCUCAGAUUUACCGGCCAUGUUCAGCUGAUCUAAUAUAUUCCCUCGCGAUAGUUGAGACAGAGGGUGAAAUGAUGGGUGCCUUGGUGGCUCGACAGAGUUGUAAAAUCCUGUCUCAUGGUAUGACAAACCACUGUGAAGUUUCUCAGCAAGUGGAAAACCUUCAGACUCAGGGAUCCAUAACUCAAACCAAACUUCCUGUAUUUCAGUGUCUCACUGGCACCUGAAAUGCCCUCACUGACACAGCACCUUUUUUUUGUUCACUUCCUUGUUAAAAGUACCCUUCCUACCUUUUUGUUUGAACACUGUGUCACACUCAAAAUCUGCUUCCCUUUGUCACUUAUCUAUAGAGAGGAGUAACAACGGUCCUCAUGUACGUCUAACUCUGCUAACAGGAGGCUGAUCUACAGUCGCAGAGUUUGGGAGUGUCUUACAUUGAAACCAUUCCUCUUGCAGGUAUCGAUCCGGGGGAAAGACUGAAGCUGAUAGCUGAGCUGCAACCAGCAUGGGGGCUAACUCCCAGUGUUCCCGGUGCUGACAGGCCCAGACUGGCAUCAUUAUUACAGCACUAAGCAUUGGCAGUCAGGCUGCACUUUCCCCUCUCUCGCCCUGUGAUAAACUACUGACGGGACUCUCAGCAGAUAGGUUUUUCAGCAUACAUCAGCUCCGAAAUGCACAUCAAUUAUUCAACCUCACACUGGCCUAUUGUAAUUACUCUGCAUUGAUAGGCUGCCAGCCUUCCCAACCAUAAGUCAAUGAAGUAAGGAACGAGAUGCAAGAACUGUACUCCUGCGGCACUGCUGAUUGCAGCCUGAUUAGGUUGUCCUUGUGGCCAGUGGGACGUUAAGCAAGUGAAACAAAAGCCUUAAAAUAACCAAAGGAAAAUACACAAGUGUCUGCAACAAUGGCUGCAGUGCUUGUCCAGUAUAUGUAAAUGCCUAAAUAUGUAGCUGUACAUGAAUUUUUAAGGGGGACAAACAUUAUCUUAUGUUCAGCUUGCUGCUGCGGGAGACGCCAAAAACUUAAAUGUAGUCUGUGAAAGUAAGUCAUCUUACAGGCAGACAAACUGAUAUCUGACUAACACACAAGGAAUCACAGACAAAUUGAUAAGACUAUAAUCCGAACCAGAGUUCAGAAUGCCAAUCAAUGUCUUUCUGUUUACAUUUCUCAUGACUCUCUCCUUGCCUUCACUUUGACAAAGCUCCUGUAAUCUCCACAGAAUAUAGAUCGCUUGUUCAUCAGUCUGCGCACGAGCUAGUCAUACCAGAUAGCAAACAGAGAGUGAAGAGUAAAGAGGACAGGGAGGGGGAAAAAAAGACAGAGGGAUAGAGAGAGAGAGAGAGAGAGAGAGGAGGGGGACGAGGAGAGUGACAUCCCAUUCUCACCUCUUUAGUUUUAUCGGACAAGAAAAUGCAAACUCAGUAAAGAGGAAGCAGGGAGAGGGAAAAAGAAAGGUGACUUACUUUUGAGCGAGGGUGACAGCAGACAAAGAAAAGGAGCUCCAGAGCGUCUUUGUGAGUCUGAUUGAGCCGUAACAGCCUCCACUGACACGGAUGGAGAGAAGGAGAAGGAGAGUGGAGAAGAGAGGACCGGUCUUGACUCAAGAGUGCUGCCUUUGCUUUGUAGUGUACUGUGUGAAAGCAUAUGUAUGUACAUGUGUGUGUGUGUGUGUGUGAGUGUGUGUGCCUGCGCUCUAAUUUAGAAAGAUUCCUUGAAAGGGAUUUCUGCACAUGCACUUAACCAACUUGCCCCAGAACUACUUGCCUACAUGCAAAUCCACACAUGUGCAUACAACGACACACACAAACACACACACACACACACACACACACACAACAGCUUUCCAAGUUGCCAUAUCACACAGCUGGAGUGUUUAGCAGCGCUCAGAUAAUGCCAUAUUCUCUUGGCUUUCUUUCCCCUCCCUGCAUACUGUUCAUGGGCAAAUAAUGAAAGCAUCUCCUCUCAGAGCAGGCAGGGAGUUUCAGUGUUUGGAAGAGAUAAGGAAUAUGGGCUCCAUUCACACCAGAAACAGACUGAGACAAAUUGAUCCCCUCAUUCUCCCGGUCAGUCUUUGUAAGUGAGAAUAAUGCUGAAAGCUGUCAGUUCAGUGGCAAAGAUACACCCACUGAUACUCAAAUGUUAUUAUUAGAGCUAACUUAUCGCUUUUUUUCUUCUUCUGUGGAGUCAAUUCGAGGAAAAUUGAGCAUCCAACCCUCAGAGAAAUCUUUAGAUGAGCGGGCGCUUCUGCAGUAGGCAAUUAGCCCUUUGUGUGGGUAUUGUUGUGGAGAAUAUGAGGAAGCCUGAGAAAUCAGGAGCAUAAUGAUGGCAGGUGUGGAAUUACUGUUCUCUCGUUGUUUCCACGCCGCUAGCAUGGUGGCUCUUUUUUAAAAACAGCUCUUCUCUCAAGUUCAGAGCAAAAUUUUAGCAUCGAAUUGACAGAAACUUUCAAACAAAGACGUCAGCUGUGACUGCUGCCUGGCCUCCACGGCGAUGAGAUGAAUAUUAAGCACACAUGAGAGGAUUUUGCAAGCAUGUUAGGAAGCUAGCCUUCGUGUUCUCUCCUGCAUGGGUCAUGACAGUUUGUCAGAAUCACCUUGUGUUUGGUAAGCCCGAGAAAAAAUGCAGAUUUUAACCUUGCAUGUCAAAGCCUUAAUCUGCAUCUUCACUCCUCCUUUCCAACUGCCUUCUUUUUUCCACCAAGCUUCUUUGUAGAUAACUCCAUCCUGCCACACCCGCAACAACCCACUUUCAUGAAAGCGAGCUGAAUCUGAUGGCUCCAACAAUGGCAUCUCUCCCUCUUUCCUUCUACAAACUCUCAGUGUGGGCUGUGGUCCACUAAAGCACGGACGCUGCCCUGUAACAAGACCAAUAUGUCCCCCUGGGGUUUUGGGAUUUAUUGCCGGUAGCAUUUAUGGAGAAGUCCCAGUUGGAGAUGAAAGCACAUUCACACACAAACACACUUGCACACACUGAGGAAAAAGGGGUUAGCAAUGCUAAUUCACGCACACACAGACAGGGGGUGUAAAUCCAGCGCUCAUUGUGGAUUCUGCACGUCGGCUGUAUUGUGCAGCGGUGAGCCCCUUUAUUCAAUUGAGCUGCCAUCCAUCCUGGAUGUGGCAGUGAGCAGGCACGUACAGGGAGCUCCCAAAGGAACCCCACACUCACUCAAACACACAAGAGCUGUUUGCAUACGCAGCAACAGACAGUGUGCACUGAUACAAAGAGCCAUUAGGACAAUAAUGACCUCAUGCAACUCUCCGAAGAGUCAUUAUGCUGAAAUAUCACUUUAAGGAGAGCAGGGGUCUCUGUCCAUGUGUGGCUGUCAGUCAGAAGAUACCUGUGUGUGCCUGAGAGUGAUUAAGAACACGUGCAUCCACGAGUAUUUUAUCAUACCAUGGCAUGUUGGGAAAUCCCGAUGGGUUUCUGCUGUACGUGUGCACAACAUGCAGCAAAAAAUGAAGCCUGUGCAAAAAUGAAAAAAGCUGCAGUUCCUUUAGCAUCCACUGAAGGCUGGCUCCAAAAGCACUGAAAUCCCCGUUAGGACCCAUGAUAAAAUACCCAACAACAAUGUACUUUGAAGGAAACAUAAAGUUUGUUAUUUUAGCAAUAUUUUUGUUCUUAUCCUGAGACUGGACAGUGAAAAUUUGGAAGAGAGAGUAUGUAAGUGGCAUCCAACGAAAGGUCAUGGGGUCAGAGCUAAACCGCGGGUGCCCACUUUAAGGAUUUUAGCCUCUGGGGUGUGUAAUUCAACCUCUAAGCCUAACCGGCACCCCAGGCUGAGAGUUAUACAUAUGUUUGCAUAAACUGGAGCCUUUCUGAGCUGGACGGCAGGUGGGCAUAUUAUAGCUGUUUGCCAGGGGGCUAAAAUAAAGCCUACAUAGACUCCAUACAUUUGUCUGAGUCCAGGUAAACUGGGGUAAGUAUGCAUUUUCAGCGACCACCAAUAUAGAGCUUUAAAACAUCUUUUCAGAUGCCAAGAAGUGACAUCCCUGAGACCACAGCCAGGUUUUAUGAAGUUAGGGAUGCACAGUGAUGUUAACCCAUUAUCUAUCUAUCUAUCUAUCUAUCUAUCUAUCUAUCUAUCUAUCUAUCUAUCUAUCAUGGGAAAUCAAUAUAAAUUUAGGGUCCUGUGGAGAGUUUUUUCACAUGUAUGAAUUAAACUCAAAUUUAUUUAUGAUACACAAAAGUAUGCAACCUCACAGGAGCUUUAACUUUGUCAAGUUAAACAAGGUUUUGAUAAGACCAUGGUUACAGUGAAAGUGUCCAUCCCUGUAAGGUAAGGAGAUUUUUAUUUCUGUAGUUACAAAAAUGAGCUUAUUUUGGAGUAAGCAUGUCAUUAUUUUGGAUGUGUGUCUAUGUGAAGGAUAAGUAAGUAAAGGUAACUGAUCAGAAGAAGGGAGUGAGUAACGGUGAUUGGUUUUUGUUAAAGCUGCAGCUGCUAGAGUUGUUUACUUUUACAUCAGUAGAGAUGUAAAUCUAAAUUGCGGGAGUGUCUUUCUGCACUGAAGAAUUCAGUAUUUACCCCGUAAGGCGGUCAAAAAUGAAUAAGCAGAGUAAAAAUAUCAGCACACAUGAAUGACGCACAACUCUUAUCAGCCCUAUAGGCUUUUUACAUCAGAGAGGGUCUGUGGGAGUUCUGGCUGGGAAUACUCCACAGUGGGAGGUCUGCAAAUGUGCUAAUUGUUUUUCUCCUUUAUCUUAUGUAUUGAGUGAAACCUUGGCAGAAUAUUCAUUUGUGGAGAAGUGAAAUGAAAACAAAACUACAAAUAUGUAAGGCUGAAUAAAUGAAGAUGACCAAAACUUCAAUAAUUCACCUUAAUUUGAUGAGCAGUGUAAUAAAGUUAUGCAUGUAACUUCAAACUACUGACUUCCUCCUCUGUUCAAAAUACAUGGUUGCAUCUAAGCAGUCAAGUGGAGGCUGACACAGUCCAAAAGCCUAUUACCCCUACAAGAGAGAUGGUGUAUUAGCGGUGCCUCUCCUCUCAUCUGCCCACUGAUGGAUGCUGUGAACUUCAGUAUAAUUGUGUUGAUUGGUGUGAGGAAGCUGCACAGCUCUGCAGAGCAAAUGAGAAGCGUUUAGCCGGCAAAGGUGGGCAGUGGCAGAGAUACAGCGAGGUGAGCUAUGGUCUCUGGCCUUGGUUAUUAUCAAGCUGAGUUAUGGGCCUCCGCCUCCUCCACCAAUCUGCACACAUUACAAUGCCAAGCCAGGACAUGCCAUCUUUCCUUCUGCUCCAUCCCUCAGUUCUGCUCAUGCUCACUCUCUCUUUCUCUCUCUGUUUCCUGUCUCUCACUCUAUUUUGGUCUUUUUAGGCAUUUCUGCACCUGCUGUCCAUUUAUAGAAAAACAAGACAUCCAAUGAGCUGGGAGUUGAAGGUAAUUUGUAACAAAUUGUGAGUCUAUUGGAGGGAAACUUGUUCAGAUGAAAGCCAUGUAACCCAAUAUAGAAAGUGGCAGAAAAUGGAAAAGCAUGUUACCAAAUCCUCAUGAAAAAUGGCAGUUACAAACCAAAACCUAAUGUAAUAAUGACUUAACUAAUGCUUAGUCUUUCAAAACCACUAAACUGUAUUACAACAGUCUGAAUCUGUCCAGAACGCUGCAGAGCUUUUAACAUGCACCGACAGAUGGUCACACAUUACACCUAUUUUAAUCUCGUCGCGCUGGCUUCUUGUUAAAUUUAGAACGCAUAUAAACAUUUUGGAGCUCACUGACAAGGCUCUACAUGGCCAGGCUCCAGGGUUUAGACUUUCUGCAUCCCAAACCACAGUUCCACACCAUGAGGCAAGAUCUUAAUCAUCUGAAUAGGGUUUUAUACGCGACUCUACAACAUUAAAUCAGAGCAAGAUCACAUUUUUUUAAUUAGAAAUGAUAAAAGGUCUUAUUUUUGAUACUAUUGAUCACUGAAUUUAGUAUCAAUAUUUGCAUUUUUACGUGCAUGUUUAAAAGAAUGCACUAUUUGCAUGUCUAUAAUGAACAACUCUUACAUCUGUCUUGUUUUAGGAUUUCUUUUCCAGAUGAAUGCUACACUGCUACACAGGCGCACACCACGACUUACAAGUCAGAGACAGCCUAUUUUCAUAAUGCUCAUCCUGUGAAAACAGUAUUUUCUGUUUAUUAAACGGUUUAUGCUUAAUAUUGAACAGUUUAAAUUCAAUAAAAUGCAUGAAAAACAAAGACAAGCCAUGGCUCAUAGCAUGGCAAUUUGUGCGCUCCAAAAUAAGCUCUGCCAGCUUAUGAGAGGCAGUUGCGUGCUGCAUCAGCCUGAUUGCUGAGCUAACCUGGGGGUUGCACAAACUAAAGGCACAUUGAUAAUAAUUCUGAGUUGAUGCAAAGUGAACAUUACUGUUGGCUUGUCAACUGGUCUAUCAGGCAGUUUCUUGCGUCAAAUGUACCACUCAAAAGUGAAGUGGUUGUGUUGUUUUCCAUCAUGGCAGCAGUAGAAGAGUGGAAGAGGCGGUCUGAGCGCAAAAUAGCAUAUAAUUUAAGAAAAGGAAGAAUGGACCUUAAAGCUGUUGUGAAGAGAUUUUGAUUGAUUAUGAAGCAGGUUGAAAGGAGCAUUGAUGCAUUUCAAUGAUGUGAAAAAAAUGUGAAAGAAAAAGGUUUCUUCAAAACAACAACCUGACAUUCUGUUCAGUCGUGUACCUUUAUUUCUUUGUGAUUGAAAUGUUCGGAGAAUCUUAAAAAGAAAAGACCAAAACUACACUGAUCUAUCUGAGCAAAAUACAGAGGAAAAUGGAUGCAUCAGAAAAACAUCAAUAGACAAACAGAAGAAUGCUUCUGAGGAAAAACACACCCCGCUCAGUCCCAGAGAAAAACAACAUCGUCAUUUCCAUAUAUAACAGAGUUAGCAUGUGUGAGUGGCAGAGCGGCAUCAUCGCUCAUGUGACGUUCAUUGUGUCACUGCCUGCUGGGGCAGAAUGCUGACAUGAAGUGACUGGCAAAAGUCUGAGCGGAGGAGCCGCUGCUGUCUGUCACCCUCACCUCCUGCUGGGGAGGCCUGUGUGUGUGUGCAUGUGUGUGUGUGUGUGUGUGUGUGUGCACCCUUGAGGGAUGGGGAGGGGGGAGGUGGGACAAGAAGGAACAGACGGAGAGGGAGAGAGAGCGGAAGGGAGAAUCGAGUUAAAGCGAAAGGAACAUUCGGCCGUAUCCAUCUUCUCCAUCUCCUUAUGAAUAUGUAAACCAGACAGGUCAAGUAGGCAUCAAUGACUCUCCUCCCCCUGGAAUUCAAGGCAGAAGGAGGGGAGGAGAGAGGAGUGCUCCCCUCUGGUGCUUUCAUCCAAUAAUGGUAGAUCUCUGUGUGGCAUGUUAGAGAUACCUCUGAGCGGGAGUAUGUGUGUAAGAGCUCUGCAUGUCCUAACGCCUUUAGUACAAACAGGGAAGCCUGGCAGCCAUUUGUUGCAUUAAAAAUGGGCUUUUCCAUAACCUGCCUAUCUGGUUUUAUUAAAUAAUGGAAAUUCAGAGGAGGAAAUAUAUGCAGCUUUCCACAUUUCUUCUCCCUGUUUCUGGAGGAAAAUGUGGUUGGGGUUUCGCUGUUUUCGUCCUCCCCUCAGAUGUGGAGGGAGGACUUGGAAGCCUUAAUAUUACGAUGCUCAUGCCAAAACCACUCCCUUCCCUUUGCUCUGCGCCUUCCUCCCCGCUUUGGUGCUGCCCUGGGCUGUGUGUUUUCAAGGGAAGUUCUGGCACAGCAUCGGGGACAGAGCACACCUCACCACAAGUCUGUUUGAUGGUCCGAGAUGAGAAGGAAGCAUUUGGUUUGGAUUAUUCUUAUUCAGUUGCUGACACAGGGCACACUGAGAGAAAGCACAGAGUCCCAGAGAGACGGAUUAACUGAGAGGUUAAUUCAGGACUAUUCUUCAAUGCUCUGAUGACUGCACUGGCUACAAUGUCUCCUGAUGUCCCCUGGUGACUGUCAUUUCAGGUCACUGUUCGGUGUCACUGCAGUGGUCUCUUGUAUUCUAUUAAACUCCUCCUAUUGCCAGCAUGAUGACAAACUGCUUUUUUUCUAGCUUGGAAACUCUCUGCCAAUGAGUGCAGGCUUUUAAAAGAAUAUUAUGUAAUCAAUAUUUCUUUUUGCCCCACAUACCAUUUAAAAAACAGUGAACAACAACCAGUUUGCAUGAGAGUCAGCUGAGGCUCAGUGGUUGAGUCCGUCAUCUCUCAGUCGCAGAGCUGCAAGUUCGAUCCCAGGUCCCGCUCAACCACUUAACCCCAAAUUGCCCCCCGUGUCGGUGCCUGUGGUGUGUAAUUGGGAUCAGAAAAUACUGAUGGGCACUUUACAGAGCCGCUUUUGUUCAUGGUGUAUGAAUUUGGUAUGAACGGGUGAAUGUGACCUCUAAUGAAAAAGCACUUUGAGUGGUCAGAAGACCGGAGGAAACACAAUUUAAAUACAGCUCAUGUAAAAUAAAUAUGACAAAAUGAAGAAAAUUUCAGUAACAUCAUUGUGGAAAAUACCCAAAGGUUUACCGUCACACUUUUGUUAUCUGAAUUCUUCAUGUUUUAGACAUUGUCAUUGGUUAUUGUUGUCAGUGAAUCCUGGUGUGGAGAUUAAAUAAAUAUUUAAAAUCUGUCCAGCUUUAUUUAUGUUUGUAUGACACCUUUCUAAGUCAAAGAUCAGAAACGUAACGGCAUUACCGCAACAGCAUUACUAAACUCAAAACACUUGAAUGCACUGGCCUUUACAAAGCAGUCAUUGAUAAAGUGGUGAGCAUAUCCAACCUGACAUCAGAUUGUGACCAUGUCCUAAAAUGAGCUCUUCAGAGGAGCCAGGAGAAACACGCUACGGGGAUGAUGCCAACAUCUGUGUAACUCAUGUUAUGAAACUUCACUAGAGUUUAGUAUGGACAUCCAACAUUGUGAAUAUAUGUAACAAAAUAUGUUUCAGCUAAAGAGCUUAGCCUCUUCACGCCCCUGAUUAUGCAAAUUUAUUUGUAAUUACUAGCCUUGAAAUGAUUAAAUCAGUCAAGUUAUGAAAAGAAAAAAUCAUCUUACAGUUUACAGUACAGUUUGUAUGAAUGAACGAAUUGAAAUUGUUUGUUGUACCAGGCUGUAUAAAGGCGGUCUUUCUGCUGCAAAGUUGGCUAUUUUAAUAUGAAGCUUAAUGGGGAUUUCUUGAUGUUCAAAGCAGGCCUCUAGUGGCCACUCGAGGAACUGCAGCUCUUUUUUUUCCACUGACCAUAAUCCUCACUACAAGAGGAAUUAUUGCUCUCCACACUAUGUCAUGACCUUAACGCCACAUCAAAACAGAAAGUUCAAGAUCAGCUCCAAAAAUCCGACUCGAACUGAGAGUGAAUGACUGCUUCAUUUUUUUUGAUGCACUGGGCCGCUGACCAAGCUGUCAGUUUUGAUGAAUUUAGGGGUGACAACCGGCUGUUAUACACUAAAUAAUUAACAGUUUGAUCCUUAUUAUUUAUUGUUGUAAAUCUCCCCACUCAGAUCAAUGAAGUGUCAUAUCUCAUCAAGCUAAUGGACAUGCUGUGCUAAGCAGGAAGGUCUUUGAGCCUGUAAAUGUGCUUCCAUAAGCUCACAGCUCCUGGCCUAUAAUAAAGGGAUCAGUGACUCUCCUUGUAAAAGUUCGCUUAAUAUAAACCACAUCAGAAUCAAACCCGUGACGUCUGUCUGCUGCCACCUUCUCUGUCCUGUGGAGGUCAAAAAACUCAUUUCAUUAUUUCUCUUUCAUCCUUUAAUCCUCUCCCACCUGAUGUCGGGGUGCACACAGACUCACACACAGACACACAAACGGUCAACAGAAGUUUGUUUUCUUGUUCGUGUGUGUGUGUGUGUGUGGAGUGGAGAUAGAGGGUAGAAAAUGCAGAAUAGAGGGCAGACCUGGACAGAUGUGUGAAAAUGAGAGAUAGAGAGAAGAUGACUUGCAUGACUUGUGGCAACAUUGUCAUCUUAAUUCCUCGAUUUGAGGGUGAGUCUAGGUUUACACCAGGAUUACAGCUCAGGACCAAUUAUUACCUGAGAGACUGAAGGAGACGCACAAUGUCAGACUUGGGAUAAGCGAGGCAAACGUGAUGUGACAGGCAUGCAGUCACUGGAGGUGGGCAUAUGGUGAGCUAGCAGUUUGUCAGCUAACAUCACUGAGACUCCGCUUAAAUAUGUAACAGUCGUCUCCAUCAUACCUGUCAGCGCCUCAGACACCUGCCAGUCAUGAUGAAGCCCCAAUCCUCCCACAUGGUUGUGUUUACUCAGGUGUGUAGCUGACAGAGAUCCACACAACAGGUGACCUCUGUGUGCCUGCUGACAGUAUUACUUCAAGUGUUGUGUUUGGCUCUGACACUUCAUGAAACCUAAAUUGGAUUGUAAGAAAUUUCAUAGAGAGGCGGUUGGUGGAGAACACAAGAGGAUGUAAGUAGGAGGAAGCCUCUUUUAAAUUCCAGUGUUCUGGCUGCCUCGACUCAAGGGUAAUGUAUGCAGAACCAUGGCCAGCCUGGACACAUGCAGAGAUAGGGGUCAUCUCUAAACCAGCAUAUCCAACUGCACAUUAUGCCGGGCUUUGUCAGAAAGACACACCAUUAUUCGCUGAGUGUAUUCAUCCUUUGUUCCCAGCGUCUCAUCCUAGAAAUCAGCUAAUCACCGCUAAUCAAGUAAUCAAGACUUUGCAUGUAUUAAUUAGGCAAUUACGUGUCAUAAAAUCCAAAGAAUCUACACAGAAACAGGAUUCCCGGUCUAAUCUUUUUUCACCGGCUUUGCUUUCAUUUCUGAAGAAGCGCUUACACUCCCCUCUGAAAAACAGGAGUAAAUGAGUGCAAGAGUGCCAAAACUAAUCUGUGGAGAUCAACACACGCACUGAAGCGGUGCCGUCCACAAUAAAAGGCCGGGGGGGAUUUUAUAAGGAUUUCUAGUUUAAACCUAUUAGCUCUGAAAUGAAAUGACACCUGAAGUUAUGGAAAAUCAUCAGCCAAACCCAGGGAAGUCUUUAAGCAAUAUUACAGUAUAGAGCUGGCCUUAACUCACCUGAAUACUCCGGAAUAGUGUUUACAUCCCUAUUUACUUUGAUAAUCUGUUAGCAAAGCUAUCUGCAAGCCCUAAUUGACAACUUGCAUUAAAGACAACAUCCUAACUAUAAUGUGAACAAACACACAGACAUUAUUUCUAUUGUUCAGCACUACCAUAGAUCCGUAAAGCAAUAAGGCUUUACUAAUUGCUGCUGUACGCAGAUGGAGUCAGGUAGUCAAGCUUUUCUAUGAGUUCUACGUGGCUGCAAGGGGCUAGAGGCAGAGACAGUAAUGAUUAUGGAAUUACCAUGGCAGAGAUUGUGAUGGCUAGCCUAAUGAUUUCAUGUUAGCGUAAUUAGCAUUACGAGGAGGACUGGUGAAGCGGGGGCGAGGAGAUGGGAAACUGAAGACAGAGCCGCAGAGAGAGGUAAGUAAGAGAGUCGGAGAAACUGACAAAGACAGCGAGGAGGAGGAGGAGGAGGAGGAGGAGAGACGGUGAGCAGAGAAGAAAAGGGAUGGAGGAGAAAGCGAGGGAGGAGGGGGUGAGACAAAAGGGAUGGGAAGUGUAGGAGGAUGUUCAUUAACUAAAUGAGGAUGAAUUGUUAGCAUGACUGUGGGCUGGUGAGGUUCCUUAGCUUCAAUUUCAGAAAUACUUGUCUCACACUGAGGAGGAAGCCGGCCCCCUCACAGGCUGUCAGCUGUAGGUCCUGAAGAUGAACAUCAGCUCAUCAACAUUUUUCUCUCUAUGGCAACCACGUCGGUCAAGACUGUUACAAUCAGACUGCAAAAUUCUCAGAAAUGAUAAAACCCUCUUUGGAUAAGAGAUGAUUUAAUGACGUGGAAGGGAUAAGUCUCUCCUGUGGCCAUUGUCUUGUUUGGGUGUGGUGUUGUUUGUGAGUGGGUUUUGUAUGAUGUAAUGAUGAUGUAAUGAAGGUGCACAUGAACAAACAGUGAAGGAUUGUCAACAGCCAUUUAAAAGCCUGAACUCAAAGACGUCGUUUGUUGACAGUCCUGCAAAAAAGGAAAUGCAAUUCUGCUUCAUUUUGUGCAAUGUUUACAAAGUGAAAGACGUAAAAAAAAAAAAAAAAAAAAAAAAAAAAAACCUGAAAUAGUUUAAAAAAAAAAGCUCAAACUUCUGGUAACAACGCACCCCUUAUAAUGCAUUACACAUUUAAGGCCUCAUAACAACCUCAUGAGUCGUAAGACGCAUUCAUAACAACUUACAGGUAUGUUUAUAUAAAGCGUUGUAAGCAGUGAAAAAGAUGCCUUAUAAAAGUAUAGUUAAUAAUGUGUUAUACCUUAAUGCAAAAGAAAAAAAAUAUAUUGAUAAAAAUGUUUAAUGGUUCUGAAUCAUUUUUGUCUGACACUUUAAACACAAUAUUAAUAAUGUACAAUUUAAUGUAAAUAACCUCAUACGGUCACUUUACUUAAAUCACCAAUAGUACUGCUUAUGCUGACUGUGAAUGUUAAUAUGACAGUUUUUGAACUGAGAAUCAUAAACUUAUUUUAAUGAUACAUAAAAUAAGUUUAUGAACCUUUAUAUCCAGGGCAAAGUUGUGAGCUACAAUGUGUUAUUAAAUUGAGAAUUUAAAGGAUGUUGUUUUUUCUUUUGCAUCAAGUUGAAAACGAUUAUAAACCAUACCUUUAUAACGCAUUAUACUAACUGAUUACAACAAUUCAUAAACAUUGCUUUAAACUGUCAUGAGCCAAUUAAAUUAUGAACUGGUCAUCAAAGAGCAACAUAGAAAUGUAGAAAACUCAGACAGUAAAGAAAACUAGUUGCAACAUUUUUUCAACAAAUACUGUUACAGUCCAAAAAGCUUCAUUUGGUCUGUCUACUGUAUAUAUUAUUUCUUAUUUUUUAUAAACGUCCUGCUUAUCAACAUAUAGUUACUCCCCAAAUAAAACAAGCACUACACAAUGAAGGACAGUUUUAGUGCUAUCUCAACUUUUCCUUUUGUUUUAUAAGCUUUUGGUAAAACUAAGACUUUUGGAGAGUAAAGGCAAAGUUAUUUACUACUUUACACUCAUGUCAGCAGGUAAAUAUCAGUAAAUUUUCAUUAUUUCAUUGCAGUUUUGUUUUAAUAAAGUCUAUUAUCUUUGGUAUGGCUGUAUUUUCUAAUAAGCAGGUGCAGUAUUUCAUGAGAAACUGGCAAAUUAACUGCUGUCACACACAAGUCUGUGUGUGAUUUGUUUCCAUAUUUGUCUACACAUUUUUGUCAUCCUGUUGCAUCCUAAUUAGCACCUCAUUGUGUGCUGCCAAAGCUGUGAUAAUGUUUGAUAGAAUUCCCUCCCUUUUCCACACAGCUUUAGAGAUCAUUUCCACUGGGUAAUGUGCAAAGAUUUGAGUAAGUGAUUACAAGCAUGCUGAACAAAGAAAGACCAGGUUUUAUUAAUAAUAACAUCAGAAAGCUGAAGUGUACAUCCUCCUGUAAGCUUGCUAUCUUUGCAGGAAUGAGGAUAAUUAAUGAGGGAUGAUGUAUACUGAACAGGUCGUUUAGCAGAUUAGAAACCCAACAGGGUGAGAAGGAUCUUCAUGCAAAACGAUGAGGUUUUGUCUCAACUUGUAGGGUCCACUUUUAAUGCUUUUUUCUUUGCAAAUGACUGGACAUCAAAUGUGCUUGACUUCUUUCUGUGUAUUAACAUGAUUAUAGCAAGUCCUGUUAAGAGCCCCAUCUUAAAUUUAGUGCCCAAAAUUCUUUUCCCUGAAUAAAAUAGACUGAGAUUCCUAUUCUUGAUCUCUGAAAGCAAACAAGACCCUCAGCAACAAGGUUGACUAUUUUCAUAGAAUAAUCUUUAAUGUCUAAGGACUAUUGCCAUGGAGCAUUGACUAAUCAUAUUCAAGCAUUUAACACAGCUGUGUAAAUGGGAGUAAUGGUCAGUAAUCAAGGUAAUAAAGUCAUUUUCUUUAAAUGCACUGAAUCCAUAGGUGCAUGGCAGGAUUAUGGUAUUUAAAGUGUCCUUUUCUUGUAGUCUAAGUAAAACCAUUGACGAACAUUUCAAGCUGGCUUUGGCUGCAUGCUGGAAAAAGAACUCCAUGGAGGGCACAAAAAGGGCAGAAUGCAAUCUGGCAUACUGCGAUUCAGGAAGCUGACAACCAUUUUGCUUUAAUUGAUUUCCAUAAAUAUAAAGUAACCUAUUUUAAAAUGCAGCCGACAAUUUGCUCAUAUACAGUCUCUACACUCCAACUCCUUUCUUGCUUCUUGAGUGGUUAGACUGACUGUGAACAAUGACGACAGGAAGAGAAGUCAUGGAUGGAGGUCCUUUGUCUCGAGAAGGUUGGCCUUCGCUCAUAAAAGCUUUUAAGAUUUUCAGGCAUUCGCAGAGGACUCCAAAUGGAUCAUGAUACAGACACUUAACACUGCAUUUUAUGAGUGUUUUCAACAUUUUCUACAUAUACCGUACCUCUAAUGCAACUCAUCCUCUAUAAACCGGCUAUUUUUGGAUGCAACACUACGUUCUUUUAUGUAUAAAAAAAGGAGAGAAUAACCUCUCAAAAAGUUUGGUAUUUAAUUGCAUAAAUGUGGGUGUCUAUAUGUGUGUGUGUGUAUCUGGGUUAAUACGGAUGAAAGAGUUUGUAUUAAUGUAACUGCCGAGCCAUACUUCAGGUUGCUUCUCUCCCUGUUUUCCUCUCUGAGCCACAGUAACCAUUUAAAAUGCUUAGCAGCCUAAUUCCUGUUGAGUCACAUAAAGCGUUUGUCAGAUCUGCUCUCCGUGUUCAGGAUUAACCUAAUCCCACCGUUAUGAAAAUUAAAGUUUGAAUCUUCCUGUGUCGCCCCUGAAACAAGUUUCUACCUCUUUAUUGUCAUGUCAGACUGCCCUAAAAAAAACGAGUCUUUCUCUCCCUUUUUUUUUCGUUCUGCACUACUGAGUGAAGGGAUGGUUUAUUCACUUAAUGAAAGAGAGAAGGAUAUUUGCGUGAGCGAGAGAGUCGAGGCAGCCAGUUAAUCCUCCUCUGUCUGUGUAACUACUGCUCUGGAGACCUCUAUAUGUCAGUUAGCAUUAUACUGUAAAUACCUUCUCAUAAGGCGGAAAGCCGAGCAGCGGACACUUGUGAAAACUCAGCAGCUCUAAUAAUGACCUGAAUUAAUGUUGUGCUAAUUUGCUGCUCAUCAUUCUCUCUGGCCUGGAUGAGGCUCUUAAUGCAGCUGUUUAAUCCACAAACUCACCAAACAAACUCCGGAGAAGAGAUACUUCCUGUGCCACUUGUAGGAGAUUCUGAAACAUUUGAAAUACCAUCCACUAAUUACGAGCUGACAUCUUUGGAGUCAGCUGCAGGUGUUGGACAACUCACUCAUUACAGGCAGUUCUUUCCCUCACCCAACAUUAUUAACAAACUCCCACAGUCACUUAGCUUCCAGUGCUCUGCUGCUUGUUCUUACGUUCACUUUCUCACUCCAGCUUUUUCUUGGAGUAAUGGGCACACCUGGCAGCUAAAACCUGCUUUGUCUGUGUCCAUGUUUAAUUGCCUCUUCGAUUAAAUUGUUGUUUCUCAUCAUAGCUGAAUCCACUGUUUACCGAGAGAUACAUACACCACUGCCCCAUAGACGACUGGCUGUCAGACCAAAAAUAAAAAUUUAGCUUUGCCUGUGCUGAGAGUCAGUUUGCCCUCUCUUCCCAUUUGUCAAAUUGCUUGGACUAAGGUUUUGAAGAUAAAACUAUCUCAGUACCACCUGGCACAUGUGGGGCUCUGGCAUCAAGUUAGCUGUAAUAACAAUACAUCAGCAUCAGCAAGUUGAAAUGCAGCCUAGUUUGAGCCCAAUUUCUUAUUCAGCACACUUAAGAGAGUGUACAAACAUAAGCAUUAGCUACAUCUUAAAUUCUAAAGCCUGCUCUAUGUAGGUGUGAAGUCCUCAGAAAUACAGGUCAUCAAAGUGCAUCAUUUUGAAAGAUAGGGUUAUUUAGAAGAUGAGGAGAAGCAGAGGCUGUUUAAGUGUUUGUAUUUAGUUGUUGUUAGCUGUUGUUAGCCGUUGUUAGCUAUAAUAGUUGAAAGCAACGCAUAGCUCAGUAUUAUAGACAAACAAACGCUAUAGAACCAUGUCCACAGUUAGAUGUUGGAGAGUUCUAUAUGUACCUCUUAUUUAACUUCGCAAAAAACAAAACAGUAGCGCUAAUAAAUAAUACAUUACAAGAGCUUUCUCUGUUACUGUUUACUGUUGAUGCACAGUGCUGCCAUCUUGGAUUAUGACAUUGUAGUCAAGUCGGGGUUGGUGAGGAUUAAUGCUGAGGUUAAUGGGGCUUUUUAGGGUAUUUUUAUAUUGACUUUAAUUCUACUCUCCUUUUUAAGAUUUGCAGAUGCUUUUCUUUCACUAAUAAACAAGGCAAACACUUAACAUUUCAACAUUUCAAUCACUACCACUCAUGGUUUCAGAGUUUUUGAGUGAACAUUUUUGACCAAACAUCAUCAAGCAUUUCUCACAGCUGGGUGAUGAGUAAGAAAGCCAGGUAACAAAUUACCACAGCGUCCCAUAUAUAAGGUAACAAACCUAAAUGUUGUGCCUUGACCAAGCUGCCAUUCUUGAAAAUGUGGAGUGAAACCGAGCUGCUCUUUCCACUGCAAACGCCACUUUUGACCAAAAGAGUUGAGAGUGUCUCAUCAAAGAGUGGCUGUCAGUAAAAAAUGAAAACCUGUCCAUGUUUUCAAAGAGGUAUAAUAGAAACUGCUGCACCAAUUUCAGGAGUUUAGAGGUUCUAUCAGAGCGGCUCUUCAGGCGUGAAGCAUUAAAUAAAAGCAGGACGGUUCAGUUUAGUCCUCAGUGAUUUAGAUGUCCAGGACACACUGUCCAUAAUCCUGUUCAAUGGAUUUGUUUAGCAACAAAUAGGCCCACAGUGCAAUGUAUCAGUGCAAGCUCACAUUUCACUGGCCAACUCCCGAACACUUUGAAGGACUGUAUGCAUGCAUGAUGUGUGCAAUAGAGAGAAGCAAAUGAUGAAACCGGAAAACAGAGAGUCUGAAACCCAUACAGAGGGCUGUAUAAACGGAAUGUUCCUUCUGCUUUGAAAGGCAGGAAAUCAGCGCAAAUUCAUGUCUAACAAAGCAAGACGGUCACUAAAUAUACCGAAUACGACAAUAGAGUGCUGCUUUAAUGUGCCCAGAUGUAACAUAAAGAGUGAAAGGUAAAUAAAUAAAAAUAACAGCCUCUUUGAAAUCAAUAUGAUUGAGCAAUUUUCCCCACAGGUUGUCAAUUUUCUUCAGCCCAGUUGGGAGAAAGCUUUUAUAACUUUAUGACAUUCAAUUAAACAACUCUCAUAAGAGAUGUGUGCAGUUUAAUGCAGUAUAAGCUAAUGGCACGCAAAAUGAAAGGAGGUUAUCAAGGCUUCUGUAAAUCACAAAUUCAGCGGUGGUCCAGACAUUUUAGCACAAAAACAACCGUUUUAAACGCAUUUCCCUGAGGAGGGUUGUUAGAUUCUAUAGUUUUUUAAUGUACAUGAAUAAAAAAGGGUAAAUAGAAAUCAACUAUAAGGGAGCGAAGUCAAUAAUCCUAAUGUCUCAUAGCACUGGAAAUGUCUUAAAGCGAAGCCUCAGCGGACUUUAAAUGUGUCAUAAAAGUGGAAAGUUGUCAGAUAGAUUUUGCUCUAAUGAUAAAAUGUACAGUUAAUCCAGCAUGAAAAACAGUAAAAGGCAGCACAUACAGAUAAAAGCGGAGGUUGAGCUAAGUUAGCCCCUCUUUGAGGAGCAGCUACACAUGUGUAAUUGGAGCGAAUGUGACGCUUGUCGGGUUAAAUACAUUCCCCUGAACUUUAAGUAUUUGCAUGUGUCGUAUAUAUGUGCGUAUUAACUGUCAGAUGAUCCCCACAGCGCCAUGCAUGACUGAGUGCCCUGCCUUUACUUUAUUUAAUGUGUGUUUUUUCCUGAUGGCCCGGGACAGUCCUGUCUCUAUGAUGUGUGAAGUGCUGAUUUAUGUGAAUAUAGGAAUACUCACUUGGACAGGGGAGGUUGGUUUCGUUUCAUCACUGGAGGAGAUGAACAUGAUUAGAUAAGCACUUCCAUUGUGUUGUUGACAUUACAGAAAGUUUGGACUCCCAUUAAUUUGUAUGUUUUAAUUUCUUUGUCAGCCAUGUAGUAAAAAUUAGAGAUUUUUUUUCAGUGUUUUAGCUACAUCAGCUGCACUCUCUUACCUUGCCCUAUCAAAGGAAUCACAACCCUAAUGUUGGGAUGCUGUUUAAAAGAGUGAUUAAAGCAGAUUUUAAUGGUUUGCAAAUCAUUACAAUCCCAUAUUCAAAUAGUAAUAGAUUAUUAAAGGUAACAAAACUAAUGCUGAAAUAGAAAAAAUCUGUUCUGUAAAAAAUGCAUGCACACCGCAUUAAAACACACACAACUCUGCUGUGGAAGCUGGGCCUGAGCCUAUCUAUGGUGGACAUGGGUGAAGAUGUAUACUGUCCUGUGGUAAUGACAAAUCAAAGUUUGACAUUUUGAUAUUGAAAUUUAAUUAAGAUUUUACACAGUGUCCAACCUCCUCUGAAGUUAAGGUUGCAUGAAUAAAAUAACAUACAGUAUCUACAAUUGAGUGGUUGUAGAUAAGAUGCAGUAUUUGUUUGUUUUAUAUUAACCUACAUCCUGUAAAAGUCAUGCAUCUUGUUGCAUGGCAUAGCUGUUUAUCGCAGGUAAACACACAGUAGUGGUUCAAGGUAAUAUCAGAUGACUCAUACUGUUGCAUGUUCAGCAAACUAAACCACAGACUUACUAUUUAACAUACAGAAAAUAGUUUUCCUCCUCUUAUCCAGGGCUGGGUUGCAAUGGUAAAGCAAGUCCUGCUUUCCAUCGCCAGUGUUUUUGACCCAAGGACCCAUUGGUUUCUUUGCUUACCUAAAUGCAUCUUAUUUGAGCAUAAAUAAGAUGCAUUACCUAAAUGCAUCUUAUUUGAGCAUAAGAGCUCAGUGUUAGCUGAACCCUUACGCACUGACUGAUGAUUUUACUCAAACUAUGAAUGAAAACCAGAGGAGUAAGAAGACUAAAUUCUUAUUCCUCAUUCACAGAAUUUAUUUACAGAUUUAGGAAAUAUAGUCAGAACUAACACCCGGAUGCUGUCUUACUUUUUAAUCCUACAUUCUUGCACUUAGCUGGUUAAUAUAUUCCUUAUUUUCUCAAACAGUGCAGUGUCAUCUGUACGAUAUACAUAAAUAAUUGACUCAUAGUCCUUCAAAAUCUCCAAACAAAGCUGAUGAAUUUGUGUCAACCUGUCAUCACUGUCCAGGAUGAGAGACUCAUUGCUCGCCAACAGACUCAUUGUCAAAGCAAGGCCGACUCAGACUGACUUAACAAUGAAAGAAUUGAAAACUUUCCUUUGUGAGCAGAGGUGAGACUGAGCAGGGAUGUGAUUCUCCUGCCUUUAGUAUGUAGAACAAAGUCUUACAAUCAAUCCCAAAAGACUAGUUAAAGAGGCCUGGGAAAAUGGUGCCUCCUGAGUUAAUCUUUAAAAAUGUAGUUUCAGAUCUUUAAUAGUGGAAACAUAUGUCAGAGAAAUAAUCCUGUUGUACAAAAUCAAGUCAUUGCAGAUUGUCCGGGAUUAAUCUCUGGUGUGAGAUCUAAUCCACGAGCAUCCCUUGACUGCUAGAGAGCUGUGAUAAUCCUAUAUCAGACCCAGGCUGUUAAUCUUGUUCCUAACAUACGACCUUUUCCCACUACAUGAAACAAAAGCCGGAAAUUACCUCAAGGUGACUCAAUGUCAUGAAAAAAAUGGUUUAACUGAAGAAAGUCGGCAAUGAGGACUGACAGGAGGAAAUAAGAGAGAACGGUUCCUUUCUUCCUCAGUUGUAUUCAUUUCCUUUCAUCAUUAAUUUGCUCCAGUGUUUUGUAGUGAAGUAAAGUGAAUAAUUCUGCUGGAAUGAAGUAAUCCAUAUUCAACAAGCAUUCAGAACAUGCUAACGUAGGAUCACCCUCCCACUGCUUAGCUGCACUCCUUUGGUAUUUCAUCACACUUAGUAUUCAAAGCAUGAACAUCCUUGGAUUACCACUCUCUCUCUCUCGCUCUCUGCACAUGUGUGUGUAAGCGCGUGUUACUGCCCUUUUUCAUUGGCCCUUAUUGGUAAUCAGGCGACACUGAGAUCCUCCUGCCUGCAGAACGGGGAAAGUGACCGUCUUCUCUAGGCCUCGACCUAGCCUCCGCUUCACACUGAGAUUUAUGUGACCUGUUACGGGUUCCCCCCGCUGGCAGGACCCAUCAUCUGAAUUAUAACGAAAGAUUAGGCCCCCGAGCUAAUGAUAGAGCCUGGAGGGGAAAGUGACCAUGUGUUUGGCUGUGGCGUGUUUCCUGUAAACCAGAUUAUAGAGCACACACAGAGCCGUGCAAAUAUGAGAGACGAGCUCACAUAAAAUUAUGUCUAUAAGCAGACAUGGAGAUUAAACACACACUGACACACACAUACACUUCAAUUUAAAACCGGCCUAUAAAAGCAUGUGGGGUGCAGCUGUGCUUAGAUUAUGAAUCUCUAUUAACCUUGCCAACCCAUCAACUCACUUUUAAUGAGGCCAAAGAUAACAGGCUUACACACAGAUACACACACGGAGCUCAAAGUCUCACAGUUUAAAUUAGUUUGCCCAAAAAUGUGAAUUUAUUAAUCCUGGUUUAAAUGGAAAUCAAAAUGCCAAACUUGGCCUACAUUUUCCAAGAGAACACACACAAAUGCAAAUAAACACACGGUAUUUUAACUCAGUGGAUGCCUGUAUGAAAAGCCUGACACACGAGAUCCUUGUGUAGGUCAGUAGAUGGGUAGACGUGGCUCGGGGCAGUUUUCAUACUGUGUGCUGCUCAUUUCCACUGUUGUGGAGUAAUGGCACAGUUUGCCGUGGCCUCUGGCGUCAAGAUAACCCAAUAUCAGCCAGCAACUGGACUGCUAUUGUUUCAUUUAUAAGAAAACAUUUCACUCUUAUAUCACAUCUGCUUCCUCCUGGGGAAUACUCUCAGCUUGUGGAUGGAUCUGUGAGUGGGUUUGUGCUAACAGUAACAGCACCCGAAAGAUCAUAGAUCACAGGAUUCCCACCCUGCAUCCUACAAAACUGCCAUCCAAUCCGAAUGAUCAAUACGCCCCCGGCCUGCUGUGGACAAUAUCAGUGGAUCCCUCUUUAAAGUUUAAGAAUAUAACGGAGGCAAUUCCAUGAAGCUAUUACCGGUUCAAGGGCAGGUGUACAUGGGAUCAAUAAUAGUGGAGUACAUUGCGCUGAAAGCAUCUGAGGGCAACCACCAAACCUAUUCUCAUUCAUAGACCAUGAAAUACAGAGGUCUUAUCACGGCCCCUUUCAGGGUCUGUUUUUCUGCACCCUCCUCCUUAAAGCUUUUCUUGCACACAGUUUAAGCAGUGAGACAGCCCCACAUUUAGGCUCCAGUGUUACUUUUGUUUUAAAUCCCCAGGUAGAAAGUCUUCUAUUUGACCAAUGUAUACACCGUGACCUGCUUUCUAUCUGGUCUCAGUACUCCUUGUACAUCACCUGACCUGUCACAGACCUGACAGCAAGAUACAUAGCUCUUCGGCUCUGAGAUUGCAUCAGUGGCAUCUACUACAGAGCCUAAAGGUUACAGUGUGGAUCUAUAUUAGAACCACCUUCAUCGGCUGAUUGUUAAAAAGGAUCUGAAACCUGAAAUUGAUCUGGAAUCAGUUUUUGUCCUUCUGCAAAUAUGUACAGCCAUAGAAAAAAAAAAAAAAAGCAAUUGCCACGGGCAUGCUUAUUAAUGACCCACAGGCCUCUGCAUUACAUGCACCUGCCUCUCAACUUGACUUGUGGCAAUAAUAAUAACAGCUCUGAAAACAGUAAUGUGGUCCACGAAUCCAGUUUAAGGUCAACAAUGUGUAGGACGGCGAGAGUACAGAUGCUACCACAGGCACCUGAAUGAGAUGCCAGAAGGAUGUGACAAAGCAUGGGAAUAAGACGAUGCCAGUAUAAGAACGAGUCUGAGGAUCCUGCACUUUUCUCAUAAUAAUAUGACCUUGCUAAAUACUUGACUCUGACUGGUUAGUACUCCAGAGCAAUGGUCUGCUAUUUCUUGAUAACAGACUGAUGUUAUGAAUGUGGCUUGAUUGGACUGAAGUUGAAGUUGAAGGUUAAAGACAGUCAAUAUAUUUACAUGCACAGUUAAGUCCAGCUAAAGGCUCAUAACUCAAUCAAGCGAUUUAUCCGCAGUACUGUCCUUGUCUCAGUUUACAAUCACUGUGCCAAAAUCAAACAAAAGGGUGUCUGUCCCUGCUAAGGUAAGCGGUGGACAUGCCCCUUUUCAGCUCUGCACUACCAUCUGCUUUACAAAUUAAAAAAAGUUAGAAAACAAUGUUAGCAUGUGGCUAAUGGGAUGAAAACACUCACAGCUCUGUACAAUAUCUUUGUACAUUAGAACGGUUUCAUCUUUUUAUCAACCAGUUUCAGUCAAACUAAGGCAGUGAAUCGAUUUUUUUUUGUGAAAUGUGAACAUACUGUUUGAAACUAAAGCCUAUAGAUUUAAAUAAUGCAUGAGUUGCAUUUGAUAGGUCGUGGUUUGGGAUACUGAAGUGUUUAAGAACUGGAAAGUGUAGAAGAAAAUGUCACACUAAAUGUUCAGUUUAAUUAUAGUAGAGGUAGCUUAUUCUGUUAAGAUUCAAACCUGCUGUAACAACCCAUUCACUAUACAUCAUUCCUUGAAACAGACUGUGAGAAGCGUUUCUUGUGGUAUAAACAGGCCCUCUGACUGCCAACAGAGACUUUCUUCCUUCCCUCACUUUGACUCCAAAUUGAACCAAGCAGUCAUAUUAAUGUUGGAUCUCCAAGCUUGGAUCAAAGUAGCCGCCCUCCUCCUCCUCCUCCUCCUCCUCCUCCUCCUCCUUCUCCUCCUUCUCCUUCUCCUUCCAUCCCCUCCCACUCUUGGUUGUCUAAUGCUGCUUCACCCUGCAUAUUAACACUGCUGUAAUUGGACUUGUUGUUUGUUUGUAGCUUCGCUGUUUGUUUAGAUCAUGUUUGAAGCCUCCCUUAAUUAAAUUGCGUCCUUGGUGUCAGAGUCUCUGAGCAUGUUGAAACCACACAGCUGGGUAAAAUGUUGCCAUCAGAUCUGAGAGAAUGUUCAUGUGUAAGGGAGGAGAGGUGAGAGAAGGGUAAACGCUCCUGAAGUAGGUUAAAUUACAGGCCAAUCAUUGCACUAUAGGGAAGUGUCAUCUGUGCUCAUUCAGCGGCUGCAUUUUUCACUGAAUUUAGAUAGGAUGAUGGAGGAACAUUUAAGUGAUGUAAUUAAGAUAAAGCCAAAAGUUGAAACUUUUACCACUUGAUUGAUCUAAAUUCACUUGGAAUGCAUGAAAACCUCCGAAACUCAUUUGGUCAGUUUGUGGUUUGCUGAGUUACUUCAUCCCGUUCGCGCAAAUUGAACUAUAAUUGCCCACGUUUCAAUUCCACCGACUAUUGUGGGACUGUGAAGUGUGUUUAUGAUUGAGUCUGGGGAACAUAAAAGAAGUAACCAGACCAUGGAGACUAUAUUUAACCUUUAAAGGCUUACUUUUCCUUGUAAGCACCCCUACAUUUACACUUUGCCUCUCUGAGGGGUGUAAUGACUUCCUUGGGCAGUCUGCAUGCACUCAGGAAAUCUGUUGACAGACGGGGAGUCCACAGAGCCAUGCACGUCCAGAAAAAAUGGAGGAAAGUCUGAUGACUUGUUUAGAGAUCUCCUAAAUGGCUCCCAGACCUAAUCACUGGUCUUGUUUAAUGGGCAAUGAUGUUAUUAUUGCGGAUGACUAUUUGAUCUUGCUGCGCCUCUUGAGAGGAAUUAGGGAAGAGUAAUUCACCAACAAACACAACAGACGUGGCAACCCAUCUUAAACACAGAACCCAUCAUCCCUUCACUGCAACAGACCCAGCCCUAGAUUAUCUCCCUCAUGAGGUAACCAUUUGUUUCUUUGUUUGUUUGCAUGCGUGCACACUGCAGAGACUUAAACUCUCCACAGCACACAUUACUAAGACAAACCGGGCCACAUCUCUGCUCCCUUGCCCCAAACCAUUGCCAGGCACUAACUAAUGUAGAUAGUCUGGCUAUGAAAGAUUACAUUCUGCCAGCCUGGGUGCUGCCAAAAAAGCCAACCUAGAGCAGGAGUGUGAUUAGAACCUGAGCCCCCUGACUGAGACAGCCCUGUGAGGGUUUUUAUGCUGCAUCAGUGUUGGUGCUGUAUCUUUGCAAAAUGCCGUCUUAAAAAGUGAUCGAAUGGGGGCACAAAUGUGGGAGCUGAUUUUAUCUCUUAGACACAUGGCAUCUUAACAGGUUAAGAGACAGCUGACUGGCUGUUUGAGGCCAGCUGUGUUGGAAAUUGUUUUGGCAUGUGUUUUUCCAUCACUGUGCCCUCCCUCGGUCCAGCAGCCUGUCAGUAAAAAACUCCACGAGACCAUGUGUACAACUGAGUGUUCGAGGAAGAGAGGAUGUGUGUCAGUGUAAAUACAUGAGUACAGUAUGUCUUUCUAGUUACCUUUGUGUUUGUGUGGAAGCCUGAUGCAGCUGUCAUUGUUCUCUGACAAAGAAUAAUAUAAAAAAGGGUUUUGAACUUAAGUGAUGCAACAACAACGAAAAAUAAAGCCAUGCAGUUCCACGAGUGAUCACUUGGGGCAGUCUAUAUAAGCUCAGGAAGCCUCAUUCACCUACGCAACAGGAAAGUUGAACAUGUACAACAUGAGUAGUGCAGUUGACUGACAGACAGGUCCAUAUAAUUGUUCCCCAGACUACAGCCGUGUUUUUUCAACAGUCCAUUUUUUAAAUCAUCUGCAGCCAGAUCUGUCAUAUUUCCCUGUUUCAGUUUACUGUUUGUGCAUUACUAACUUGUGUGUUUCCAGACUGAAGGCUGUGAAUCUGUUCCCAAGAAGCUGUGUGAGAGACCUCAACCUGUCUCACAUAACAGCAAUUUGUUUAAACAAAUAAAGGCAGGUCCCCAAAACAGGCACCUUGCCACAGGCGUACAAGGUAAUUUCUGAAUAAUUGAUGUGUUUAAAAUUGAACAAUAACAGGAAUAUAAAAAUAGAGCUCACUACUUUCUGUCUUCAUCUUAGUAUCAAUUCUGCCUGUUUUUCUGGAUUUAAAGCUCCUGUGAGGAACUUCCAGUUUGUGUGAGUUUUUGCGCCCUCCUAUGGACAAAGCAGUCUUCUCUUAUCUUAUCAUCUGUUUGCCCAAGUAGUGUCCUCUCAUCCUGCUGACUUUUGAUGGUCAAAUCUUACAUUUAUUUCUAAUGUUUCAUGGAAAAACAUCAAAAGAAGAAGUUCUUUUUCAGCUGCAUCGCUGAUACCUACCCCCUCACGCUGCUAUAAGGCAAGGUUAUAUUACAAAUAUAUAUACAGAUAUAAAACAUAAACAUAGCCACUGGUGUUGUUGCUGAGGUCAUUUGUUUAUCUGCGCUUUCAUUUCUAAAGCUCUUGUGAGGACUUUCCCAGGCUGAAAAAGUCCUCACAAGAGCUUUAGAAAUGAAACGGGCCACCUACAGUGCAGAUAAACAAAUGUGUUUAUGUUCAAAGUUGCUUGAAUUUUAAUAUAUGUUUGUUAUUCUAACUAACUGAUAGGCUUCUGACCUGUAAAAAAUAGAGGGUUAGAGCUUUCUCAGUUCCUACAGACUGAUACUGGUGUAAACUGGUCUCUGCUCUAUGUUGCCACAGUUUCUGCCACACUUAACAACCAUAUCCUGUGCAUAGCUGUGGUGGUGUAAAUGGGCUUUCCAGAUCUUAAAGCAGAGGAAUGAGAAAAGCAGGUUGCCGUGGCAUCAGUCUUUUAUUUAAAGCUCUGUAAUUUUAGCACUGGCUGUUUUCGAGGUAUUCUGUGCUUCUGCUUCAGUGAAUCUAUACAAAUGUCGUUGAACUGUUGCUCCUCUUCUCACUUUACUCAGCCAAAACACUCCACUAAUUGUAGGUUGGACCUGAGUUAAAUAUGGGAUAAAAAUUCCCUGUUUUGUGAAGUUGCAAACAGCUCCUCCUGUGCUUGAAAUUUAAAUCCCAAUGUGGUAGUAAAGAGGAUGUAAAGAAAUCCGGUCAUCUCAACAGGAAGUGAGGGCCUCUUCAAAGCUAAAGCUCUAAGGAAGGACAAGAAACCAUAAAAAUAUCUCUCUCCUUUGUCUGAGGGCACAGCUUGGCAGUAAACAAGGCCACAGCUGGCCAGCGCUUUCAUAUAUUGUCUAAAUGUUAUACUACAUGUGAGAUCAGAUGGGCUAUUACACAGGUGAACAGGUGACACAUCCACAUAUUAAGUGAGGAGGGGGUUGUAAUUUAGUUAUCAAGAGAUAACCACAUCAUUUGGCACUCAGUGCCCCCAGUUCAGCCUAUUACAGUUCACUGACCUUGCAGUGACAUUCUGCUGAACAGGAAACACUCACAAAUGCAGCUCGCGAUGCUAAAGCAGCUAUGUUAAAUGAGAAAAUGAGAUGACAUGAUUUUUCUGGCAGUGGAAUGGGCUGGUUAAUACACAUUACCACUGAUUCAGUCACAGCAAAUCCAGCCAAUCAGCCUCUCUCCCUCUCCUUCUCUCUGUCACUGUCUCAGCUGAACAUGAAAACCACAACAAUCCCUGAAAAAAGGAUCAUAGCUUUAUUUGAUGUCAGCAGGGGUGUAUGAUUAUUUUAAAAUAUCAGAGGCACAUGGUCUUUUCAUUAGAUGUUAACUGCAAAAUAAUGAGAAAUUAGAGCCUGAUUUCUUAAAUUUCUUCUAAUCAAGGCUUUAAAAUGUUUUGGCACUUGAUAUGCAGCCAAUAGCAUAAGAAAUGGGAUUUGUACAAGAGUCUGAAGCAGUAAAAAAGCUUUUUAUUGCAAGCAAUCUCACUGACAAGAGUGAAAUCAUUUAGAAGCACCUUUUCUUUACAUAAUCAUCCAGCUGGGUUAUUUUUGGAUGGUAUUCUAAGUUAUCUUUCUGGGUGGGAAAAAUGUAUGGUUAGAUCAUAAUAAGGUGUACAGAAUGAGUUUUAAAGUGUUUUAAUCUAGUAUGUAAAUCAAAACCGAUGCUGCUCAGAGUGCAGUUCAGCUAGAGUUCAGGAGCACAUUGAGUGAUUGUUAAUCCUUAAAGCCUUCAAAAACAUCUCUAACUGGAUGUUUCAUCUGUCUGCUUGUCUCUGUUCUUCAAGUCAUGGUCAUCUCCUUCACCCCAAGGUCGUCUGACCACCUCUGUCCCUGAGGCGUUUCUAGCCUUCUGACCAGAGAAGAAAUCGAACGUCCUGUUCAGCCCAAACAAAAAAAAUGUCAAUUUCUCUGUUGAUUCAAUUAGGGAAAAGGAGUGUGUGAGAUAAAGCGAGUGUUAUUUAUCAUGGCUAAGGUAAGGCUCAAUAUCGAGCUAUGUUAAUUAGAGCUCUGUAGCUUAAACAAUGACUGUGGGAAGCAGCGCUUCCACAAAUAGUUCCUACCAUCAAGAUCAAUUGAUCUGGAAGAAGCUAUACUUGGACUUUCUUGGAGAAUAAUUAGAGGAAAUAAAUCUACAACAAGGUGUUAGCUUGAUCAUUUUACAAUGUCAAAUCAGUUUUUACCAGAAAAAGCGCCUGACAUCAGCUGUAAAAGCAAAUGCUACAUAAAUUCAUGAAGUAGAGAUGCACAGAAACCUAGACUUAAAGGGCUUCUUUUAUGGGUUUGUUUGUAGAGAGAUUUGAUUCAAGCUGCUAAAUGAUUAAAGAGGAAAAAGUGACACGCACUGGUCGAGCAGUUUUGUUCAAGGUGAAUCAGCAGGUUGGUGUGUAUUCUUAGAGUCUUCAUGACAACAUAAGAAAGAUCAAUAUUUUAUGCAUGCAGUAGUUUAUGCAUGUUUGACUUAUGUAUGUGCAUGCAUACUUUUGCUCAUCUGCAGUUUCUUUAAUUCUUUUUUAAAAACAACAGCAUGGACACUGAAUUGUAGCAAAGACUUUGCACAGCUCCUCUGCAGGAAAAACUCAGUAUCAAUGCUCCAACUGCAGCUCUGUCAACUCUUCUUUGUGUUUGGGAUUGAGGGCACAAAAUUUAAAUCUGGCUGUGGAAAACACUGGCCAGACAUCUAAGUGAAAAGAAUGGGCUGAUAUGCUGCGAGUACAUUGCUUUUGUAGGCUUGGUAAUGGAGGAGCAGCUUUCCCUUCUCUGUCUCUGUUUUUGUCUUUCCCUCUAAGUCCCGUACCCAUGUCUCAUUUACAUUUACCGACACACACAUACACACUCAUAGCCAUACACCCACACCCAAUCUUCUCCUCCCUUCACUUCCCUCUGACCUUGCAAGGUUGUGUGUAGCAUAUUUGUGUAGGAGCCAGAGAGAGCAUGCAGGUAUGUAUGGGUGAGAUUGGUUCCAGACAGGGUAAAGUAUUGAUGUACCACAUACAACUCCUGCAACCAUCUUUCCCGCACAAGAAAAUGCAAAAACUCAUCAUGCUAAAGCAACAACAUGUACAGUCUCACAUCAAUUGAGGUGGUAUUCUGUUUUGAAUCUUCUUUCUGAGACAUUUUGGUAUUGCAGAAAACAUUAGUUAAGACUUUUUGACACAAAUAUGUCACAAUUUUGCUGAGUUGCAAAACAUUCUUAGACCCCAAUGCAGAUGUAAAAGAGAUUUAUGCUCCUCAGGAAAGCUCCUAAAUCCAAGGGUUACAAAGAGUAAGAGCUCUUAGGCAGGUGGUCAAUGGGGUAAACAAAGAGGCCGAGACAGGACAGCCUGGAGAAGUUGGCAUCAUGAUGAGGCGAGGAACAGAUACUAGCGGGGAGCAAGCAAACAGGUUCAGGUAGCAGGGAUGGCUGGAAUGCAAUGGCAGCUUAAUUGGCAACACAGACCAUCUGGCAAAGACUCUGAAAAGUGACAUCUAUAUACAGUACACUCUGAGGCUGAUGAGGAGCAGCUGGGUAGGCAGGUGACUGGGUCAGGGGAUCUCUGAGGGAGGGGGAGUGACCGAGGGCAAAUGGAGGGCAAGUCAAACAAUACAGGAUAGAAAAAACACCAGAACUGACAAACUGGGAAGAGUGAGGAGGAGGAAGAUGGAGAGGAUGGGAGCUUCAAGGCAUUUGUAAUCCAGGCAGUCUGGUAACUUUUCUAAACAAGUAUCAAGAACCAAAGGACGAGCUCAGACCGACUGCGAGGCCAGGGGAUGUGAGUCUUUGGUAGAGUGUGCUUGGACUGAUGCAAAUGCAUAUAGUAGUGCUGACCAAGUUGGACCAAGGCCAACUUAGUGGGGUUUCAUCCUGCGGGACCUAAUGCAAAGAGGCAUGUGUGGGUGGACAACCAAUCCUGAUGCCCAAGGUUGUAGCAGUAGGCUGAAGUCCUGUGACUAAGAACAGCAAGGCACUGUGGAAGCUAAUUAAAAGCCGGAGGGCUUUCUGGGUCCAAGAGAGGCCAAUGGAGAUAGAGGAGGACUGUUUGCAUGGGCUGCCAAUGUUGAUAAGGAUCCAGGCAGAAACUCUUGAGGAAGAAGGGGCAGAGGUGGCAGGUAAAACCAUCCUGGAAGGGAGAGCCACAGAAGCAUACUUUUCAUCCAGACCCCAAACCAUAAGAGUCAACCUAUGUUGACUGAGGACCAAAUGUGACUGGAUGUUGGAGGCUUGUGAAAGGAAAACUAGAGUCCAUCUUAUUCCAAAGGAGUCAAAUAACAACCCUCAUCCAGAAAUUCUGGAGACAAUGUACUUGAUGAGUCUUUCAUAGUACACAACAAGUGGAGUUCCCCAAGGCUCCAUCCUGGGGCCUCUUCUUUUUGACAGUUACAUGUUUUCACUGACUCACACAAAACAAAUUACCACAACUAUGCUGAUGACACACACACACACACACACAUACAGUACAUAACAAUGUCACCAGGGGAUCAGGGCCCUAUUCAAACCCGAGUAAAUGCCUUGAAGAAAUCAGUGAGUUGAUGAGCAAGAAAUUUUUGCAAUCUAAAACAGACAAAAGUAAAGCUCUAACUUUUGGAGUUUAGAAGCCUUUCCCUGUCUUGCCUGAAAAAUCUGCACCUCUUAGCAUUGUAAAGAUAGAAAUCAAUCCCAAUAUUAAACUUUUAUGGAGUAUUGAGUAUUCACCAAUGAACCCAUUCUUUUUUUUCUCGUAAAACUGUUUUGAAGGUUCUAUGCAUAUUUGAUGCCCUGUGAAAUCUAUCUAUUAGAUGUAAUCCUAUGUUUAUAUCAACAGAGAUUUACCCAUGCUGCUGUUUAAAUCUCCUCUUAUACGUCUUCACAGAGGCAGCUUUGUAAAUGUUAGCUACUGCUGGCUCCUCUCUGUGAUUACUACCCCCUUUCUCUGUCUUUUGUCUCACUUCACCAUGUGAUUUCUUGUCUCACUCUGAACCCUUUGGGCCCUGCCAUACUUGAAUAUUUAUCAAAAACAAUUUCAAGUGACACGUUGCUUCUUUCUUCACCAAGGCAGAAUGGCCUCAGGUAUAGCCAGACAAAUGCAUCCAAAUAUGAUCAAAACAAACUCACAUCAACAGGAGAGCCGCCUGUGUUUGUGUACUGUUAACAGAAACCUGCAUUGAAGGAUAUUUAGGUAGUACUUAAUGUUUUUAGGCAAAGAUUCUUACAAACAUUAAUGACAAUAUACUUAGCAGUAUCAUCAAUGCAGUGAAGAUGAUUGAAUUGUUCCACUGUGUAUUAAUAAUUUACGUUUCAUGCUCUGACAUGUUGCAAACAUCAAUAACAAAUGAUUGUAAUUAUAAAGCCAGAGCCUGGGUUGUCCAUUCUGCACAGGGAACCUGACAUGGAUCACAUGCGUGUAAUGGUUUUUGUGAAUAAUUAAUCUGGUGGGCCGCACCAUCUCCAGAAUACUAAAUAUUAACAGUCAUCUAAGGAGCUAUUAGGAACCAGUAAUAUCUGCAGCGCAGCUAAAUGAAUACAUAAUAACUCAACAUUUCUUAGGUUGUCCACAGAAUCAGCCGAGCGUCAGCGUAUUCCCCAUCUGCAUGCUCUCUAUACAUCCAUCAGCAGUGACACACACAAAUACGUACACAGUGGUUAAUGCAGGGACCAGCUGAGUGAUCCGUCUUGUGUUUGUGUUAUGGGCAAAUGGAGUUCUGCGUUGUUGAGGCAGGCAUGCUCAUUCACUGCUGCCCCCGUGUCUCCUAAGGCUCAGAGUCUAAGCACUGCCACAGAAACACAUCAAUCAUCUCUCAUGGCCAGACGAUCCUAUGGACAUGGAAUAUUGAUACGGCUUUUAAAAUGUGGGGCAUGAAUAUGAUCUCUGACACCUAUCAGCCCUGCUUUGCUGCUGUACUACAUAUAACCACUGGAGUAUAAGUAGAUCUCUGUUUAUUUAAAGGUGACUUAUAGCUUGGGCACUGAAAUACGAGCCGGGUAGUUUCAAGUUUGGAUCAGCUGGAGUGUAUUUAAAGCACAGGGAGCAAAAAAUCUUCAUGCACGGUGCAAAUAACUAAAAUGUUAAUGUGUUCGUCACUACGGCAAGAAGCCUCAAUUUAGUAUCAGCGUCAGUACCUUUUUACGCAGGUUAAAGUCUUUUGUGUGUGUGUGUGUUUUUGUACGUAUCCAAAUGUGUGUCACCGUUCCACAAUUAAACCCUGAAUGGAAACUUCUCCCUGAAGACGUCUCCUCAUUACCUGCUGUGUGUACGAGGAGCUCACCCACCGUCUCCUCAGCUGGAAAAAGAAGUGUCAUCAUCACCAUAAAUAACAUCAUCUCCUGACUCCCCUCCUAUUCUAUUUUCACCUGGCAGUCCUAGCAUGCUAUCUGCAGCUCCCUGUGCGUGAAGAUUUACGGCUUUAUAUAUCAUUUAAGAAUCCAUUUAAAUCAAUCCCCUUAUGUUCAGGCAGCAGGAAGAUGCUUGGUGGAUAAAUCUCUUCCUGUAUGUGCAGGAGGACAGAGAUGUUGUCACAUAAAUAAAAGUUGACUUAAACGCACCAGUGUGAAAUUAGCCAGGUGGCCUAACUGUCGUGGAGUCUGUUCGCCUUUUGACCAGAGGAAUAAAAUAUGUCACCGAAUCAUAUGUUGAAAAUAAGCAUUAAUAACUUAUUCUUAAUCUAACCCAUAAUUAUAAGACAAUGCUUCAUAACAUGCACAUAAAAUCUAGAGAAUGAAAUCACUAUCCGUGACUGCAUGGACUCAGACUGCACACACACACACACAAUGUUGCAAACACUCAAAAAUACUCUGAAACACACACCGCAUGCGUGUUGAAUUUUAGGAUUGCUACUGCCUCGCUAACAAAGCCUUCACAGUGAUGAGUAUAGAACAUUUCCUCCUUUGCCUGUCAGCCAAAAUGGAUUCCGUCCAAAAACUGUGGAGUAUCCUUCACCACCCUGAGCAGUGAGAGAGAGAAAGUUUGCAAAGUUCAGACAUGGAGCUUCGGGUGGGAGCACAGUGGUUAAAAAGCCACAAGAAUCUGAUCUGUUUUGUAUAUAAAGAAAUCCAUCAUAUUUCUCAGGAGGACAAACUGAAUAUUCUCUGUCUUCUUUUAAGGCCACACCUUGCAGACUUUUAGGAGCAGCUAUUUUUGAGAAAUACAGUUCUUAUUCUGUCUGGUCUUUGUUUACGAUGAACUGUCUGGUACUGUCUGGUCUGUUUAUAGCACGUUUCUGCCUCUGCGAGAGGUGUUUAUUUAAGAAAUCAUCUCUGUACCAUUCUUCGAGUUUCCUUGCAUUGCAAUCACAAAACUUUGUGCGUAAUGCAAUGGAAGAAUAACAAGUGUAGUAGCAGCUGCAAAUUCACCUUUACAAUUGUUAUAAACAAGCAGUGUCUCCUACCAACGCAAUCUUGUGCAACAAAUGUCAAAAAAAAAAGAAAAGAAAAGAAACGGUAUCCCCCUAGAGCAAAGGGCUGGGGUUUGCACUCAUAAAAACAGAGAAAACAAAAACAAACACGAGAAGAAUAAGUAAAUACAAAGAUGAGGAGUAAAGAGCGGAAAACAAUAAGGUUCGCAGUGGGGUAAAUGUGGCGCAAAGUGCAGGAAUGUUGGUUAAAUGAAUCAUGUUUAUUAUCUUUCCCCUCACAGGAAAGAUCCUAAUUAAUCUCACGUGCUAAAAUUCAUACAACUGCUUAAUGACAUUUCUGAUACACAGUGUACAAAUGUGAAACAUGUAUGAUCUCAUCUGGAAAAUACAGGCAAUUCAGUAUGAUUCUCCUUCUGUUUCACGAUAUUUUAUAUCCCUUCAGUUUUUGUUGUAAGUGUUUCAAACUGGAGUAUUUACUGCAAGCCUAAACGGUGGGAGUGCAGGUGCAGUGUUCCAGUUUUGUCUCCCGAUACACCUGUUGAGCCAAGGACAGUAAAUAAGGAAAUGUUUUCUGCUGUUGGACAGUCAUGGCUGAUAGACUGAGACCAUCUGUGUCCUCGUUCGCUCUGAAAAGAGGGGAUGAUGUUGAGGAAGGAGAGAUGAAGGGAUGGAGACAGUAAAGGCCUGCACAACUGUUGGUAGUCACAGCCCAGUGCACACAUCCCUCUGGCUGCCUUCAGGCUUGACCUGUGUGUGAGCUCUGUCUAUCCCUCACAGCCUGAACACCUCUGGACACACACACACACAAACACACACACACUCACAAACAGAUCCGCCUGUCCUGCAAAUGCAGACAGGUGCGCACACUCAGUCAACAAGAUUUUACCAUAGUGCUUUCAUGCACACAAGCGCUCGCCUACACACACACACGCACGCUUGGCUGCCACCUGGGACGCAGAUUUGACAGACACAUCCGGCAGGUCACUUGUGGCGCAGGUGCUUCCUGCUGCUCAAGCUGUAAAAGUCUUUGCCUGUUCCCACAUAAUCUCCUCCGCCCUCUCUCUAGCAGAACACAUUCUGUUAGCAGAUUACACGUCAAACCGCUGUGUUCGUUUUGACAGGCUUUAGUUUCUACAAAGUGAAUGCCGGGUUAACAAUACUCUAAGCAAACAUUUGUUUUUAUCUCCUGGAAAAGCUCAACUUAUUGAUGCAAAACCUACUUAACAAAAACCUUACGUCUUUACACAAUUGUGCUUUUAUUUUAGCCUCCAUAUAUUUGGUAAAAAGUACACAACACAAAGAGUUCCUGGGGUUUGUACCUUGCAUGAAUAAAUGAAUAAGUGUCAUUUAACACUGGCGCAGAUGACUUAAAGUUUUUUUUUUUUUCCCAGGUCUUCAUAUGUUCACCAAUGCCUUGGGAAAAGAAUUGAGUUGCUUAUAAAACCUUUCUGCAAGGCAGGAGCCAAAGAGGAAAUUUACAACAAAUAAAACUGAUGUCCUUUUUUUAAAAGCGUAAAUUUUGGGUGCUUUUACCUGUGGAACAUGGAGAGAAGUUGUUUUGAAACGGUUCCCUUCUUGGCUCAGGUCAUUUAGACAUACUCAAACACAGUCAUCUUGCUCUGAUGAGAAAAAACAAGCAAGCCGGGACCGUCCAGGUGGUCUCGGCUCUUUUCCAAUCAAACCCUAAAAUAGUGUGUUAGCAUCAAGAAACUGGGACAAGUAGCUGUUUGACUCAUUACACUCUCCUGAGGCAGUUAGCGUAAAAAUAGGCUAACAUUACUCAGCAGCUCCAUCAACUCCACCAUCAACAGAAGAGUUGGUGCCAGGCGAAGGACUUAACAACAGCGGCUGGUUCAACAAGUGGUUUAGCUUCAGAGUUUGUGUGGCUCGCCAAAAGAGGAGAAUUUGCUCUUCCUCCACUUGAACUGGGCAGGUUUUCUUUUCCCACUGUUCUGCUCUUUGUUGAUGAAGUUUGUCUCAAGGAGACAUUAAACAUGUUUUUUGGGUUGUGGGGAAAAAUCACAGCUAUUCUCUCGUACCAAAGAGAAAGAACUCAGAAAGCAGUGGUAGCUUUUUCAUGCAUCAGAUUUUCUUUUUUAUAGCGUUUAAGAGACCCUCAAAGCGCUUUACAAUGGAUACAUCAUUCAUUCACUCACAUGGUCACGCCUUGGUGGUGGUAAACCACCUUAGUAGUCACAGCUACCCUGGGCCAGACUGACGGAAACGUGGCUGCCAGUUUGCGCCUACGGCCUCUCCGACCACCACCACACAACACUCACAUUCAUACACCAGUGGAGGACACACACUGGGAGCAAGGUGGGUUGAGUCACUUGCUCAAAGACACAAUGGAAAGACUUGGGAUAGGGGGGAACUCGAACUGCCAACCUUCCAGUUAUGAGACGACCGCUCUAUCUCCUGAGCCACAGCCGCCCCCUACAGCCUGAAAUUUCCUACUCUGGUGUAUUAAAAUAUCUUUUUUUUUCAGCCUCUGUCUGUAACGCUUCGUUUAGCUGCUGUCUCUUUAAAUGCUGUAGGCAAAGUUACAACAGCAGCCAAUGUAUUAAUAGCUAAUAUGCGCUAAUGUGGCUAAAUAAGGAGCCAUGUAGGUGCUAAUGGUUUGACUGACAUUUUCCUUGAAGACAUGAAAUGCAGGUCAUUCUGUAUCUACAAAACUGUGUAAAAAGUAACACCCAAAAGUUGUGUUUAACUUAAUAUCUGUGGGAAAGCAGCUAACACAAAGUGCUGCAGGCAUCGACUGAGGAGUUGAGUAUAGAAAUGAGUAUGGUAGUUCGUCUAUAUGUGGAUUCUGUGAAUCAAAAGUAAUGUGUAAGUCUUAUCACACAGACUAGGAUUUCUCCAUGGCUCAAGCAGACAUGGUCUAAUUCUUGCCUUCCUGUUCCUUUAGUUGGCAAAAUAUGCUUCCAUACAAACUAAUGCAUUGGAACCUCUUUGUUAGACUUUAUGAGUCUAUGACAAGAACUCUUCUGACGUUACAGUUUAAUUAUUCUUAAACUUGGCCCUGUUUUGUAUGGGCAUACGAAAUGUCUGCCUAGGUCAACCUAGUUCUUGUACCCCUCUUAUACUAUUCUGGUAUUUUAGGAGCUAAACUAGGAGCAUUUAUAAACAGCCAGAGUUACUAUAAUGCAAACUACAUUAAACAACAGAGAGGUUGCUUACCUGUGUCACAGGAGGGAUGACUUACAAAGAUUUUUUCUGCAGGAUUUAUUUGCAUAACAAUCCCUUGAUUAUGGCAAGUUUAUGUUUCCGAGUUUCAGAGCGCAUGAAUAUGAAACAGUGCAUUAAUAAGAGCAUAUGCAGAUAACUGGAGCGCAGAGAGAGUGGCGCAAGGUCAAGAUGUUUUCCCCAUGAUCUCACUCCUAUAGCUCUAUCUGAAGAUUGCUGGUAGGAAAUAGAUAACUGUGUGAGGGUCAAAACAGGUCUAAUAUCUGACAUUAUGCAAAAUGAGAGGAGUAUCUCCCCUGCACAGGAGUGAUUCUCUGCCGGCAGCACUCUACAUUACUGCUGAUGUGUUACCAGUUGCAGUGCAAGACGGAUAGGCCUAGCGAGACAAUGUCUUACCACAUGAUCAAUAUCUAUCUCUGUCUCCCGGUUAAAUGAAAAAAAGACAAUCUUCUGCUAAUGUAUCUGCUUUAUUACUCGUAUUUAUCACAAAGCCAGAUGAGAAAGAAAAAGGGAGGCGGGUGGCUGCAGUGCAGGGUGUUGAAUAUGAACACAGUGAGUCACACGUAACAGCCUGUCAGCCACAAACAGGUCAACCGAGUUUUUUCCUACCAUAUGUGGACAUGCGGCUGUGUAUGAAUAUGCUAAAACAGAGCAGAUUUUCAUCUCCUCCGUCUUGUAUCUGCAGUGUGAAUCCCGCUUCAAGAGUUUCACGUCCCCCUGCAGCCUUCCUUGACUGCCGCUUUAAUUUUUGAUGAAUCUUGUAAUAGCUAGCGCAGAAUAUAUUGAAAAAGUGGCCUCUGUGCGCGCGGCGACAGGCGUGUUGGAGGGAGGGCGGCACCAUAUGUUGCAAAGUGAAGAUGAAAUUGGCUUUGUCUAAAGUGGAGAGAGAUCCAGAGAGGGUGCCAGGUUUCCUGGAGAGAAGAUGGAGACGAAGAGGAAAAAGUGGUAAGAGAAGAAAAAGAGGGGAACCCUCCCUUCUUCAAUCCUCAUCACCUCCAACAAGGAGCGUAUGAAAGGAGCACCUGUGGUUUGAAGAAUGAGAGAUCCAACGCUUUCCCCUCCUCUUCCUCUCCUCAUUGACUCAUCCUUCCAUUUCCCUUUUGCCCCUCCUGCUGCUGCUUCAUUCCUCUCUGGCCCGGGGCAUAAUCUCUUCCCCAGACAAAAAACCAAAGGAGGAGAUGCUGACAUGUAAUAAAGAAGGACUGAUUCUGUUUGGGGCUGAAGCCGCUGGUGCCGGGCUUGUUUCCUGCUUUUGGAAAGAAGGACUAAGAGAGAGAGAGCGAGAGAGGGGGGGAUGGAGGAAGAGAGAAAAAGGGAGAGACUAAAAAGGAGAAAGAGGGUGGAUAUUUCUAGAGCAGAAAGAUGAGAUUACUUACUAACAGAUGCCUGCUAAUGAAGUGCUGACAGGCCGGGUGAAGGGCCAGGCCCGGCUACUGUAUAGGAAAUGAUGGAAAAGAGUGAGGGGGGAGAAUGGACUGAUGGAGGAAAGGGAGGAGUGUGCAUGAGUGUGUGUGAGUCUAUCUUAGGCUUCUGUUCUCCAAUCUCAGAACUUGUGCUGUGCUCCAUCACCAGGGGAACUGAUAGCUUUUAGCAGGCAAACCCUGAGGUGGAAAAGGCUGCUCAGCCUCCCUCUGCCUCUCUCCCCCAAACUCCCUCUUUUUUUCUCUCUCUCUCUUUAGUUUCAUCUUUCUCUUUCACAGCAUUUUGUUUUCCUUUGGUAUCCCUGUGACACUCCCCUUUUCCUUCCCCCCCUCGCAAAGGCAGGUUGGAAUUGAAGUAAAUUUAUUUCUCCUCUCUCCUCAUGCUGCUGCUGCUGCUGUGGACAUAAACCUUCCUCCUUCCAGAGCAGUCAGCGCUGUCACUGAAACGUAUUACCUCUGUUUCCAGAGCUCCUCACACAGGUGGUGUUGUAUUUCCAAGGCUGAAUAACAGGGAUGAUUUCAAGUUGACGUCUCUCUUUUUUUGUUUGUUUUUGCGUGACAACAUAUCACCUUUGUUUACUGUUUCUAUUGUUUCCCUCUGUGAGCAGAUCUGAGCCCGAUGGAGGACAUAAGACAGACCUGGCGGGUGAUGAAACACAAGGACACACAGGGUGGAGAGGCGGGGAGUUGGAACAGUGUGAGGUCUGGCAGAGCAGGUGAGAGAGGGGUUUUUGUGGAUGUUGCUGGUAAAUUCAGCAAAAGGAUUUAAAAAUAGGAGAGGGCAGUGAGUCAGAUCCCUGGACAAAGAGCAGUAAGGAAUUAACUUUUUUUUGUUGUUUUUUUACCUUCUUCCUACCUGCCCCGCGUUCUCACCUUCCAUCCCACAUAAUCACGUCACAGGAAGCACCUCAGGGAGAGGGUCUUUUUCUAACACUGUCUCCCUCUGCUUCCUUUGUUCUCUGAAAAUGAGCACCUCAGAUCUGAUGCCUCCUCCUCUGUUAGUGAACGAAUGUACCGAGCAACAGCGAUUUCCUCGAGCAGGCGUCGCCUCCCGCUGCUCCAGAUUACAGCUCAUUAGUGGUCGCUGCAGAGAGACAGCCCACACCAAUGCCUCCCCUCUGAUUCCCACUUUGUUUCUUGUGAUUCUGGUGUGGCACGCCAUGGUGACAAAAAAAAUGGAGGCUGGUGGUGGUUAUGAGGAAUAAAGGGGCUGGAAGGGAGACCAAGACAAAAACAUGGAGAGUUUUCACAGCUUGUCAGCAGCUGGUGAACAUUUAAAGAGGACAGCUUCAUCAGAUUGACACAGCAGCCUCUUUCCACUGACAUAACACUCUGAGUGGGUAUCUGAAGUGCGAGCUUUUCUGCUGAUAAGCACCUGAGAAGAUGAUCAAGAGGGACUAUCUGUAGAGUUAUAUCCCAUAUAGGCGGACAUUAGCUAUUAACCACCUUCUACAAACAUUAGUGAUGAUCUGCCUGUACAUUUAUUUAAAGUACAAAUAAGGUUGAUCUUUGCUUGUCUUAAAAAAAGUCAAAUAUGUUGAUCUUUGCAUUAAUAUGGACGACACACAAGCUCCACCUAUGAUAAAGUGAAGCCAAAAGAUGAUGAUAUACUCCGCUGUUGAGCCAAGAUAGUACAGUCUACCGUAGACCUGAUUUGUGUGGUCUACGGUAGACUGACACAGAUGCAGUAGCUUAUUGUAUUGCAAAAGACCUGCUACCAAUAAGCACUGUUAGAUUUCAUUUUUUAUUUCGUGAUAUAUAUCGAUAUAGACUGAUAUGAAAAAAAUAUAUUGUGAUGAACCUUUUUCCGUAUCGCCCAGCCCUACUUACAACAUAGCCCCUGUGAUGAUCUGCACAACCCAAAAGACAGCAAACAGACUGUGGAGAGUUGCUAGUGCAAAGACAUGAAAGGCAAAGCCAGGGUGAGAAGUUUGUUUGGGCUGAAGCUCACCAAGCUAGGCUAGGCCUUACAGCCUAUUCACCCUUACCUCUCCUCUUUAAUGAGGGAUGAUAGAAAAAACAGAGAGAAAAAACUGAGAAGACCGUGUAGGGGGGUGUUAUAAAGAGAACAGAGAGGGAAAAGCCAGGGCAAGAAGACUUUUUGGGCUUAGUAACAGCACUGUUAGCUAAGGGCUAAACAGCAGUUUGGUCAUCUUCACCCUGGAACACUGAUGGUACUCUUCUCCAAUUCUCCAACAAAGUCGUUUUUGGAAGCUGCUCAUUACAAUCAAAUAAUAACAAAUAGUCUGAUUGGCAGCCUGAUCUAAAACUUUGUUCACAACGGUAUGACGUCAUGGCAGCAUCUAUGGUUCCCACCCUGAAUGUUGAGAGAGGGUUCAAGGAGGUCAUGUCCAGGGUCACAGCUACAGUUCUUCAAACAUGCCAAGGCUUGUUGGCUGCGUUGACAGUCGAGCUCUUGUACAUCUUUUGUCUUUUGUUUGCGAAAAUAAAACCAAUUGAGAGUGCUUCUCUCUAACUGUCAGCCGUGCCAGGCGCUGCGUGGUAAUUGCCUUUGAACAGCUUUGUGUUUCUGUGCAUUCCCAUUCAUUAUCUGUUUUUCUCUUCCUUCCUGUUUCACAAGACUGGUUGGAAGUGAAGCAUAUCACCCCCACCCCCCACCCACCCCUAAAGUUCCAGUCUUGUUCGCUAUCCUUGGACAAGUUUUGGCAAAGUUACAAAAGGGAACAGAUGCCAGAUGUGCGCAUUGUGUCACUAAACGAAACCCAUUUUUCUGGCUUUUGUUUUUUUUGUUUCCCGAAAAUAGUUCCUCCACAGGCUUGCAAAAUCCUCUUUAAAUCAGAGCACAAUGAUAAUUGUCAUUAUUAUAAAUCGUCUGUGAGGCAGAGGUUCUUUUCAAGAUAAUAGUAGGGAAAAUUAAGCAGCUGCUCCUUUCCUAGCUGGUAAUUGAUCCAUUCAAGCAGCAACCUAGGGUCUAGAGACGUAAAAUCAAUGUGGAGGUGAUAAAAACUGUAGUUCCUGGGUUGUCCACUUGAGGCUGACUGAAGUAGAGUUAUCAGCAAACUGCACCUAAAAGUUAAAAAAAGAAAACCCUGGGUGUAUUUUGCUCUACAACUGAGGAAAACAUUGCAUCACUGUUUUCUACACCUGAGAAGCAAAACAAGAUCAUGGAGAGUACGAAUCAACCAGUCAGAUCAGGUCACUUUCAGUUUACAUCUUUUGCUUCUUCUCGAGAGGGCAGCCCUCCAUCCGUGUACGCUUGGAUGAUUUACAUCCACCAUCCACUGGGGCCCCCUCAGACUGAAUAAGCCUCGACCAUUACAGUCUUGUGGGCAGAGGGAGCUAUGAUAGAAAAAACAAAAACAAAAACUCCAGUCAGUAUUCCCUGUCGCCCGCCUACAAACACAGCUCUGAGCCAUGCUGCACUGUACACUGCUGCCUCUGCCUCCUCUAACCUUACAUGACCUUUGACCCCUACAGUCAUUCUGACAGGCUGUGCUUCUGACAGCCUAUCCCCCGAACUCACUGUGUCUGCGGGAACAGCAGACCAUGAAGCAUGCGAAACGCCAGGGCGAAGAUGUUGAGUUUCUCAGUGUCAACAGACAUCAAACAUCGAACAGAGCCAUUAUUUCAUUACACCGACUUGAAAACUCAUUGCGGGCUGCUUCUGGAAAGCAAACCCAGCUUUCUUUUGUAUCUCCAAGCUUUAAUCGUAUAUCUGUGUUUACACAAACUCAAAAGAUAUACUCUGCGAAGUGUUGCGCUAGCUGGAUGGCACACUUUUGAUUCUUUUGAAUCAGAAAUAAAUCUUCGAUGUGUGACUUCAGUUUCUCUGGCGGGUCCACUCAGAGGCAGGAGUAUGAAAUAUGCUGCUUGUGUCUCAGCUCUGUGGGUCACUUUUGGCUGUAAGGGGAUUGAUUUUUUUCUCCCUCCUGUUUUUUUUUUUUUCAGCUCUCCACUCAGACUUCGCUGAGCACUCCUUCAAAAUAAAACAAACUCAGCCCGGUUGACCCCAAAACAGCAAGACUGACCUGAAAGUAGCUUCAGGGUCAACCCAUUUUCAACAUGCAGCAUAAUGCUACGGUUAUACAGCAAAACAAAUCCACUUAAUUUGGCUCUUUUAUUGUUGAAAAAACUUGUUGGUGCAAGGUCAGGUAAUAAAAUCUGAACUCCAAACCUUUCAAAGUGGAGGACAGUAGCUUUUGGCGUGCAGUCGGAGCCCUUUACUCUGUCAGUUUUUCAUUUUUCAGCUGGUAAUACAGUUUGAAAAUGUACCACAGCUUGUCCUCACUUCAAACCCAACCCCCUCCCCUCCCAUGAUGCACCUUUCCCCACUCUGUGUGUCAGCAAGCCUGGGACACCCACUCAGUCACUAUCUCAACUUCUCCCAUCUAAACAAUUCUGUCAUCAUUUGUCAAACUCCUCUAUCUGUCUCUUCCCUCUCCAUCUGCAUGAGGAGCAGAGUGAUGCUGGGGUGUGAUAGGCGCCCGUCAGGGUCCACGCGUCUCGGUGCACAAACACACGCACACACACACAUUCUCUAUGAGGAGGAUAGAGAUGGAUGCCCUGCACAUUUGAGCAUCCAGACAGAGUGAGUGCAUGUGACAGACAGUCAAUCAGCCCGUGAUGAGAGGUAAUCGCACAGUGGACAGAUCAAUUAGUUAUUUUCUCCAGAGACGAAGAGAAGAAAAACACUGCUGUUCUCCAGGUAAAUGAUUUGCAUUUCACUGCCUUUCAUCUCUCUCAUCCUUCUUGCAUCUUUAUCUUUUCUGUUUUUUUUCUCCCAGCCACCCCCAUUGCUUCCUUCUGUGCACCUCCCUCUCUCCCUCUCCUCUUUGAAUUUGGCUGUUUUGGUUGUUUAUCUCUGCUCAUUUCUCCUCCUGCCUGUCUCAUAGGGAGGGAGGUGGAGAUCCAGACGAUCAGGGCUGACUGAUGGUAUAUGAGCACAGCCUGUGAGUGAUGAGAGCUCUGCCCGGCCGGAUCAUUUAUACUGGGCCAGGCUGAGAACAAACAUAUGUAUCUCAUAGCCAUCGGAGACACUCCAAGGCUGGUUUGGCCACACAAAUACACACAUACACACUCACACACGCAUUCACAGAGGUAAAAACAAACACACAUUAGGACGUGAUGUAUCAAGCUAUGACCUCCUGAAGGGCAAAACUCUCUCUGUAUCUGUUUCACCAGCAGACAUGGACAGGAAAACCCAGUAACAUAUGACCCAUAAAAAGGCAUCUGCUUCAGAGCUCCACUGCUUGUUUAUCUCUUGUUUUCCUGCUGCCCGCUCAGCCAGAGUCAGCCCACAUCAGCAGCUUGAAUUGCUGGAUUUAGAGUUGUUAUGCAUGUAGGUCAUUUUUUCUCUUUGUGUUGCUGUGUUUACUAGCUGUAACAGUGGACAUUCCCUGAGGUUGCAGAAAUGUGGUACAGUCUCGGCUCUCACUGGAGAUCGCUCUGUCCUUCACACCCACUUAAGGCCGGAUCCAGUCAGUGCUUGUCAAAGCAAUUUUACACAGCAAUCUUUAUUUACAGGAAAACCAUCCUGUGCACACACACAGACACAGACGUACACACUCAGAGGAGUCGAUGUUUUUCAAGGGCUUAGAAUUUGUACAGUCAGAUUGGAUUUGGCUGCGCGAUAUGAAGCUUUGACUUUUUGUUACUUUUAACUUUAGUUUAACAAACAUUUACUUUUCGCUUCUGUCCGCUGAGCAUUUAAUGUCCUGAAAAUUUCUUUAAGUUACAAAUCGGUUCAACGGUCACUUUUGUCUUUAUCAUCCUUCCCAAUGAAGGAGUCCAGGGAGCACCAUCACCAUAAGCUGCACUGCAAGCCUGAAUGCUACCGAUGACCCCACCUUUUUAGUUCAGCUGUUCACCGUAACUUUUGAAUGAUGGUGGCCUCUAUCAGAUUCUCAUGUGAACUGGUUUCUGUCCUGAACUUAAAAAACAAAAAACUAAGAUGUUCCAGCAUUAGAUAAAGAAGUACACAAGAAACUCACUGAAUAAAGUGUGUGAGAGGAUUGGUGUCAGCCAAGCAGCUGUUGAAAAAUCCCUACUUUUACAGUUUCUGUAAAACAUAUUUACAAAACAUGACAAAUUUGAUUGUCAAAGUCACAAUGAUGAGAUUUCUGAGAGAAGACGCUAUUUAAGCACGAAGAGGACAAGAUAAGCAAAGACUGCUUUGUCAACGUGGGCGCCAAAACUGACACAAACUGAUAGUUCCUCACAGGAUGAAAAGUAAGGAGACAGAGAGUCCAACAUUUACAGAUGGGGCGCUGGUUUAGUUGAGCACCAUAGAGGAUAUCUUUAUCAUGUUGGUCACAGAUUGAAAUUCCAGUGCUAGCACUAUUGGUUGCAUGUCAUUCUCCCUUCUCUCCUCACUCAAAUCACAGCAAAAACAAAACAAACAAACUUACUCUUUAAAAAUGAGCAGGCUGAUGUUUUAUUGAGUCCUAGUGAGUCUUUCUCACACCCAGAUGUUUUGAACAAGUCAAGAGUGACACCAAAUUCACACCUGGGCUGUUCAGACUGAAGCUGCAUCAUAUAAGAGCUGAUCUAUGUCUGAUUUAGGACCACAUGUGAGGCUGUGACCUGUGCUGUUAUCAAAGUGUAAUACAAAUCAAACCACAGUCCCAGAUGAGCAACAUGAAUAAUGGUUUGGAUGAAGUAACAACAAAGGGGGAUAAUUGAACCCUGAUCUGUGGACAAGCUUCUGUCUUGGAGUGAUGGAAAGGUAAAGCGUAGCAGCACAUAUGUUUGAAAAAUCAGUCUCUCAUAUAGUCCAGACACAUAAAGACGGAUGAUAUCAUGACAUUUAUAGUUCUCCUCUUCCUGUUGGAGCUGUGUUUAUUAGAGGUCUACAUGUAGGCCAAGUUUCAAGUGCCUCUCUGAUCAUUUUCCGUUUCCUUUCUUGGGUGUCCUCUCAGCCAUAAUGUCAAGAUUCUUAAUGUGAUCUGUCUCUUACUACGAUCAUGUUGUUACACAACGGCAAAAAAAAAUACUGCAUAUCAUACCAGAAGCAAGCACAAAACAUGGCCAUGUGUUUCUCGCUUAAAAAACUAUGUGGCCUCUCAUUUUACACUUAACCACCACACAUCACUCCUCCUGUGUCAGCUGAUAUUUCCCAGAAACCCCCAGUCCUCCAGCGCUGGCCCAGCAUGCUCUAUUCCUUCGUUCUUUCAGUCCAUCUUCUUCUCCUGUGUGCCGACAGGACCACCUGGUGCUGCUGCUGGUUGCCAGAUUUUGGAUUAUCCUGCAUAACAAUGGGCCAAAGGAUUGUUUGGACCCCUUCCAUUCCCGGGAUGCCAGAGAGCGCUGCGCUCCUUGCCCUUCAGAGACGGCGGCCCUCCUCUCCAUCGUACACACAUGGAUGCACGACCGCUCUGGGACAGCACUCCCCCUCACACACAUUCAAACUCUUAAUUAACGUGUCCUUGUGUUUAUGGCCAUCCAGUGGCCCAUAAGGGAGUGAGUGAAGUCUAUAGCUGUGUACAUGCACAAAGACCAACACACAGUGGUCAUCUGCACUUUUAACACACACAUGGUGAGGAAAACAGAUGAAUUUUUGUAGUAAAACCCAAACAAAGGACAUUUCUGAAGAACAAAAGCCUAACUUGAUGUGGGCUGAAUAAGUAAACACAGACAUGUGUGUAUCUGUGUUUGUGUUUUCAUAAACAGUCUUUCUAGGAAGCUGCAAUAUUAAAACUCAGAAAUGUCAAAACCAACAAAACAAACCUCUUCUCAACUUUACUUCUGAGAGACUCGGCCUCUCUGAGACGUCCUUUUUGUUCCCCAUCAUGUCACUAACCUGUUGCAGAAAAGCUCUGAUUUGUUGGAAAAUGUUCCUUCAAGUGUUUUGUUUUGUUUUUUUUAGCAUCACACGACUUUGUCAGGGUUCCUUGUCCUAACUUAUUUGAUGAGUCACUGACAUCAAAUUCAAAAUGACCAGCUGCAUUCAAGAAAAACACUAGUUUUAACAUGUCAUAUGUUGUUUUCAUGCUAUUUUCAAUACAUAAAAGGGUUUUUAAUGAUUUUCAAACUAUUAAAUUCCAUUUUUAUCAACGUUUUACAAUGUGUUUAAACUUUUUGGACACCGCAGUUGUACUUAAAAGGUGUAAUACAAAACUUUGAUAAAUUAGGUCUACAGAGACAACACUCACAACACAAAUUCAUAUAGAGUAAAUUUUUCUGUAUACCAGUAUGCCGUGCUUUUUAAACACAGAAAGAUAAUCAGUGGACUUUAUCAUUUUCAGCUGCUAUUCCAACAAUUCCCAGGAGUAAUAUGAUUGGACAUUAAAGUUGGUUUAUUCUGCAUUAAUAUAAAAUAAAUACACAGCCACAGCUCUUCAGACUACAUAGACAUCAUUUUCCGCUCUAAGUGAAAUUUUCACAUUUAUAAUACUUUCAUACUUUUUAUUGAAAAUCUCUAAAAUGAUUAAAAAUACAAAUAAAAGUCAUAUUAGUCACCUAGAGCUGCUGAGAGAGAGAGACACGGAGAGGGAGAGAGAGAUCUUUCACAUCUUUGUAAUUCAUUUUUUUAUAUGUUUCAUAUUCAUUUGAUAUUGUUAUCAUUUCAUCUGUAAAUAUAUGAAUACUUUGGCCAAUAAAGCUCAUUGAACUGAAUUCACCUGAGCAAGACAAAGGGUAAGAGAGACAGAAAAAGCAGUUACUGAUACUCCAUGUCGUAACCUAAUGGUGCUUUGUAUCUAUUAACCAAUCACAGCACAGGAAUGACAUGUAAACAAUGUCAAACCAGUGUAAAACAUGUACAUUUUCAGCUCAGUUUAACACAUUUGGAUUCGAAUCAUCACACUAAUAUCACCUAGAAAUGAUGUCAGGGUACAAACAGCACACUCAGCUAGCUAAUGGCUUCUUUUGAGCCUUUGUCCCUGUAGCUCAAAGUUAAUGUUCAAUCUAAUACACAGAAAGCAAAGCCUUAAGACAUCACAACUUCCAUUCUCUCUUUUUUUAAGAUAUAAGCCAUUUUAGGCGGUAACAAUCACAGAAAGAGCCCUCAUAAUCCUGAAGGGACCAAUAAAGGUAAGCUUUUAUGUAGAGUGAAAAAACGGAGUCAGUGAUGCUCUUUUCCUUGUGGGGACUAUUAACUAUAAUAGGCUGUAGCCUAUGUGUCUGCAGAACGUCUCAUUGCAUAUGCUGUGACAUCCCUGCAGCCUGGGGCAACACUAGCAUAUGUGGCCUUCAGGCGCCCAGACAGGCUCUUACUGUACUCUAAAACAACAUAACUGAGGCGGCGCAGGCGCUCAGAUCACACCGUAACCGUCAGAGUCGUGACCUAACUGGAACAGACAGAAACCUGUGAAAUAGAGCCGGGUUCUAACAGUCUGAACCCCGAACCAAAUCUGUCACUCAAACAGCUAAUGGAGGACACUGAGAGGAAAGAGGACAGAUAUGUGGAGGGAGAAGUAAGGUGAGAGAUGGCGAGUACGGACAGAAACACUACUACAAAGAGGAAAUGUGAAUUGAAGAGAGGAUAGUAAAAAGAACAGGGCUGUGAUUCAGGCGUGAGCUGUGACAAUUUAAAGAGUUUUGACUUGAGCUGUUUGUGACGAUACUCUGUCACUGAGUUACACUCUGUUGCGUGGUCUUCUGCGUGAAGAAACAGGCAGCUCCUCACGCUGGAAGAGUGAAAAGGCACUUUGGUUUCCACCCCCACAAACAGAGCUAUCCUGUUUGAGAAUUACACAUAGAAAAACGAGCUUCUCAAAGAGCCAUUUGAAAUCACUUAUACGAAUAAAACUUUCAUGAAAAAAACAGUUGCUACAGUUUGAGAGGAUUGGAUUGGAGCGGCUGCUCUUGGUAUUGAUAUUCAGCCCUUCCCCUUUGCAAUUGUACUAUCAAGAGGGAGCAGCUUGUGGCCAGAUGUCAUGGGAAGACACUGUUUCUCAUUUGUUAUUCACCCACAGAAUAGAAACUGCAGGAAUUAGAGGUUAAUUAUGAUGGGGAAAGUUGGAAAAAAGAAGGUGAGAUAGAAAAAGACAGGAAUGGAGGAGCAGGGCGGGGAAAGUUAAUUUCCAUCGCUGUUGUUUCGGUGUUGUGCUGCAGCUGGUGAUGAAUGACAGACAGAGAGCUCUCAGCUGGAGGAGGACGGCUAAUGGAAUUGUACCACAUCAGCUCCCAGAUUCACGAGGAGAACACACCACGUUACUAUUAUUCUUUCUAAAUGCCAUGCAUGGUUAGGGACUUACUGCUUCAUACAGAGUGUGCUGGGAAAAAAAACGCUCCCCACAAAAGAUUUGGAUCCCACAUUGUCUGUGUUCACUCGUCUUGUUUUGAUCCGUUGUGAAAUUAGAUGCAAAGAAGAUGCCAUAUUGAGCCUGCAUCAUUACUCUGCUUCAUUUACAGCCAAAAAAUUAUACAAUUUAAAAUGUCAUUUGGUCAGGGGAUGGAGUUUUCAUUAGGAGGGUGCCGUCCUAUUCAACUGGCAGCAAAAUCAGGCCCUUUAAUGACCAUCCUGCUUUUUAAUCAACUCCAGGAACAUGUGAAUAUGAAAAAAGGCCUCAGGAAGCUUUUAAGCAGAGCUUCAUGUGUUAUAUGUAAGACUGGAGGACCUGCAUGGAAGCUGGGCUGUCAGGCACUGCUGUUGGGGUCAACUCUGCCACAUAAUAGAGCUAACUCGAAGAAAUCCUGACUCAGACACUCAUGUCAGCUUAAAUAUACACCCUAUUAUUACUGUAGUUUUCACAGCCUUAUUUUUGCCAUCAGAAAGCUCGGUCAUUUUUGCAUGAUUUACCAGCAUGAGAUAUAUGUAACCGUAUGAUUCAUACAAACCCACUUUAAAAUAAAGGAACACAUAAAAUGUAAGUUUGUUGUAGUUUGUUCCAGGACUGAAUGAAAACAGUAAGAAUUAUUAUUAAGUACAAAUUUGAAUUGAUCAGUAAUCCAAAGAGAUACUAAAUUAAAGCGGUUAUCAGGUUUUGCAUAAGUGUUUUAUCAGAGGGCUAUUACAGCUAGUUUGCUUGCAGCCUGCUUCUUUCUCCUUGCAAGACCUGUGAGCGCCAACAUAAAGGACAACUCACAGUGGUACCAGCACAGACUGUAUAUACUAUGGACAACUUGGUUCCACCUUCCACCAGUAUACGGAUUUGAAGCCGAAAAGCUCUCGGUAUUUUUGUGUUUUUUCUCCACUUCCUGAAACCAACACUGUGCGGUAGCGUCGUACGCACUCCACCACUUGCGCAGUAGCAUUGUGCGCAUUUGGUGGGAGAGUCACCAAAUGUCGCUGUGAUGACACUCGGGUCAAACAGUGUACCCCCCGGGUGAGCUACGCAAUCUUCGUACACCCAUAGGCUGUAUCAGGUGUCAAUCAUAGAAAACAUGAACCGCCUAAUAACUUUUAAAAAUGGAGCUGUACAGAAAAAAAGGGACAUAAUUAAUCUUAGCGCAGUAUCAAUGUUUUGAUAAUUCUCAAUACUAGUAUAUAGCAACUGCCCUAUCAUGGUUUGACCCAAAGGUUUCUGUAUUUGUGCUUAUAUUUCAAGCCUCUAGGAUUUCUUUAUCUAGUCCCAGUCAGUCUAGAUCUUAAGAAGCCUUUCAGACAAGAGGCGAUACAGCUACAAAAACUUCAAAUCUCAGUUGCCUUUUGGAUGAAACUUUAAAUCUCCAUGUUUUGUUGCUGAGAAUCCCUAAAGACAAAUUUAAUUGUCAAAUAAACAAUCUUCUUCUCUUCUUUUCUCUUCUCUGGCAGGCGCAUUGUAAAUCUGUUUGAGUCCUGGAGGUCUAACAGUGGGAAUGUAAAUGUCUCAUUCAUAUACUGAAUAAAAACAUUAACAGCACAACAGCUCCUGCUUAUCGAAGCAAAAUUUUUACAGCUGCCCCUGGUGACUGGGAGCUGUAUAGGUCUCAAAGUCAACCCUCUUCGUUAUUAUAAAUGAAACAUGAGUAAAAGUACAAAACACAGGCAAACUCACAAGGUACUGAACCUCCAAUAACUGAGUAAACAGUGUACCAGCCUGACAGAUCGUUGAUGUUUUAUUACUGACUUAAAUCUGUGCUAAGGUUAAAGGUGUGAAGUCAACCCUGCAGUGAGCUCCACCAGCUAGAUCACUCCAGAGUACAUCACAAGCACAGGAUGUCUAAGGCAAAAUUUUGUCUUCACUUUUUUACAAUGGUAGAAGAUGGAGGCCUUCUGCCCAUAACAUGGUCCCACCCCUUGGAUCUUGAAUUUUUAACCCUCUAUAAAAAGUAAUAUACUGGACCUGGUGUGAGUCAUCUACCUCAGAAGACUUUCACUCUUUUCUGUGAUAACGACUGAUAUUGCGGGCAGGUGGAGGCAGGUCCUGAGCAGUGUGCUGUGUGUUGAUUCAGUUUGGGGUGUAAUUCGACACUGAUGAUGUUCAGCAGAGCGUGAGACCAGUUGAGAUGAGAACGCCUUCAUAUAUCGCUCUCUCAUGCCCGCCCGCCUGCGCUCGUAUCCCACCCAAGUGUACCCUUCAACUGACCACACUGCUUCUCUUCUACAUGCUUUAUAGUCCUAUUGAUUCACUGCUGUAUUUACUGUAUUCACUGCUGGAAUUAUGAACUGCUAAAUCAAAGCAAACAGGUGGACCGGAUGAAGUCAUCAGAUACAGUGGCAUUGAUUAUUCCCAUUAGAUUUCUGCCUUCCUCCCUCGCUCUCUCCCUUCCUCCAGCGUCCUACUGUUUCUCUGGUUGACUGGGUUGUGGCCACUGGCCGAGUAAUGAUGGACAGAUCAUUACUCUGAGCUGAGUAUGCCAAGUGAGCUGUUUUCUUUUUUUUAUUUUUACAGGCAAGGACGGAGAACACAGAGGAGACAAAAAGUAAGAGGGAGGAAAGAAAGACAAAGACAUCAAUUUUUUUCCUGUAAAUGCUAAACUGGAGCCAGUCUCUGGUGUUUCACAGUCUGUCUUGGCAUUUUCCACCCCCCACUCUUCACUGUAUUCUUCAUUCUCCAGACUGCAGCUCUAACCUCUUUAGAGGAUAUUAUAGUCCCUUGCCAUCAGGAAAGCCCAUUACUCCAUCCACAGAGCCUUAUCCGUGGAGGUAUAGCUUUACUUUUCCAUUUUAUGUGCGAGUGUGUGUGUGUGUGUGUGUGAUAAUGUAACAGAGCCUUUACAGUUAUGCUGGGUAAUGCCCAUCACAGAAUCAAUUCUUGUUUGCAGGAAUUCAAGACACUAAGAUAUGAUUAUUGUCAAGAUGAUAAGUUGCUCUGUCAUGGUAGACAUUUUAGUUUUCUAAAAACAUUUUGAUCAUCUCCUGUGAACAGAAGUUGAUGUUCAGUAACUGUGAACUACCAUGGACCAUCUCAUUAACGAUAUUUUUGAAUGAACUGCAGAAAUUGCCAUAGCUUUUUUUUCCUAAUCUCUGUGCAGAGACAUCCAUGUCAUUCAUCAUUUCCAUGUCCAAAUGCUUCUUUUUCUUGCCAAUCACUUGCUCAUCUUUUCCAAUAAUGUGGGUUUGCUUGUGAAUAAGAGCCAACGUAUUAUCACAAUAUAUGGUUAGUGUGUAGAAAUUCAGAGCAAAUUGGGAGCUGACAGAACUGGUUCAUGCUAACUCAUGUAAAACAAAUAACAGCUAAAAUUACUAUCAAACAGGAGCGUCUGUGAUGAAGGCUUCAAAAUUGUCAAACUCACACUUGAGUUUGAUACUUGAGUUUGAUUUUGAGUAAUCUGUGGAUCUUAAUGGAUGUGUUCAGUUUUUCUUUUUUUUUUUUUUUUGUUCGUUUUUUUAAUGAAUCAUAGAUUAAGAGGUUUUAAUGGAGGGUUAAUGUUUAAGUUAACUGGCACGUGUUUGACUGAAUGAACGAAUUGACUUCUCAACUUUAAUGUCUUUGUUGAUUGAAUAAGAGUUAACAGGGUUUCUCAUUCAUUUCAGCAUGCCCUGUGUCCAUCUCUGACUGCAGAGGUUCCAGGUGGAAUGGAAUGGGAAUAAAUGAAUGGAAUAAAAAAGUUAAGUUGAACCAAAGAGAAUGGAAUGGAACAGAAUCAAAUGGAAUGGAGUUGAGUAGCAUGGAACAGAAAGGAAAAAAAGUGGAUUAAAUGAAACAUAAAACAAAAUUAUAGAAUAAACCAAAUAAAUUAAGAAUUUACCAUUAGAUGGCAUUACAUUUCUUUAUGGAGUACACUCAUGCCUUCAACAGACUGCAAUUCUGAUCAGUUAUUUUUGGAUUAAGCACCCUAUUUGCUCAGUGAUUUUAAGAAAUUAUAUUGAAAAGCGUCAUUAUUAAUGAAUUUUAAUGGCAUUCCAAAACUUCUCAGAUGCAAGUCUGGGUUAUAACGCAAUAGAAAAAAAUGUGAGCUCAUAAACUUUGGCUUGAAAAAGGCUUAAUUUGCACUACAAGGUCAUCAGGGAGGAAAACUGUGUUUUUGGUUUGCACAUCUCUGUAUGCAGACAACCUCUCAUUUUUCCUAGCUAAUUGUGUGGUUUACACACAAACAGCAACUGUUCAUUAUGCCCACUAGUUGGUUGAAUACUUAGCUUUAUACCCAAAUUAAGACAUACAGAUCACAGCUCAUUUACUCUCAUAUUGAUCUCUUCUCCCUCUCUCACUUUUUAUUCCUUCUUUCUUACUUUCUCCCCCUCCUUCUCUUUCUCUACAUGAAGCCAGAUUGCCCUUCACUUUAGGUAAUGAGGCCACUCUAUCAUAGACCUCCACCAGCCUACAGCCCACCUCCGAGCUCCUCCCUAAAAGGACAGUAGAAAACAUUGGUGGUCGAGCUACACUGCACAUCCUUCGAUCUUACUAUACAUGCUAUAUUAAACGUGUUGUUUAGAUAGUAGCUCACUGUGGCUUGUUACUACUGCCAUGAAGCAUAUCCCCAUGAGCCAUCAGUGCUGCAGAUGCUCCAUCACUUAAUAUUCAGUUGUCAUGUUGUAAUGCUCUCCCCUGAAUGACCUUGAGAUGCUCCAGUCUUAUAGCAGAGAAGACCGCCGGGAAACCUCUCUGUAUCUCAGCAGACUACCCCACAAAGGAAGCAAGCCAUAUGGUGAUGGCUCCAUACACCAACACUCAUCCACUGAGCAGCUUUAUGAGCAUAAAUGACUGUAAAACAAUUUCCUUUUCAGGGCAGAAGAAAUAUUUCAUCUGCCAUUUACAGCAUGGCCAAAGCUGCUCUUUUUCCAACUAUCUCUUUGUCCCUCUGAGUGUCUGAUUUUUCUCUCCAGAAGUGUGAUGAGUGGGGUCGUGGCAUCGGCGGCGGAAGCAUCUGCCAGUGAGGGAAGGGCCAAGAAGAGAAAGCGCCUCCUGUUUGUCUCCACUGUCUCCAAGCCCCCAACCAUAUUCUUCCUGCUAAUUAACCUGCUGACGCCUCCUUACUGUGUGCAUUUUGGGGGGAAGGUGGUUGGGUGAGAUGUGCCGAAGGUGAAGAGGAGGGGAUGGCUGACUGCUGACAACAUAACCACUCCACUAAAGAAGAGGAGUUAACAAUUCUGACCACAUAUUUCACAUACAUGCUCACGAAUACCUGCUUUUCAAAGCUACCACCUUAAGUGAUAUCUGAUUUUUUGGUUUCCAGUGCAGCCAGCAUUUAACAAUCAACGAUUUCCAACCAAGAUGUCAUUAUCUGUGAGUCGUCAUUGUUUACAGUUUAACAAGAAACUGGAAAAGAGAAAACAUGGUUGGAG
RNAcentral lists this long non-coding RNA (104219 nucleotides) under Xyrichtys novacula (pearly razorfish). The record is from RNAcentral. Lineage: Eukaryota; Metazoa; Chordata; Actinopteri; Labriformes; Labridae.